Molecule: long non-coding RNA, 121985 nt
Filed under: Triticum aestivum (bread wheat)
Lineage: Eukaryota; Viridiplantae; Streptophyta; Magnoliopsida; Poales; Poaceae
Description: long non-coding RNA (TAES_LNC002305)
Rfam family: MIR1120/MIR1122 microRNA precursor family (bases 96126-96240)
Source: RNAcentral
UUUUUUUCUUGUUUUUGUUUUUCCUUCUUCAAAUUAAUUCGGGAUUUCCAAAAGUUGUCAGUUUAGGAUUUUAUUGGAGAAAUCAUAAAAUGAUCAUGAAUUCAUAAAAUGUUUAGGAAGUCAUAACAUGUCCAGUAUUUAAAAAAACUAUUCACAUUGUUUUUUCAAAAUCAUAAAAUUUUCAUGAACUCAAAAAAAGUUUGGAAAAUUAUAAAAUGUCCAGUAUUUUGAAAAAAUGUUUGCAUUUAUAAAGAAAUCAUGAUUUCGAAAAAAUGUUCGCCAAAAAUACUCAUGAUUUAAGAAAAAAAUGAUCAUGUAUUCAAAACAUAUUUGGGAAUUUGAAAAAAAUGUAAUUUUUAGAAAAUGUUCGAAAAAAAUUAAGCAGGUCUGUAAAUAACGAACAGAACUAACCUGCUUAUAUAGAGGUUUUUUUAAUAUGUAGAGGUUGUUUUAUGAUUUUAUUUAGUACAAGCGAGUCGCGUAAAAAAAGCUUUCCAUAUUCUGCACAACGUUGAACCCAAAAAAAUUGACAAAACUUUCUACGGAUUAGCUUUUGUAAGCUAUAUGAAAAUGAUUAAAUAUCUAAUUUGCCUCCAUACUAUUUUGGUACUAUAGUUUUACUAGUCAGGGUAAACACCGUGACCCUAGGUGAAGGCAGAGACACAUCAUUCAUUAGUCUAGCUCAGGUGGAGUCCAUCAAUACAGUUUUCUCAGCCAGAAAAUAUUUUGUUGUGGUGCCUUAGGAAAUCAAGUCGUGAUGAGACCAUCACAUUUUUAGCCUUUGAAAUGACUUUUUAGAAGUUCCUUAUCUCAUCAUGACAUGAUUCAGACGCAGUUUAUGAAAUCGCAAUUUAAAGGUCCCAAUCUCAUCUUAUCAUAUGUUUCAGACUUUUUAUCUCUACCACAUAUGCAUAAUCUGAUUGUUUUUCCCCCGUUGCAACGCAUGAGCAUAUUUUCUGGUAGGACCAAAAAAUGACAUAUGAACAAACAUAAUUUAGAAAAUUUGAGGAGAAGGCUUUAUUAGUUUCACAAACGUUCUCAUACAAAGUUCUUAACAUAAAGUUUUCUGGCACAGCCUCACGAAUUACAGAUCUGAAAGGAAAGUUAUUGUUAGGCCAGGUACAUGGAAUGUAAAAGCCAACACUUCUCCUCCCACAGCUAAACUAGAGUGACUACGCCAGAGGAGGGAAUGUGUAACCUGCAAGACCAUUCAAUUUGACCCAACAUAUAAUUAGAAUAGGACAAGAAGCAUAUAAAAAUGCAUAAUUAAAAUCUAAAUCGUGUGAAUCCAAAGAAUAACAAAUAUCAAAACUGCAUGUAUGCAAUGCCGAUCAUCAUAAUUCCCUUAAUAUAUUUCACUUACUUCCGCACUUGUAGCCAUGUGGGAACGGCUUCUUGCAGAAAUUGGCAACGUAGCCAACCUUCUCCAUACAAUAUAUCUUCUCUUUCUCCUUGGUGACACCAGCGCAAAGGCAUGGGAUGUUUGCCUUUUGCCACACGGCGCAACAUGCAUCCGAUGGAUCUAGCUUCGGAUUUGCUGGCCAUUGUUGAUACUUAGCACACUCCUUGAUCAUUGCCUGUCGGUCACCCUCGCAUUCGUCAGCUGACAUGGCUACCCCAAUAGUGAGGAUGAUGAAACAUAAGCACAUGAGUUUUGCCAUGACUAUGGCUUUUGUAUCUGCUACACUAGAGCCUUCUCUAUCCCUUUGAUGUUAUAAUUGUUUGUGUGGCUUCUCUGUGAAUGUGUGGGAUACAUGACUUCGUUAGCUAUGGCUUGGUUUAUAUAGCCUUGUUUGAGAUGAUGAUAUGGGCACAUGCAUCAGUUCUAUAUCUUGAAGUUAUGGCACCAUGUCAAGCAAUUAAUAUGUACAUUAAUUGCACUCUAGAGGCUACAUAAUACAUUAGUUCUAUAUCUUGAAGAUACGAUAUUGUAUCAAAUAAUGAAUGUUCACAUUAACUCUAUCUCUACAUGCUAUACCUUGAAGAUAUGAAAUAGCAUCGAACAAUGAAUGUGUAUAUUAACUCCACAUCGACACAUUAUACAUACAUUAGUUGUACUAUAUAUGAUAUAUCUUGAAGAUAUGGUACUGCAUAAAAAAUGAAUAUAUCCAUUAGUUGCACAUCUACAUGCUAUAAUACUACAAUAAUUAUAUAUAUCUUGAAGAUAGAAAGAUGUGGUACUGCACCUAAAAAUGAACGUGUGCAUUAAUUACACAUCUACAUGCUACAACAUUACAUUAAUUAUAUAUAUCUUGAAGGUAUGGUACUGCAUCAAAAAAAAGAAUUGUAUAUUAAUUACACAUCUACAUGCUAUAACAUUACAAUCAUAAUAUCAGCUUUGCUAUUUAACAUCUAGAUGUGAAAUAACUACGUCACAUCUAAGUCUAGAGCCGUUGGAUCUCGUCUAUCUUCAAGAUUCGCGCAAACCUAUUUUUGUCCCGUUAGUGCAUUCGCACGCGACUGUUGUGUGUUGCGCGGCCCAUUUUCAGGUUGAUGCUAGUAGCGGGCCCGGGUGUUUGUCACGAUAGUUGGGCUGGUAGGCCGUUUGUCUCUCUCAGAGUAAUUUUCUCCCUCGCAUUCAUUUUGCCCAUUUCCCAUUCCUCUUCGGCCUCCUCUAGGGGCUCUGGAGAACGAGAAGGGAGAGAGACGCCAUUGGAGUAAGUUUUUUGCCCUGUUCUUAUUUUUUUCUUCCUCUUUGUUUUUGUCCAGUUAUUGUUUCUUGCUCAUAGAUUGAGCACCAUCCCCUCUUCUUUGUUUGUGCAUUCAUCAAUCUAGGGUUUGUCCCGCAAUCGACCCAAAUGUGGGUAGGGUUCCUCACAGAUUAGUACCGUCCCUAUUUUGUUGUGUAUCCAUCUAUCUAGGAUUUGUUCAUCAAUAUAUCCAAAUGUUGGGAGGGGGGGUUCCAGUCGGUCAAGAUUCAGCGGGUCACUGGGUAGUGCGCAGAGAUUCAGUCUAUGCCCUUUUUUCAGUUCAGGUGAUUUAGUGUCAAGGUUGAUUUUAGAUUUUAGUCUAGAUCCAUGUUGUUCCAUUUUUUCAUGUAAGUAUAAUGUUUGUUAAGGAUUGUCCAGUAUCAUAACUUUAUACAUGUGUUCUUUUUUCUGAUUUGCCUUAGUGAACAUUCGGAUCACUUGCGUCGGGAUAAAAUCAACUUUGCUAACAGUCUACAACAACUUUCCUUUUUUAAAAGAUAAGAGCCGAACAUAAACAAAGAAGCACCGCACAAACGAAUCAACUUAUACAUACCUCAUUUUAUUUGUUUUUUCAUGUACCUAGGGUUUGUUCCCAAUCGACUCGAAUGUAGGGAGCAAGGGGAUUUUAAGUAGUCAAGAUUCAAUGGGUGGCCGGAUAGCUUGUGUGUGUAGGUAAUUCAGUGGAUUCAUAGGAUUUUUAUUUUCAGCAGGAGUAGAUUUUCAUUUAGUGUUUUUGCUAGAUUCAGUGGGGGUUGGUUCAUUUUUUAGUUUUUCUAGUUCAUGUUUUUUGUCUGGUAGGUAGGAAAUGAGGUUUAACCCUCGAGUUUGGUUUGAUUACGUGUAGGGUUUGAUAGAUAAGUAAUUUUUUAUCAGAGCUAGUUUCAAUUUGUAUCAAUCAAGGUUCAUUUUAUUUCAUUCUAGAUCUAUGUUUUGUCACAUUUUUUUCAUGUCAGUAUAUCUCUGUUAAUGUUUGCCUAGUAAAUCAUAGCUUAUGCAUUGUGCUUCUUGAUUUAUUUGUAUAUUUAUUGAUUUAACGACCAUUCAGAUGAGAUAUGUUAGGUUAUGGGUGAGGACUAAUGUCGUGCGAUGUUUUUUGUUUGUACCUUGCAUUAGCCUCUAAUUUUUUAUUUUGCUCAAUGAUAGCAACUAGUAUCAUGUUUUGAAUACUAUAUUUUUAUGAGUGCGCGAUCAAUGUAGUUUGUGUAUGCUUUUUUAUGGGCUAAACCAUAGGUACUAUAUGUGUCGUUGCCUGAACUAUGUAUGUUGCCAUAUGCAAAGUAUGACUACAAAAUGACAUACUAUGCAGUUUACUAGUUUGCAUGUCUCAUGUACCAGUUACUAGUUAUAUAUCAUUUUAUUUGUCCAGAUUCUUAUUUUUGGUUUUUGGACAAAGAUGGUGUGUACAGUAGGACCCCGAUAAGGUUUGUUUGAACAUUUGUAUCCACACAUCUCAAGGUAGGAAGCAGUAUUCUUAAUGCUAUGUGACCCCCAUGUCUAAUUUUAUUUAUUCAUUAUUGUUCAGAAAAUGAUGAACUACCUUGUUUGGGAUUAUGAACAUUUGUUCUUUUUCUUUUUUGCAGCUUUAUGAGCUGGUGAGAAUGUGUUAUUUUUUUACUAUAAAUGGCUCAGCUUCUAAACUUUUUUCUUUACCCAUGCAGAAUGGUGUGCCCUAUUUGCCAUUCGCAUUGUGAGAGUGACAACGAGCAGAGAUUUGGCAUUGUCAUUCGCGAGGGCUCCAAAGCAGCAACAGUAAUUCCUUGUUUUAUUGAUUUUUCUUUCCUCACAAAUGUUUUUCAUCCUUUUUAUAUGUGUAAGAUUUUUUGCUAAUUGUUUGAUGCUUUUUCUUUUUCUUUUUUGUAUUUGUUGUUAACAGAACAUCCCACGCACUAAAGGAACCAGUUUCACAAGAUGCCAGGCCCGAACUGGCAUAUAUGUGUUUCCUUGGAAGUAGGCUUGCAACAGAUCUUGGUUCGAUAGGAUAGGACAUGGCUAGAGUUGGGGGUGAAGAAGAUGAAGGAAGUAUGCCCUAGAUGCAAUAAUAAAGUUGUUAUUUAUAUUUCCUUAUAUCAUGAUAAAUGUUUAUUAUUCAUGCUAGAAUUGUAUUAACGGGAAACUUGAUACAUGUGUGAAUACAUAGACAAAAUAAAGUGUCCCUAGUAUGCCUCUACUUGACUAGCUCGUUAAUCAAAGAUGGUUAAGUUUCCUGACCAUAGACAUGUGUUGCCAUUUGAUGAACGAGAUCACAUCAUUAGGAGAAUGAUGUGAUGUACAAGACCCAUCCAUUAGCUUAGCAUUAUGAUCAUUAAGUUUUAUUGCUAUUGCUCUCUUCAUGACAUAUGCAUAUUCCUCUGACUAUUAGAUUAUGCAACUCCCGAAUACUGUAGGAACACCUUGUGUGCUAUCAAAUGUCAAAACGUAACUGGGUGAUUAUAAAGAUGAUCUACAGAUGUAUUCGAAGGUGUUUGUUGGGUUGGCAUAGAUCGAGAUUAGGAUUUGUCACUCCAAGUAUCAAAGAGGUAUCUCUGGGCCCUCUCGGUAGUGCACAUCACUAUAAGCCUUGCAAGCAAUGUGACUAAUGAGUUAGUUAUUGGAUGAUGCAUUACGGAACGAGUAAAGGCAUUUGCCGGUAGCGAGAUUGAACUAGGUAUGAGGAUACCGGCGAUCAAAUCUCGGGCCAGUAACAUACCGAUGACAAAAGGAAUAACAUAUGUCGUUAUUGCAGUUUGACCGAUAAAGAUCUUCGUAGAAUAUGUACAAACCAAUAUGAGCAUCCAGGUUCCGCUAUUGGUUAUUGACCAUAGACGUGUCUGGGUCAUGUCUACAUAGUUCUCGAACCCGUAGGGUCCGCAUGCUUAACGCUCGAAGAUGACUUGUAUUAUGAGUUAUGUGUUUUGGUGGAUCUAGGCAGCUGGAAGGCUCGGGAGCUGGAGUUGUAUUGACUUCCCCACGAGGUGAUAAAUUUUCUUAUGUUCUUCGGUUGAUGUUCCCUUGUACUAAAAAUCAAGCUGAGUACGAGGCCUUGCUCCAUGAUCUUCAUAUGGCUAAGGAGAUGAACUUGAGCCGGGUGAGGUGUUUCGGCGACUCAGAUCUGGUAGCUCGGCAAGUUUCUGACACUUGGGACUCUAAGGAUCCGCUCAUGGCGGCUUAUCUUUAAGAGGUUGAUGCUAUCGUAGGUCACUUCGAGGGUUAUCAAGUUGAACAUGUUGAUUGCAGGAAAAUGAGGUACCCGAUGCUUUAAGACGGUUAGGGUCUCAGCGUAAGCUGGUGCCACCUAAUACUUUCCUUGAUAUUCUGCAUAACCUUUCUGUCAAAUUGCCUAUAGAAGAGGAUCUUGCUAUUCCUGACCCAAAAGCACAAUUGGUGGCAGCUCUUCAUGCUAUUCCCGACUGGACGGUUCCAUAUUUUGGCUUAUAUGACCCGGGGCGAGUUACCCGAGGAUGAAACUUUGUCCAGGCAGAUAACCCAGCGGUCUAAGUCAAUGACUAUUGUCAAUGGAGAGUUGCAUCAUCGCAGUGUCACAGGGGCGUUUCAACGUUGUGUUUCUCCUGAAGAUGGCUGUGAGAUUUUACGAGAGAUUCAUGAAGGAGAUUGUGGUCAUCAUGCCGGUUCUGAGUCUCUCGUAGCCACAACUUUCCAUCAUGGGUUUUAUUGGCUGACGGCUCAUGCUAAUGCUGAGGAUCUAGUAAGUAAAUGUGAUGAUUGUCAGAAGUUUUCACGACGAGCUCAUGUGCCGGCUCAAAAUUUGAGGAUGAUUCCGAUUGCUUGGCCAUUUGCAGUCUGGGGGCUUGAUAUGGUUAGGCCUUUCAAAAGGUCCAAAGAUAAAAAGACUCACCUUUUGGUGGCGGUUGACAAGUUUACAAAAUGGGUUGAAGCAGAGCCAGUUGGCAAGUGUGACACGGCGACAACGGUUCAAUUUAUCAACAAGGUGAUUUUCUGUUUCGGCUUUCCCCAUGGUAUUAUAACUGAUAAUGGAACUAAUUUAUCCAAGGGUGCUAUGAAAGAAUUUUGUCAACGUGAGCAUAUUCCGCUUGACCUAUCAUCAGUGGCUCACCUCAAGUCUAGUGGUCAAGAUGAGAGAACCAAUCAAGAGAUCCUGAGAGGCAUCAAGCCCCGGCUUAUAGUUCCUUUGCAGAGGACGCCGGGUUGUUGGGUCGAGGAGUUACCAUCAGUAAUAUGGAGUAUCAAUACUACCCCCAACAGAUCUACGUGUUACACGCCUUUCUUCAUGGUUUACGGAGUAGAGGCGGUUCUCCCUAGUGACAUCCGUCAUGACUCACCCCGUGUGGCAGCUUAUGUUGAAGAUGACAAUGAAAAAGCACAUCAGGAUGAACUUGACCUGUUAGAUAAGGAGCAUGAUCUUCCGAUGGCUCGUUCGGCGAAAUACCAACAAGAUGUGCACAAGCUAUCCCCGCCUUGGGAAGGGCCCUUUCUGGUCAGCUAUCCCCGUUAUUACAGCCGCCAGGUUAAAACCAGAACCUUUCAAGAAGGUGACUUGAUACUUCGGCUUAUCCAGGAUCAAUCUGAUAUGCACAAGCUAUGCCCGCCUUGGGAAGGGCCCUUUGUGGUCCGCAAAAAUCUGAACAAUGGGUCAUACUACCUUAUCGAUGUUUGACCACAAGGACUCACGCACGUCGGAGGAGGAAACUCGCCGGCCAUGGAAUAUUGCUCAUCUUCGGCCUUACUAUACCCGAGCCACCGGCUCUCCUGAUGAACAUAUUUUGACAAUGCAUAUAUUAUAUUCAAUAUAAUAAAGCCGACAUCCUUGAUAAUUCAGGGCCUCUAUCGUGUCAUUUCUCAGAAACCGAGUCUUUAUAAUUACUUUCUAUGAUCACUUAAAGGCUUGAUGCCGAGUUACAGGGACCAAAGAGAGUUUGUUGCACGGCACAACUCAAACAUAGGUACCCGGUGAGCACAGCUCAGAAAUAUAUCACUUGGGGGCUUCCUGCUCAUCUAGCAUAGCUAUGACUACCCUUGUUGAUCCUGCUUAUAUGCUUGACAUAAAAUGUUACUUGGGGGCUCUUUUUUCAGUGGACGAGAGUUUUUACGACCCUUGUAACAGGCUUAAAAGCCAGGCUUGGAAGCCAGGUGUAUUCACCUAAAAACCUGGGUUAUCCUGCCUUUUUAAGUCAGCUACUCUGCCCAGGUAAUCCUGGAACGACCCGCCGUACUUUUGACAAGUCAAUCUUAUACAAACCCUAAACUUGUCAAAGUUAAAACGACGAUUGUUUAUGUGAGGUCCGGGUUAUAAGGUUUGUAUGAAGGUUUAACUCAGUGGUUGUGCGGCCCUUGAAAGCACUUGAUUUUUAGGCCUGGCUGCCUAUGAAAGCCUUGAUUUCUUGUUAUUUGAUUUGAACAUUUUUGAGGUUCCUCUCCUGUGAACAUAUUAAUGCAUGAUUAAAAACCGAUGAGGGCUAUGAUGCCUUAUGCUUCAUACAUGAAACUACCUGGUGUUUAUUAACCAGGCCUGGCUUUGGACUAUAAUUUGCUAGUGUAUGAUGAUCUUAUAUACUUGGAAGCGCUAUGCUCUAAGUUUUGGGAUGUUACCCCUUGCUGCAUAUGACGUAUUAAGCCGGCGGUAUAUGUCAACUUGCACAAAGCAUUGUAUGCUCAAUCUUUUGGGUUGUCACCCUUAUUGCACUUGUAUAAUGAGCCGGCAGUAUGAUCAAAUAUCAUAGAACAAAGAAAUACAAUCUGCCCUACCUAAUGAUAUCAUAUGCAUAAGUGGCAUAUGUUCAACUGGCAGUUCAACAAUGUUAUGUAACACAAAACGUGCAUGAUGCCACGGCAUAUCAGAGUUCAACUAAAUUAUUACAUGGCUCGGCGAGCCCAAAUGUUUAAGUGUUUUUUCAGAAGAUCAAAUAUAUGAACUACCCAGCGGAUCAAUUUUCUUGACCUUAAUGGCUUGAAGCUUCUGGGUCAUCCUUCGACGGUUCUUCGUCCUCCUCCGUCGUCUAGAAGUUUGCUGAUGACCAAUCAAUGCCAUGCAGGGCUUGGAAUUCAACUUCAUCAUCUAUAAGUUUGGCGGAUCAACUUCAGGGGCGAAAGUAUGCUUGCGGAUUGGGGGGAUCAGAUCCAUCAGUUUAUAAGCUGAUGUGGGAAUCUUCUGAUUCUCCGUAUCAUAAGCCGACUGAUAUUUUGAAAGAUUUGUUACAUCAACAAUCAUACCCGCCAGAGGAUGUAUUUCAUUCACACAGGCAGCAAAGUCUUUCUGGUCAAACAGAGUGCCAUCUUCUUUCAAGCUUGGAUACCCACUAGCUACCUCGGACGUGUCUAGCUCUGGUAGCCAUGCCUUAGCCCGGCUUAAGGCCGUCACAGCAUCGGCUCUUGCAGUGUAACGCCCUCGAUGCGGCUAUAUCUCCCACAUGUCGAAGCACGACUUAGAGGCAUAACCGCAUUGAAAGCAAUGUCGUAAGUGAGGUAAUCUUCACACAACCCAUGUAAUACAUAAGGGAAAGAGAUACAUAGUUGGCUUACAAUCGCCACUUCACACAAUUACAUGAAUAAAGCAUUACAUCACCCAGGUGCAAUCAAGGUCCGGCUACGGAACCAAAAUAAAAGAAGACUAUCCCAAAUGCUACACAGAUCCCCGAUCAUCCCGACUGGGCUCCACUACUGAUCAAAUAGAACGAAACAACACAAAGGACAAGAUCUUCAUCGAGCUCCUCCUUGAGCUUGGUUGCGCCACCUGCACGGUUCAACGGCACCUGCAAGCUGGUUUUGGAAGUAUCUGUGAGUCACGGGGACUCAGCAAUCUCACACCCUCGCGAUCAAGACUAUUUAAGCUUAUGGGUAAGGGUAAAAGGUAUGGGGUGGAGCUGCAACAAGCGACUAGCAUAUAUGGUGGCUAAACAUACGCAAAUGAGAGCGAGAAGAGAAGGCAAAGUAGGGUCGAACAACUAUGAUCAAGAAGUGAUCCUAGAACAACCUACGUCAAGCAUUACUCCAACACCGUGUUCAGUUCCCGGACUCCGCCGGAAAGAGACCAUCAUGGUUACACACGCGAUUGAUGUAUUUUAAUUAAGGUCAACUUCAGGUUUUCUACAACCGGAAAUUAACAAAUUCCCAUCUGCCCAUAACCGCGGGCACGACUUUCGAAAGUUCAAAUCCCUACAGGGGAGUCCCAACUUAGCCCAUCACAAGCUCUCACGGUCAACGAAGGAUAUUCCUUCUCCCGAGACAUUCCGAUCAGGCUCGGCAUCCCGGUUACAAGACAUCCUCGACAAUGGUAAAACAAGUCCAGCAACACCGCCUGAAUGUGCCGACAAAUCCCGAUAGGAGCUGCACAUAUCUCGUUCUCAGGGCACACUCAGAUGAGCUCUCCAUACAACUAAAACCAAACCUUGAGUAUCCCCGAGGGGGCGCUGCACAGGGCUCUAGUUUGGACCAACACUCAGAGGAGCACUGGCCUGGGGGGUUAAAAUAAUGAUGACCCUUGAGUCUGCAGAACCCAAGGGAAUGAAAAGGCUAGGUGGCAAAUGGUAAAACCAAGGUUGGGCAUUACUGGAGGAGUUUUAUUCAAGGCGAACUGUCAAGGGGUUCCCAUUAUAACCCAACCGCGUAAGGAACACAAAAUCCGGGAACAUAACACCGAUAUGACGGAAACUAGGGUGGCAAGAGUGGAACAAAACACCAGGCAUAAGGCCGAGCCUUCCACCCUUUACCAAGUAUAUAGAUGCAUUAAUUAAAUAAGAGAUAUUGUGAUAUCCCAACAGAAUAUCCAUGUUCCAACAUGGAACAAGCUCCAAUCUUCACCUGCAACUAACAACGCUAUAAGAGGGGCUGAGCAAAGUGGUAACAUAGCCAAACAAUGGUUUGCUAGGACAAGGUGGGUUAGAGGCUUGGCCUAACAAUAUGGGAGGCAUGAUAAGCAAGUGGUAGGUAUCGCAGCAUAGGCAUAGCAAAGGAGCGAGCAACUAGCAAGCAAAGAUAGAAGUGAUUUCAUGGGUAUGGUCAUCUUGCCUGAAAUCCCGCAAGGAAGAAGAACAAGUCCAUGAAGAAGAACAACGGACGUGGACGAACGGGUCCACACAAACGCAACGUUAACGGAACCAACCUGAAGAAGCAACACCGGAAAGAAGCACACAACAUAGUAAACAACCACAACAUAACCAUGGCAUGAUGCACAAUCAAGUAUGAUGCAUGUCCGUUUUAAAGAGGCAUGGCAUGGCAAAAUGCACAAGCAAUCCUACAACUUAAGUGGAGCUCAAUAUGCAACGGGAUGCAUAUUGACGGAACACCCCAUUUGAGUUACUUAGUUCGAUCUCGUUUAUGUAGCCAACAAGAUUAAAUGUUGUUAGCAUGGCAAGAGGGUGAAGCAAAGUAAAACUACCUAUCUAGUCAAGUCUAAAUGAGGCCGGAAGCAACGAACAACAAUUCCGGUAAAUCCCCAUAUGCGUAUAUUAUGUUUGGUUUUGUUCUGCCCUAAACCAAAUUUUAGAGUUGUUAAACAUGCAAAGUGAGGCCACCAUGUUAAACUAGGCAUUUUCCACCCCAUUUACAUAUAAAGAUUAUUAAAUUUGGAGCUACGGUUAUUUAGUUAUGGAAUUAAAGCAUUUUAACAUGUUAAUAGAGCAAAAUAAAGAAACCAUCAUUUUAAACAUGUCAAACAUGAUUGAAAGUUGGAUAUUAUUAAACUAGAUGAAAAUCUAGUCAUGAUACAUAUAUGACAUGUUUUAUUUGGAUGCAUGGUUCAAAAGUUAUUAGCAGUUUAACAUAGGGGCAGUUCUGUAAAUAUGCAGUGCACUAGUUAAAUAGAAAAAAAUUGUUCAGCGAAAAAACGUGUCUCAGGCCGAAUCUGGCUGGCCUAACCGCACAGAGAUCUGAAGGGGGGUUCUCACCAUGGGCUUGGCCCAGAUCUGUGGAGGAGGAGGCCUGGCAAGGCACGCUAGCCUUGGACGUGGUCGGCCCACAUGCGCGCGAGGAAGGUGGCCCAGUAGGGAAGCGCUCGUCCUCCUCUGCUCGAGAAGAGGCAGGAGCAUGGCGCGGCGGCUGCCGGCGAUGCGGACGGCGGCGCGACGCGUAGGGAGCCAGAGGACGACGGGGAUGGAUGGAUCCGAGGACGGGUGUUCCAGAUCCGAUGACAGAUGUGGUCCACGACGCUCGGGGAUGCGGGAUCCGGCGAGGUGGAGCUCGUCCAUGGUGGCGGCGGCGGUUUCCUAUGGCAACAGAGGGAGGGAGAGAGCUGGUGAGGAGAGGAAGGAGAACAGGAAGGGAGAGAGAGGGAGGCGAGGGCGGCACUGGCCUGCUGCUCGUCUGCAGGAGCAACUCCGGCGAGGUCCGCGCGGUGACGGGACAGACCGGCGGAGGAGCUCGGAUCGGGAUCUCCCUCUCCCGAUCUGGAGCUCGAAGAGUAGGGGCGGUGCGGUGCUGGCCUCAGAGCCCAGAUCGUGGCCUGGCGCGGGCCUGGCAGCACGGGGGGAUAGGAGCGGGGCAGGGAGGCCACGUGGCACGCCCUGGAUGGCCAGGUGCGGUGGUUGCAGCGGCGCAGGCCAAUGGGGGCUCGCCAAGUGGCGCUGGUGAGGUGGCUGGCGCCGGAUUUGGAGGGGGAAGGCGGCUGGUGGCACAGAAUUUGAGGAGGGAGGCGGCAGGGAGGUAGGGGAAGGGCUAGGCUGCCAAAUUUGGAAGGGGGUUGUCCAUAUAUAGGCAGGGAUGGCUAGGGUUUGGGUUUAGGGGGGGUUUAGGAGCGUUUCAGAGCCUCCGAUCGCGAUCUGACGGUCUGGAACGUAGGGGGUUUAGGUGGGUUGCAGGUGGGUUGUGAAAAGAGGUUGGGCUAAGAUGAGAGGAGAGGAGUGUAGCCCGGCAACUGUUUUCGAAGACCGAAAACGCCCGACGUUUUGACCGACUAUAAUGUCGCUAUAUUUAUCCGUUGGGGCAUCAAACGAACUCCGAAUGCAAUGAAACUUGGCAGGCGGUCUAUCUACACUAUAAUAAGACCACACGCCAACUUUCAACCCAUUCCGAGAACAUUUUCUGGUAACUUAUAAAAUACAAGUUCGGACAUGCCGCGGGCGCUUGCGAGUGUGUCUGGGCUCAGAACGGACAACGGACGGAACUGGGGGAACCCGGACGGAUGCAAGUUUCGAAAACAUGAUGAUGCAAUGCACAUGAUGACAUGACAAGAUGCGACACGCAAGCAAAUGACAAAGCAACAACAACGAAAUAACUGGAAGACACCUGGCGCAACGGUCUCGGGGCGUUACAUGCAGAUGACCGCUUUAUCUCUUCAAUCCUAGCAGGGAGAAUAGAAAGAUUCUUCAAGACGCCACUCAACAGAGUGGGGGCUUGAUUAGCUGGAGAAAUCAUGGCCAGCAUGCGUUGAGUUCCAGUAUAUAGCUGUUCAAUAAGGGUAUCUACGACUUUGAGCUUCACAAGCAUUAUCUGACCAAGAUUGCUACUCCUAGGACCUGUGUAACAAUUGUGGAUUGAUGAGAGACAAUUUAUGACAUGAAAGAAAAGACUCGAUUAUGAUGCUAGUAAUGUUACUUACCAAAGAUAGCAGAAAUCAUCUGGGAUAUGGGGUGUUUUAAGCCGGUAAGCUCAGUGGAUAUCUCUUGAAGAGAAGCUUCAACUUUUUCAGCCUGAUGUAUCAGAGCAGUUCUUUCCUCAGCCCAGGCGGUUCUUUCAGUAUCAAAAUUGGUCUUCAGUUUUUCUGUCUCAGCCAGACUAAAAUUGAAUUUUGAGUCGGCCUUCUGGGUCUCGAAUUCUUGAUGCUCCAGCCGGGUUUUCACAUCCGCCAAUUGUGAUUCAAGUUGAGAAGUGGCGUCCUAUACAUGCACAGAUUUGCAAUCAUAUGCAUAUUUGGGUUACAGGAAUAAAAGUCCCAAGCCUUUUUGCAAGCUCCAACACUUGGCACUUGGGGGCUAAUGCAUACAGAAAAAUUCUUCAUAUAACGACAAAUAUGAACAAGUCCCAAGAACUUUGCAAGCAAGAGCUCUUGGCACGUGGGGACUAAUGCAUAUUGCUCGCGUUUUCAUUACUCGAAACAUCCCAAAUUUUCAAUUUGAUAUGUUAUACAUAGGUCAUCAUAUGCAUAUCAUAUUUUAUUUGCAUUUUGGUUUUCAUCCUAGAAAUUCUAAGCAACUCAAGGACCCACGAAGAGAGUUGGGGAUUUCAUUUAUUUUCAUAUUUGAAUUCUUUUCUCAAAUAUUGAAAAGAGGAUCAUUUAGGUUUUAAUUAUUUUUCCUCUCCGAAAAUAUUUACAAUAUUAAAAAUAAAAGAGAGGAGAUAAUAUGACUUCUCCAAAACAAUAGAAAUAUUGGGGGGAAAUGUUAAAAUCAAAUAAUUAUUUUAUUUGGAUUUUAUUUGAAUUGUAAAAAAAUAUGCAUGUUUCAAAAUUGCAUUUUAGGCCAAGAAAAUGUUCACUAAGUUCUAAAUAUUUAAUUUAGAUGGUGAAAAUUGUUUUUCGCAUUUUUAAAAAAAAUUAUAUAUUUUUAGGAUUUUUUCCUUUUCGGCAGAAUCAUUAAAAAAAAUUGCGCCUGACUUGGCCAACGACCCAGCCAAGCGGGCCGAAGCCCAGCUGCCGUGUCCGCCUUCACUACGCGGGAGCGUGUUGCCGCCGGACUCGUCCCCUUGCCAGACUCUGCCUCGCCCCGCCUUCUUGCCCCCAUCCCCAAGCCGCCUCGGACCCCCCGGCCUCCUAUAAGUACGCCGCCACCCCGCCACCUCCCACCUCGUCCCGCCUCAGCCCCCCAACGAGCCGCCGCCGACGCAAUUGCCGCCGCCGCCCGCACCAUCCCGCAACCGCGCCGGAGCUCCGCCGCCUCGCCUCACAGCCACGGACUCGCGUCGCUGCCGCCGGUUUUUCCGGUCCGUCCCGGUUUUUUUAGAAACCCUAGAUUUGGCUUUUUGGAUCGGUUCGGUUUUUCCUCGGUUUUCUCGGUUUAGGUUAAAUAACGAACGUUGGUUUGUUAGUUCAUUUUAACGAGUGAAUUUUGCCCGUUUGCCUCUGUUAGCGAACGUUCGCGCCUUAGUCUUUUUCUUUUUAUUUUAUUUUCGGCCAGGGACCUAUCCGCGAUUAUUUUUAUUGCAGAUUAGCCCCUGAUCUUCAAACCCUCGCAACGUUUUAACCGUUCGUCCAAAUCUAGUGAAACCAAUGCCAAAAUCUUCGUCUCGAGCCUCUCUUUCUGGUUAAUCAACUUGAACAUGAUUUUGACAAUUUAAAAUUUGACAGAUUUGAAUUCGAAGUUCUUUUGACCAUAGUUUCAGUUAUGUAGCUCCGAUUUGACCGAUUCUUUUUGCAAAUCGAAUCUCUUUAGAUGAACUUUCAGAUUGGAUCUUCUUAUUUGGGUUUUACCCUUGCAUCUAUGCUUGAGCGCUUAUGUAUGCUAUUGUUUGUUUGCGAUAGAAUUCCUGGAGUGCGAACCGUGCUACUACGAGUCUCUAGGGUUUGCGGAUCGUCAGCAAGGCAAGUAACACAUUGAUCAUACCCUUUAUUACCCAGUUUUUAUGCAUUAGUUACAACCCUGAAACACUGCAUGAUUAUGACAUGAUUAAGAUGUGAGUACUGGGAAGUAGUUGAUGAUGUAGAACCUAUCGCCCUUUUAUUGUCAAACCCUUGGGAGUUACUUCUACGUGAUACUUAUAUUUCCAUCCUAUGCUCGUAGACGUGGAUUGGGUUUGAGUACCCGUGUGGGCACCUGGAGAAUCCAGUGUUGUCCUAGGAUAUCCCGGAGUACCCGUGUGAUCAUCCUAUGGUUCGCCACACAAGCUCAAAGGGAUCAUAAGAUUAUUCAUGAUAGAAAUUUCCGUGUGUAGCCACAAGCUAUUAUGGGCUCUAGCAUAGUUGAGUAAGUUGCAUGACCUCUUUUAGUGGUGGGCUAGCAGAUGUAGGGUAAAGUAGGUGUAACUGUUCACCCAGAGUAAAGAGUUAAUGUUUCUGAAAGGCUGUGUCUCGGUCAUCCAUUUCUCAAACACCAUGUAGUGCGAGAAAUUCAAUGGAGGAUAUCGUGUCUUGUGGGGAAAAGUGCGCAAACCUCUGCAGAGUGUACAAACUAAUCAUGGUUAGCCGUGUCCCUGGUUAUGGACAUCUUGAGUAUCUGGUUCUUGGAUUAUCAUGUUGAUCUCAUCACUUUAAAUUAAUUUGUUGGGUUUUUAAUACUGCUUAAUUGGGAUUGAGUUGGAGGAAACUUCUCAAUGUUUAACAACUACAAUGAUAUUUAAACAAGAUAUAUUCCUUUGUUGUAGGCAAAAAUUGGCUUUUCGCAAAAACAAUAUAACCAUGGAGCCUCCACCAGCCUCAUAUGCAUGUAGUUACAGCAUUUAUUCUGUUCAUUGCUCUACUGUGUUAUAUUGCCAGCAUAUUCCAUAUGCUGACCCGUUUCGGGCUGCAACAUAUCAUGUUGCAGACUUUUCAGACGAAGAGUAAGGUGAGCUAGGUCGUUGUCGUGCACUCAGCUAUGCCGUUGGAGUUGAUGUACUCACUUUAUCUUUCAAGCCUUCCGCUAUUAUCUUAUUUAGAUGGCCUUAAGCCAUAUUAUUUGUAAUAAGUUCUCCUUUGAGAUAUUCGAUGUUAUAAGUGUGUGAUUGCACUCUAUUAUAAAUCCUUCAAAGUACUGUGUGUGUCAGCAUUACCAAUCCAGGGAUGACACUUAUGCACAGAGAUUUGACUGUUUGAGGACGGAUCGCUACAUUACUACUUUAUGAUGACCCGGUUGUGCUGUAAACAACCACAGCCGGCUCAUGGGGGAUACACAAGUAAGUUUUGAUUUAUAAACAAAGAAGAACAGUACCAGUUCAUUCAUGAUGAUUAAACCGGCCCUUGGGGCCUACUGAUGCAAUGUGAAUCCUUAAAGAUCCGGUUUAACUUUGACGGUGAAAGCCGGCUUUUGAAGGAUUCUACCAAAGAUGCUUUUAUACUCAUAGCUAUUUAAGUCUACCGCAUAUUCUAUUUCUAUUAUACAAAGUAGACUUGGGGGCUGAGAGGAUGAAAGUGCGUUAUAUCGACUAGACGUGGGGUGAAUAGGCGAUUUUUAUGAAAGUCUUCAAAAUGUGGAAGUUAUGAAGACAAACGAUAGAAAUAAACCUAUUACCAUGCAGCGGAAGGUAGACCACACUAGGAAAACCAUAGUCAAGUAUUCAAUGGAGUGAACGCACAAUGACUAAUAGCAGCAAUGUAGUAAGGAGCAGGUAGGAAGAUAUUAUGAAGCCAAACAGAACACGUAGUCACUCAGUGAAGAUACAAGAUAGUGCAAUCAUACAAUGACUUCACAAGGGCCAACAGUAAGUAAAGGGAAGGAAAGGAUGAAACCAGUGGCACGUUGAAGACAAUGAUUUGCUGGACCAGUUCCAGUUGCUGUGACAACUGUACGUCUGGUUAGGGCGGCUAGGUAUUUAAACCUGAGGACACACAGUCCCGGACACCCAGUCCUGAACACGCAGCUCAGGACACCCAGUCCUCACUGUAUUCCCCUUGAGCUAAGGUCACACAGACCUCGCCCAAUCACUCUGGUAAGUCUUCAAGGUAGACUCCAGACUUCAUUCACCGGCGAUCCACAAUGUCUCUUGGAUGCUCAGAACGCGACGCCUAACCGGCUGGAGGAUUCACAGUCCUCAAGUGUAAUAAGUCUUCAGAUCACACAGACAAGAAGACUUAAGUGAUGCCUAAUUCUCUUUGGCUCUGGGUGGUUAGGGCUUUAUCCUCGCAAGGAAUUCUCUCUCAAAGGCUUCGAGGUGGGUUGCUCUCAAACGACAAAAGCCGUACACUAACUCUGAGCAUCCAACCAUUUAUGGUUGUAGGGGGUGGGCUAUUUAUAGCCACUAGGCAACCCGACUUGAUUUGUCCGAAAUGACCUUGGGUCACUAAGGAACUGACACGUGUUCCAAUGGUCAGAUUUAAAGCUCACACGGCAACUUUACUUGGGCUACAAGAAAAGCUGACUUGUCCUACUCUGGACAAGAUUCGCUCUCAUAGUCUUCACUCGAAGACAUAGGUUUUGGUUAAGCAUCACUUCAGACAUUCUGACUGGUUCUCUUGGACCCCACUUAACAGUACGGUGGUUCCUAUGACUCAACAAAGGAGAAAAACAACUACAAAAGAUCUAAGUCUUCGAGCUCCAUAGGCUUCAUGCGAUGUCUUCUCUUUCCAUAGUCUUCAAUGUGAAUAUCUUCAUAUACCACCUUUGACAUCAAUGUCUUCAUACAUUUUUAGGGGUCAUCUCUGGUAGGAAAACCGAAUCAAUGAGGGACUUCUACCUGUGUUAUCCUGCAAUUCUCACAAACACAUUAGUCCCUCAACUAGGUUUGUCGUCAAUACUCCAAAACCAGCUAAGGGUGGCACUAGAUGCACUGACAAUCUCCCCCUUUUUAGUGAUUGAUGACAAACUAGUUGAAGUUUUCAACGGGGAAUAUAAUAUGUGAAAUUGUAAAGGAUAAGGAAUUGUCUUCAUAAGUUGCAAGGGCUCCCCCUGAAGAUGUGCAUAUAAGUAAUUUGCUUUUGGAAUGCAAAUGCACAUGGCAGGUUGUGCUUGUGGAGAUCCUCUUCAACUUAUGAUGACAAUCCACUAUGCAUGUGAAGGUAUGUGAAGAUAAUGACAUGCAUAAUGGAAAAUGGAUGUUUGCAAAAUGAUCUAAGUGCGGAAUUUAUCGUCGCACAUGCGGAAUUUAUCAUCGCAUCACAAAAUGGCAAAUAAGUAGCAGACGACCAUCGAGUUUAAGUGUUACAACUCAAAGAACCAAAUGUAGCAAAACGAGAGUUGUAAACACGAAGAAAAAUAUGAAUUACCCGCCCAUAUGGACCCGCUUGAAGACUAUCAAACUCAUAUGCUUCUCCCCCUUUUGUCAGUAAGGACCAAAAAGGUUUGAAGACACAGAGCAUCUACUCGUUCCCAUGAAGAGUAGGUGAAGCAGCAGGGUCGUCGGUGGUGUUCGGCGGUGCAGAAGAACUUGGAGCAGUGUCGAAGCGUGCUGAAGGAGGUGGUGGUGAAGUAGCAUCGUCUUCAUCCUCGAUCACUCUGGCAUUCACAGUUGCAGCAGAGGAAGAGAACUCAGAGUCUUCAAGAGAUGGAGUUCGUCGCAGCACUGCCCUUCGAGGAGCUGUGGAGUCAAACUUGAAGCGCUCAGAGAAGCCAUCCUCUUGAAGAUCAUCUUCAGAACACAUCAGUGUCAGCCCUUUCCAAGUGCAUCGAGAGGUUUCAUGGGCAAUAAAGGCAUUCUUGGUGGCAAGAUUGCGAAUGCGAUUAACAUCCACCAAGAGGCUUUGCAUUUGACACUUUAGCAGGUCAUGAUGCCUAUCCUGUUUCUGAUGAAGAGCCACAAGAAGCUCUCGGUCGUUGAGAACACGAGUGUGCUUCUUAGGUCGUUGGGCAAUUGUGCUAUCAGUGGCUUUAGUGAGAGCAGGAUGCAGUGCACGUGUAGUGCCAGCCAAAAGAUACACACGAGUGACUGCUUCAACUCCUUCAAUGUUCUGAGAAAAACUUUGAUGCUCUGCAUUCUGAAGACUUAGAGGUUCCUUGGCAGGCUCAGGAUAGAUGGCUUCAAUAGAUAUAUCCACAUCAGGCAGAAAGAUCCGAUGAUUGCGAGUAGAUGGCUGAUAUGAAAUAGCGGAGUGAAGUUUGAUCAGCCGCAUUACCCAUGGGGCGUAGAACUUCAAACCAAACAGAUCAGAGCCUGAUGCAGCAAGUUGGCGAAUGAAAAAGUCCUAUGCAUUGAAGCAUUUUCCAUGAAGAAUAUAAAAGACCAAAGUCAUUGCACCUUCCAGCUUGGCAUGUGGAGAGUGUCCUUUGAUGGGCCAGAGAGUUCGCCUUAUGAUGUGAUAAAUAGUCCUUGGAAGAUACUCAAGGUCUUCAACAAAGAACUCUUUGGGAUAUGCAGCAUCUUGGGGCAAUGGCUUCAUCAUACUGAGCAUCUGACUCAUGUUAGGUUCAGGCUUCUGAAAGAUGCUCUCCACAGCUUCACUGUGAAGUUGACAGCCAGAUUCGUAGAGAUCGCCAGGAGUGGGUAGACUAGUGAGCUCAAUGAUGUCAAAGUCUUUGGCUUCAUGAUGAACGUUUCCUGUCAUCCACUCCAGGACCCAAGUCUUCAGAUCUCUAUUGUACCUGCGGAUGUGAAGUGUGGCAUAGAAUUGUAGCAGCAACUCUUCAUUCCAAUGCUCUUGGUCAGUGACGAACGGCAGCAAUCCAACCUCUUUGAAGCAAUCCAGAGCUUCUUCCAGACAGGGCAGACCAGCUAUUGCUUCAAUGUCAAGAUGCUUGUGUGGGAAGAUGUGACCUUGAUUGUAAAGAAUGCAGGAGUAAUAGCUUCGCUGCGGAUAGCUCCAGAACCGAUCAGAUGAUAUUCUUUCCCUUGAGUAGGGGUUCCUGGAGCUAUUGAAGAAAGUGUUGUCUGCUUUGAAGCCAUUGAUAUUGAAGGAUCCAGGUGCUGAUGCAGGACCUGGGAACCUGGGGAAUCUUGGGAUUGGCUUCUGUACCUGAGGCCUGUGCUCAACAUGAUAGUCGAACUGAGGACCGACAGCAGGCGCAGGAACAGAAGCAGUGGGAUCAGUGGCUUCGCUGACUUCUGGUGCUUUUGUUGGUGAGGGCUCUACAUUAGCUUCAGUCAUGACAACGUCAGUGGCUUCAUUGGUGUUGGUGGUGGCAGCCUCAAGAUUUUCAUCCUCCGCUUGACGAGCUGGAGGGUCAGUCACAUUCAUGUUCUCCUCGAGAACCGCUUCUUGGUGGAACAGGGGAGUUGCAGCUUGUGGGGCUUCUUCUUCAUCGGCUGAUGCAGCCGGAAUGUCUUCAGAAGCUUUAGCUUCAGACCUAGACACUGGAGGCCUUGGUCCUUUGUGAAGCCUGCACAACGCUGGCGACGCCUGUGUAGUUGGAGUUGGCUGGGCCUCAAAGUCUUCUUCCUCUUGUGGACGAUCAGCCCAUGAAGCAUCCUGAGCAAUUGGCAUCAGAGGAUGACCAAUGCUGAUGAGUUCGUUGUGCUCGAGCUGAGGAAGGACUGCAUCAUCUUCAAUAUGGUCAUGGUGACUAAUGUCUUCAGCAGCGAUGGGAUCAGCUGCUGGAAAGUCUUCAGCUUCAUGAGCCUCUGUUAAAGCAGCCUCAUGGAUAGUCAGUUGACGUUCUUGCGGUUCAGCGUCUGGGUGAACCAUGGAGAUGGGUUCGACAAUCAAGGGCUCUGUGGGAGCAGCCCGUUCUUUCCUGGUCUUCCUCUUCUUCUUGGAGGGGGUAGUAGCAGAGGCUUCAGGAUGUUUCCUCUUCCUGGCUUCAGCCUCAGCAGUCCUCAUCUUCUUCAGCUCUGAAGCGGUGGACUGGGCCUUUGGCUUCGAGCCAGUCAUGCUAGUUGGGAAGACAAUGGGAUCUGCUUCCUGCCUUGGUGCGAGAGGUUCGGCCACAAUGGGCUUCUUCUUCUGCUUAGCAGCCAUCCUGGGAUCAAUGCCAGGACGCCCAAGGGCCUUGCGCUUCUCAGCCUCGUUGUAGCCUUGCACACACUUGUCAGUUAGGCUCUUCAUGCGCUCCCGAGAACCCUGAGCUUCUGCGCAUUUCUUGAGGAAGGCUUCUUUGAGCUCGUGCAGCAUAAUCUUGAAGUUUUUCACCUCUUGCACGCUGAGUUUGGCCAUAUGCUUCUUGAACUAAGCCUUUUCAUAGCCAAUCUUUUUCUUUAGUUCGAUGAUGUGCUGAGCGAGAGUUAGCUUUGAAUCAAUGGUGCCAUGAAAGGCGACACUGAGGCCAAUGGGUAAUUGCAGAUCUUCGAAGCUGAUGUUUGGCGUGUCAAACCACUCAUCAAUGAAGUUGUUGAUGAUUUUUACGUCAAAGAGAGGCAGAUCAUUGAAGAUUUCUACUUUUUCUUUGCUCUUGAUGAGUUCCUCAAGAGCGUCAUCUGCAAGAUCUUCAUCACUAGACAGAUCAAUGGCAUUGUUGCGCAGAAUGGCAGCAGCUGUGAGCUCUUGGCCGGUGUGUGGCAGAGGCAUCUUUACCUUCUGGGGCUUGGAGAUGCGUGACAAAUCUUUAGACUGCACACUGUCUUCAAGAGGUGCAGUAGCCAGUGGCUUCGCCCGUGAGAUUUUUGGUGCAGAAGCCGGCUUUGAAGCUUUUGGCUGCUUCAGCUUCUUUGGCUUCGGCGCUACAGGCACUUCAUCUGAUUCAGCGUCAUCUGCAGGCUCAUUCACGGCUAUCUCUUGAACCACGAUGUGAGUGAUGAGACCUUCCAAGUUGUAGAAGGGCCCAAGAAGAUUGGGUUAAUCUUCACGAGUUCCAUCGGCACGGGGAGCAGAGGUACCAGGGUUGAAAUCUAAUCCCAAAGACUUCUUGUUCUGCUUCGCUGAGUUCUGGGCAAACUAGAAGUUGAGCUUAAACAGAUUGUCGUCACGACACCAUAGCAGGGACGAUGGGUCAGCAUCCGCAAGCUAUGGUCCACGGACCAUGCAGGGAUAGAAGCCUUGUUCAAUGGCUUCAUCUCUAGUCCUGGGUUGAAGAUUUUUGUGGAGGAUAUCUCCCCAUGGUCGCUUGAUGGCAUUCUUUUCAGCAUAUUCCUUUGUCACAAAUCUGUACUUGAACCACUGUUCUGCACAAUAGCGUCAAAUCCAUUGGAUUCAUGUCUUGUGCUGAUUGUAAUCCUCUUCAGGAUCUGUCUUGUACAGCUCUGAGAGGUCAUCAGGCAGAUCUCUUAAUGUUUCUCCUCGACGCUUUCUGCCACCCUUCCUUGCUGAUUUCUCUGAAGCCAUGAACUUUAAACUGAAGGGCUUCAAUACGUUCAAAGGCUUCAAAGGUUUUCGCUUGCUGGACAAACAGGAACUGGGUUCGGGAGAAUUUAUGUGAUGCUGUAAGUAUUCUGCAAAUGAAUGCAGACUAUGAGAACCAAGGGAUUCUCCCACGGACAUGUACCUGUGACAGCAUUAGGGUGCGAGGGAAGGGGAAGAGGUCAUAUGCAUUCUCAGAAGAUUUUGAAGAUAAAUCAGUUUAGAAGACAUUGACCUCAUCGUGCGAAGACAUUUACUCAUAGAUAAGGAGUUGGUUCCAGAUUUGUACGAAUCCAUGGAUCAGUACAAGUGAGGAAUCUAACUACUUUGUGAGAUACAAGUGAAUAUACUAGGCAUAUUAUGAGAUGCAGUAUGUAAGAGAUCCAACUUGUGUUAACAGAAACUGCUUGUGGUAGAAAGUGACGAAGCUAUAGGAUCAAGGGGACUGUAGAAAGGAAGUUUUAUUUACCACACGAAGAGCUGCUAGAAGGAGUGGAAGAGGAGACCGAACAGUUCGAUCGUCCGUGCCCUAACCUGGCGACGGAGGACACCUACGGCGACGGCGGAGAAGACGAUGUCCGCGGUCGGCGUGAAUACGGCGUUGGAGAGGUUGCGGCAGCGAAGCGCUUCGUCGCCGGCGUCGUCGAGGGCUAGCGGUGGCGCUAGGGUUCGUGCGAGAGUGGAAGAAGAGAUAAUGACUGCUGUGAGGUGUGUAUUUAUAGGUACAGGAGCGUCACUAUGUUAUUACACAGGUGCCCCUGGCGAUUCACAUCUGAGGAACACGUGGCCAUCAUGCAGCAUAUCGGGGGUCGUUCCACGUCCCACGCACGCCUGGAUUGUCGGGUGGUCGUUCCCACUUCUCCGAGUUUCAGGUGAAGGAAUGAGCAUUGAAAAUGGACUUAAUGGUUGUCUCUGUAUCUUCUGCUGACAAGGACGCAGAGAAGACAUUCGACGGUUUCAAUAGAAUGCAUAUGACUUGGAGAGAUUGAGUUUGAGAUAGAAAGCAUAGAGAGGUUAGGGUCCGAUCACAUUCACUUAGUUCAAAAGAUUCAACAAGAAGACAUAGCUAUACGUGAAUGCUGUAGAGGACAGAACACUAGUAUAUAUAUAUAUAUAUAUAUAUAUAUAUAUAUAUAAUCAACAUAGUGAAGAUAAUCAUGAAGACAUGUUGAAAUUGAAGCCAAACCAAAUGUGAAGACAUAGCAAAUGUAACACCAUGAGUGAAACACUUCAAACAGAACAUUUUGGUGGUGGUGUUACCCACCGUAUAGGAAGUAUUAGACCCAGACACGGCGCACAAUUAUCGUGGCGCUCCGAAGUCAAAUUCCAUAUUAAUGUAUUCACACUUAGAAUGUAUGUCUUCAUUGAUUCAAGAUAUACUUUACUUCGUGUGUUGCACAUCUAAGUCAUCAAUAUGCAUAAGUGUUAGGAUGUGUGCCUGAUCAUAGGACAUUUGAGGAUUCCAAGAUAUUUAGCUCACAUCUUAACUUGCAAAAUCUCUUUUCAUCCAAGGGCUUGGUAAAGAUAUCUGCCAAUUGCUCUUCAGUGUUGACGUGUAUGAUGUCAAUAUCUUCCUUCACAACAUGAUCUCUGAGAAAGUGAGGACGAAUUUCAAUGUGCUUUGUCUUCGAGUGCUGAAAUGGGUUGUUGGCAAUCUUGAUGGCGCUUUCGUUGUCGCAGUAGAGUGGCACUUGCUUCAGAUGAAUGCCAUAGUCCUGGAGUGUUUUCUUCAUCCACAGAAGCUGAGCGCAGCAAGAUCCAGCAACAAUGUAUUCAGAUUCAGCAGUGGAGAGAGAUACACAGUUCUGCUUAUUUGAAGACCAACAUACAAGUGAUCGUCACAGAAAGUGACAUGUGCCUGAUGUAGACUUGCGAUCCACUUUGUCACCAGCAUAAUCAGCAUCCGAGAAUCCAGCCAGAUCAAACUCUGAGCCCUUUGGAUACAUAAUCCUAGAGUUGGGGUGUGAGCCAAAUAUCGAAGAAUUCGCUUCACAGCUAAGUGAUGUGACUCCUUUGGUGCCACUUGAAAUCGAGCACACAUGCAAACACUAAGCAUAAUAUCUGGCCUAGAUGCACAUAGAUAAAGCAAAGAACCAAUCAUGGAGCGGUAUACCUUUUGGUCGAACUCUUUACCAUUGUCAUCAGGACCCAGAUGAUGCUUGGUUGGCAUUGGCGUCGUGAAGCCUUUGCAGUCUUGCAUACCGAACUUCUUCAGGCAAUCUUUGAGAUACUUCUCUUGAGAUAUGAAGAUGAUGUUGCGUUGCUGCCGUAUUUGAAGACCGAGGAAGAACUUCAGCUCUCCCAUCAUGGACAUCUGAUAUUGCUCUUGCAUUAUAUAUCCAAACUCUUCACUGUACUUCUGAUUGGUGCAGCCGAAGAUAAUGUCAUCCACAUAUAUUUGGCACACAAACAGUUCACUAUCAUAUGUCUUCGUGAAGAGAGUGGGGUCUAGGGAACCUGGUAUGAAGCCUUUUCUCUUCAGGAAGUAUUUGAGUGUGUCAUACCAGGGCCGAGGGGCUUGUUUGAGGCCAUAUAGUGCCUUUUUGAGCUUGUAUACCAUGUCAGGAUGUUUUGGAUCUUCAAAGCCAGGCAGUUGUGCAACAUACACUUCUUCUUCAAUCUUGCCAUUGAGAAAGGUGUUCUUCACAUCCAUUUGAUAUAGAAGUAUGUUGUGAUGAUUUGCAUAGGCCAGCAGUAUGUGUAUGGCUUCAAGUCUAGCCAUAGGAGCAAAUGUUUCAUCGAAGUCAAUGCCUUCCACUUGAGUAUAUCCUUGAGCAACGAGACGAGCUUUGUUUUUGACAACUUGACCAUGCUCAUCUUGCUUGUUGCGGUAUAUCCAUUUGGUUCCUAUUAUGUUGUGCUGCCGAGGAUCAGGACGCUUAACCAGUUCCCAUACAUUAUUCAGCUCAAACUGUUGAAGCUCUUCUUGCAUAGCUUGAAUCCAUUCAGGUUCCAUGAAGGCUUCUUCAACUUUCUUGGGUUCUGUUAUUGAGGCGAAUGCGAAGUGCCCACAGAAAUUUGCUAGCUGAGUUGCCCUUGAUCGAGUGAGCGGACCGGGUGCAUUGAUGCUGUCAAUUAUUCUCUCAAUCUGCACUUCAUUGGCAACACGAGGAUGUACCGGGCGAAGGUUUUGCUCUUGCUGAUCAUUGUCAUUGUUAGUGGGAUUGUCUUUAGGCUGAGCAUUGUCUUCAGGUUGAUCAGGUGCCGAGAUGAUAAGUUCCUCUUCAGGUUGAGCUUCAAAGGGUAUGAUUUCUCCGGUUCCGAUAAGCUUGAUUGAUUCGCUGGAUGGAACUUCAUCUAGCACAUUUGGGAGGUGCUCUCUUUGUGAACCGUUAGUCUCAUCAAACCGCACAUCCACUGUUCCAACCACUUUGUAAUGAAAGAGAUUGAAGACUCUGUAGGAGUGCAAAUCCUUUCCAUUUCCAAGCAUUAAACCCUCAUGUGCCUUUGGUGCAAAUUUUGAAGUGUGAUGUGGAUCCUUGAUCCAGCACUUGGCGCCAAAUACUCUAAAGUAACUGACAUUUGGCUUCUUGCCAGUAAGGAGCUCAUAAGAUGUCUUGUUCAGAACCUUGUGAAGAUAAACACAAUUGAUUGUAUGGCAUGCAGUAUCAAUGGCUUCAGGCCAGAAUUUUCUUGGAGUCUUGUAUUCAUCAAGCAUCAUUCGGGCCAUCUCAAUGAGUGUUCUGUUCUUGUGUUCGACGACGCCAUUCUGCUAUGGCGUGUACGGGGCUGAGAAUUCAUGUGUGAUGCCCAAGGUAUCAAGAUAUGUAUCAAGGCCGGUGUUCUUGAAUUCAGUGCCAUUGUCACUUCUGAUGUGCUUUAUCUUGGCGCCAUAGUUAUUCAUUACUCGAUUGGCGAAGCGUCUGAAGACAUCCUGCACUUCAGUCUUGUAGAGGAUUAUGCGCACCCAAGUAUAUCUAGAAUAAUCAUCAACAAUGACAAAGCCAUAGAAACAAGCAGUAGUAGUAAGAGUUGACUAAUGAGUGGGACUGAAAAGAUCCAUGUGGAGCAGUUCGAAGGGUCGAGUAGUUGUCAUGAUUGUCUUUGAGGGAUGUUUGGCCCUCGUCAUCUUUCCUGCUUCACAGGCACCGCAUAAGUGAUCUUUCUUGAACUUUACGCCCUUGAUGCCUAUGACAUGCUUCUUCUUUGCAAGAGUGUGGAGGUUCCUCAUGCCAGCAUGCCCUAGCCUCCGAUGCUAGAGCCAGCAUUCUGAAGCUUUUGCUAGAAGACAUACGGCAAGUUGUGGUCCUGCCAAGAAAUCUACCACGUACAAAUCAUCUUUCGGAUACCCUUCAAACACUAGAGACUUGUCAGAUUCCAUUAGUACAAGGCAACGAUAUUUUCCAAAUAUUAUGAUCAUGUUCAAAUCGCAAAGCAUUGAGACAGACAUUAAGUUGAAGCCAAGGGAUUCAACAAACAUGACUUUAUCCAUGUGUUGAUCCUUUGAGAUUGCAACUCUACCUAGGCCCAAUACCUUACUUUUACCAGUGUCAGCAAAUGUGAUGUGACUCUUGUCGGAUGGAUGUAAGGUUGAGUCCAUAAGAAUGCUUCUUUUGCCAGUCAUGUGAUUGGUACACCCACUAUCAAUAAUCCAUUCUGAAGACGCUGGUGUCGUACCCUACAGUGCAGUUAGGGGGACAGGCUUCACGAAGAGAAUUGUGAAGCAAAAACAUUUGACGAACCAGUGGGUUAUGAAAGCUUAGAUCCAGAUUAGGACUAAUGGGGAGAGAAGCAAGCGAUUCAAGAAUGAAGUACAUAGUAAGACCAUUCGGGCAUUUGAUCUUGCGCCCUACAAGAUGUUUAAGGUCCCCAGCAAUAGCGUCAGACGAUUUUGGUUUUCUGCUGGAGACCUUUCCCUACAAAAGAGAGUUAAGCUUUCUUAGCCACCCACAUCUUCAAGGGUGGCUUAGAAGCAAUAAGUCUAAGUGCAGCGUCUGAGAACUUUGGCUUUGGAGCCCUAGCAAAAAGUCUUGCAGGCGGACAAUAGUACUCACAAGAAUAAGCAGAAUAGUUCUUGGUCUUAUGAACAUGGCGGUUUGAUGAACCGCGCUCAUAUUCAUAGGCCUGAGUAUGGUUUCCCUGCAAAACAUUUGCGUUAGUGCGACUCAGGUGAGUCCUCUGUCUGUAUGAAGCCUUUGGACCGUAUGAUGCCUGUGGUCUGAGGUUUGUCUUCUUCACGUGUGGUGUCAUGAUGACAUUCACAGGAAGAUUCUCCAAACACUUUUUCGGAACCCAGAUCUUAUUCAUAUGCGGUCCAUUCCUGCAGUUAGUACCAAUGUACCUGGCAAACACUUCACCAUUCUGAUUCUUAAACAGUUUAUAGUUUGCAUCAAAGGAUUCAGCAAUGACAAUGGGGUUUGCACAAGUGAAGCCAGAUAGAGUGGAUAGAUCUGCUGAAGAUUCCUUUGCAGCAACCCAUGUGGUUUUGGGGUACUGCUCAGGUUUCCAGUAAGAACCAUCAUCAUUCAUUUUCCUUACGAACCCAACACCCUCUUUCCUCGGAUUUCGGUUCAAGAUCUGCUUUUUGAGGACAUCACAUAGUGUCUGAUGCGCUUUAAGACUUUUGUACAUCCCUGUUUCAAGCAAUGUCUUCAACCUAGCAUUCUCAUCAGCAAUAGUAGUGGAAUCCUCAGUAGAGGGGUUAGUUCCCAUAUCAAUAGUUGAAGAUAUUGCAACAGUAGCAGCAGUAGAACAUUCAGCAACAGUAGUAGCAUUAUCAUGCUCAAUGCAUUUAAGACAUGGUGGUUCAAAUCCUUCCUGAGCGGAACUGAUCUGUUUGGAGCGAAGUGAUUCAUUUUCCUUUUGAAGAUCUUCAUGAGCCGCUCUCAAUUUCUCAAGAUCUUGCUUCCUUUGAAGAUAAUCAUAGUAAAGCUUUUCAUGAGUUGUUGAGAGCGUUUCAUGACGACUUUCAAGUUCCUCAUACUUAACAUGAAUAUUUUUUAUGUCUUCAAUUAAGGACUCAGAGCGAGUCAUUUCAGCGCCUAACAAAUCAUCGCUUUUGUCUAACAGUUUUUGAAUAUGUUCCAUGGCUUUUUGUUGUUCAGUUACAAUUUUAGCAAGUGUUUUGUAGCUGGGUUUUGAACCACAAUCAGAGUCAUCGUCACUAGAUGUUUGAUGGUGAGUAGUGCAUGUGUUUACCUUGGCACCGCGUGCCAUGAAGCAGUAGGUAGGAGCGGAGUGGUCCUUGUCAUUUGCAUCGGUGUCGGUGAUGAAGUCAUUGUCUUCAGUGUUGAAGAUGGACUUGGCAACGUAUGCUGUAGCCAGACUUGCGACGCCAGAAUCGGACUCCUCCUCAGACUCCACCUCCACCUCCUCAGAAGCAGACUCCUCCUGUGAAUCCAUUUCCUUGCCAACAAACGCACGUGCCUUGCCAAAUGAGCUCUUCAUGUGUGAUGAAGACUUUGAAGAAGACUUGGAAGAAGACUUCGAGUAUUUCUUCUUCUUCUUCUUGUCGUCAGAGUCAUAUUCCUUGCUCUUCUUCUUCUUUUUGUUCUCAUUGUCCCACUGCGGAGACUCAGAGAUGAAGUGGCCAGGUUUCUUGCACUUGUGACAUGUUUUCUUCUUGUAGUCAUGAGCAGAAGCUUCAUCAUUCCUUGAGCUUGAUCGGGAAGACUUUCUGAAGCCUUUCUUCUUGGUGAAUUUUUGGAACUUCUUCACAAGCAUAGCAAGUUCCCUUCCAAUGUCUUCAGGAUCAUCAGAACUGCUGUCAGAUUCUUCUUCAGAUGAGGAGACAGCUUUUGCCUUCAAGGCACAAGUUCGCCCAUAGUUUGGACCGUAGAUAUCUCUUUUUUCUCAGAAAGCUGAAACUCAUGUGUGUUGAGCCUCUCAAGUAUGUCAGACAGAUCGAGUGUCUUGAAAUCAGGAUGUUCUUGAAUCAUCAGGGCUAGGGUGUCAAACGAACUGUCAAAUGAUCUCAGUAGUGUCUUGACGACUUCAUGCUUGGUGAUCCCAGAAGUGCCAAGGGCCUGAAGCUCAUUCGUGAUGUCAGUGAGUCGAUCAAACGUGAGCUGGACAUUCUCAUUGUCAUUUCUCUUGAAGCGGUUGAAGAGGUUGCGAAGGACACUGAUUCUCUGAUCUCUCUGGGUUGAGACGCCUUCGUUGACCUUGGGGAGCCAGUCCCAGACUAGCUUAGAUGUUUCCAAAGCACUCACGCGGCCAUACUGUCCUUUGGUCAGAUGACCACAGAUGAUAUUCUUGGCACUAGAGUCCAGUUGAACGAACUUCUUGACAUCAGCAGCAGCGACACUUUCUCCAUCCUUGGGAACGCCGUUCUUGACAACCUACCAUAGGUCGAUGUCAAUGGCUUCAAGAUGCAUGCGCAUCUUAUUCUUCCAGUAGGGAUAUUCAGUUCCAUCAAAGACGGGGCAUGCAGCGGAGACUUUGAUUAUCCCUGCAGACGACAUAGCUAAAACUCCAGGUGGUUAAACCGAAACAUACAGAACAAGGGAGUACCUUGCUCUGAUACCAAUUGAAAGUGCGUUAUAUCGACUAGAGGGGGGGUGAAUAGGCGAUUUUUAUGAAAGUCUUCAAAACAUGGAAGUUCUGAAGACAAACGAUAGAAAUAAACCUAUUACCAUGCAACAGAAGGUAGACUACACUAGGCAAACCAUAGUCAAGUAUUCAAUGGAGUGAACGCACAAUGACUAAUAGCAGCAAUGUAGUAAGGAUCAGGUAGGAAGAUAUUAUGAAGCCAAAUAGAACACGCAGUCACUCAGUGAAGAUAAAAGAUAGUGCAAUCAUACAAUGACUUCACAAGGACCAACAGUAAGUAAAGGGAAGGAAAGGAUGAAACCAGUGACAUGUUGAAGACAAUGAUUUGUUGGACCAGUUCCAGUUGUUGUGACAACUGUACGUCUGGUUAGGGUGGCUAGGUAUCUAAACCUGAGGACACACAGUCCCGGACACCCAGUCCUGAACACGUACCUCAAGACACCCAAUCCUCACCGUAUUCCCCUUGAGCUAAGGUCACACAGACCUCGCCCAAUCACUCUGGUAAGUCUUCAAGGUAGACUCCCAAACCUUCACAGACGUCGUUCACCGGCGAUCCACAAUGUCUCUUGGAUGCUCAGAACGCGACGCCUAACCCGCUAGAGGAUUCACAGUCCUCAAGUGUAAUAAGUCUUCAGAUCACACAGACAAGAAGACUUAAGUGAUGCCUAAUUCUCUUUGGCUCUGGGUGGUUAGGGCUUUAUCCUCGCAAGGAAUUCUCUCUCAAAGGCUUCGAGGUGGGUUGCUGUCAAACGACAAAAGCCGUACUCUAACUCUAAGCAGCCAACCAUUUAUAGUUGUAGGGGGUGGGCUAUUUAUAGCCACUAGGCAACCCGACCUGAUUUGUUCGAAAUGACCCUGGGUCACUAAGGAACUGACACGUGUUCCAACGGUCAGAUUUCGAACUCACAUGGCAACUUUACUUGGGCUACAAGCAAAGCUGACUUGUCCGACUCUGGACAAGAUUCGCUCUCAUAGUCUUCACUCGAAGACAUAGGUUUUGGUUAAGCAUCACUUCAGUCAUUCUGACUGGUUCUCUUGGACCCCACUUAACAGUACGGUGGUUCCUAUGGCUCAACAAAGGAGAAAAAGAACUACGAAAGAUCUAAGUCUUCGAGCUACAUAGGCUUCAUGCGAUGUCUUCUCUUGUCAUAGUCUUCAAUGUGAAUAUCUUCAUAUACCACCUUUGACAUCAAUGUCUUCAUACAUUUUUAGGGGUCAUCUCUGGUAGGAAAACCGAAUCAAUGAGGGACUUCUACUUGUGUUAUCCUGCAAUUCUCACAAACACAUUAGUCCCUCAACUAGGUUUGUCGUCAAUACUCCAAAACCAGCUAGGGGUGGCACUAGAUGCACUUACACAGGAUAUGCAUAAUUUAUCAAGCCGGAGUUCAAACCUCAUAUUUCUGAUGCAUCUGUUUCACCAUAUCAAUUUCAAGAUCGCGGCUGGUGUGAACUUGGUUGAGAUAAUCAGAGAGUACUUCACUGACGCUUAAUUGAGAAUAAUUGGCAAUAUCAAAUCUCACUUUUCGCCUUUCAAUAAAUUCCUCUUUGGCGGAGUGCGCGGCUAAAACGGUAGGUUUUCCUUGAAAGUCGGUGCCAGUGAUCAUAACAUCCUCAGUAUGUGUUUCUGGCGUUUUAAGUGGGCUUGAUGAUUCAGUGUUCAAAGGAUUGAUGUGAGAGGUCAAGAUUUUCUGGUGGAACAUCAUGGACAGGCUCUUCUGACUGUUGUACGGAGGCUUCAGACGCUGGAAUUUGCUACUCCGGUUCAUGGACUUUGGGGUCUUUAGCCGGCUUGGUCACCUUGGCCUUCUUGCUAGGCUUUGCCUUUCCACUACAAAGGGUUGUGGGAGGUUAUUACAAGUAUAAGGAUACAAAGUGGUAGAAAACAAAAAUUGUUACCCAUGGGCAGUCUUGAAGGCCGGCAGCUGGGUCUAUGAUGAGUCAUCGGAAGAGGAGUGAGAUAUCACCUGAUAAUUCGAAUCGGGAGAAUGAAGUGGCUGACGAAUAAGACCCACUAGAGGAUAAAAAGAGUUUAUAUUUGGAGGGACCUCGCUUUGAUGUUUUCGCGGAGCUGGAGUAUUUGGUAAACCAGAGGAUAACUCUCCACCUCCGCUGGUCCGAGUCUGACGCCGGUUCUCGUACUACUGUUUCUUCAAAAGAAAGUGAGGAUCCAAGUAAGCUAAGGGAUGUGAAAAGCUUACUUUCCGGAUUACUCGUCAAUUUUUCUAUCUUGGCAAAGGCUCUGAGUCGGAUGAAAUAAUAGGUACCUCUUCUUCGAGUGUUUGACUGGCCCUCGUGUCAUCCUGAUGAUAAUCAGUGUUAAUAAGAUAAUUGAAAAGGGAGCCAAGGGAGUCAAGGGAAACCUCCAACUCAGUGUUGUCAUCCAGUUCAAACAUCUCAGAGGCACUUAGUUUCUUCUUAUUCUUCUUGGCGGCUUUCUUGAUGACUUUUUUUUGGCCCUGGCUUUCUUAGCAACUUCAUGGUGAUAGUCCUUCUUCCAAAAAGCGGAUUCAGCCCUGGUUGAGUUAAUAGAAUAUUUGAAUGAUAAGGUAAAAUAAAUAAGUUGGAGACUCACGGCUGGUGUCGGGUUAAGUCUGCAGAAAGGGUUUAGUCCCACUUUGCUGCAGCUUUCCAUGUUCUAAGUAAGAAGGGUCUUUGUCAUCUCAUUGAUUGCGUCAUCACUUAAACACGUGGAGUUGUAGCAUAGUGCAUCUUUAGCAUCACCCGUAUAUGUACACAUUAAGCCGGAACGGCGGCUCAAGGGUAUGAUUCUCCAAGAAACCUAGCACCGAACCAGGUCAAUACCGGUUAACCCAUUUCGUAGCAAGGCCUUGACCUUUGAAAUGGUAGGUUCAAGCUUUGACCGUUCAACAGUAGUAAGCCGCUCAGGAAGAUGAUGCUUGGGGUUGAGCCGCUCAGUACGAUAACCCGGCAGUGGAUUCUCAUCAGCCGGAGAGGUAUCUUUACAAUAGAACCUUGCUUGGUUCCAGUCCUUGGGGUGACUUGACAGGCGAGCAUAAGGGAAGAUAGCAUCUCUUCUUCGUAGAAUCGAGACCCCGCCAAGUUCUAAGCUAGGUCCACCGGUAAACUCAUUCUGCCAGUUCAAAUAAAAAUAUUCCCUGAAGAGUUCAAUGAUGGGUUCUUCUUGAAGGUAUACUUCACAGAAAAUUUGAAAAGUAUAGAUGCUUAACACGGAAUUGGGUCCGAUGUCUUGAGGAUGAAUAUGAAAGAAGUGCAGAACGUCUCAAAAAAAUUUGGAGCCACGCGGUGAGAAGCCCCAAUUCAUGUGAUUAGUAAAAACAAUGACCUCACCAUCUUGUGGCUGAGGUCUUUCUUCACCCAGUGUGGGAGCGCGCUAGUGUAGGAUGUUUUUUGCUGGUAAAAAGCCGACUUUGACAAAGUCCUUAAGGGUGUUUUCAGUGAAAGUGGAAGGAACCCAAUUACACGAGGUAAUUGUCUUCGGCAUCAUAAGGGAAGAAGCCUAAAAGAAAGAAAAUUUGCCAGUUUAAGUUGAUUUGUUAAGCCGGAGAUGAACACUGCAGCAUAUAUUCACAUUGACGACUUAAAUGGGGCCUAAUGAUAUAUGACUACUUAUAGCUGGUGUUGUAAGCUGCCAUAACAUUAAUGGUAUUUAAGAUCUAUCAAAGAGCGAAUUAUGCUAAGUGUUGGAUAAACAGGUUUUACACAUGGUGCAAUUAAUGUUUGAGCUACUACUGCUCGGAAAAGAAAGUAAAAUUAAAACCUAAUAUCACAGCAGCGGAGGAACUAGUAUGCUGCCAAGAUUUCUACAUCUGGGAAGCAUAUUCGGUGAUUAAGAGAAAGUACAAAAACAGAUUCCACAUAUUCUAAAAGUCAUAUUUGGAUCGAGGAAAGGAUCAAACAGAGGUAUAAUGAAGAACGACGACGAACUCCUAAGAACUUUAGAAAACCCUAAUGGAGAUCUAUAGUGGAGAAAGGAGAGGUACUUACUGGAUCCACUAAGCGACGGAGAAGCGCCGCAGUUUCUCUGGUCUCAUUCAGGUCGAUGCAGCGACCGGGGUCGAGGAAGAUGACGAGGUCGGCGGUGGCGGUGUUCAGAUGCGCAGAUGCGUUGUGAGAGGGAGAAAUGUUGAAGACGAGAUGGCUAAGGGGGAGAGUGAAAAGGGGGACCCUCGUCCUAUUUAUAAGGCUGGAAGGAUAAGUGGUGUGUGCAGGAAUCGAGGAGACCAAAAAAUGGAUAUGUGACGGCGCAAACACCUUGAUUUUCGGGGGUUCGUUAAAAGAGAAGAUUUAUUAAGACUUGGGCCAUGUGCAAUAUUAAUGACAGGUGACGUCAUGGGGGGUUACCACAAUCCUGGGAGAUGACGUCAUAGCGGGUUACAAGGUCUCGCGAAGAGUAAAUGAAAAGGAUUUUUUCUAAGUGUUGAAGAUUGAUAUGAACAAGUUCAUAUCAACGUGGGGCCUAAUGUUGGAUGAAUGACUAUUUGGUAUGACCCGCUGUCGGUGUCAAAACCAACGGAUCUCGGGUAGGGGGUCCCGAACUGUGCCUCUAGGAUCGAUGGUAACAGGAGGCAAGGGACAUGAUGUUUACCCAGGUUCGGGCCGUCUUGAUGGAGGUAAUACCCUACGUCCUCCUUGAUUGAUAUUGAUGAUAUGAGUAUUACAGGAGUUGAUCUACCACGAGAUUAUAGAGGCUAAAAACCCUAGAAGCAAGCCUAUGGUAUGAUUGUAUUUAUAUAUCUAUCGACUAGCCUGGCCUUGGUUUAUAUAAUGCACCAGAGGCCUAGGAUAACAUGAGUCCUAGCCGAAUACGCCGGUGGGGAGGAGUCCUUGUCUUGAUCACCAAGUCUUGUGGAAUCUUCCAUGUAUGCGGCAGCUGUCCGAACCGGCCCAUGAGUAUACGGCCAUGGGGGUCCUCGGCCCAAUCUAACAGAUCAGGAGACGACGUGGUGAGUACCCCUAGUCCAGGACACCGUUAGUAUCCCCCUGAACCGGUCCUCCUUGAUUCUUCUGAACUGUUCUUCAUCUUCAGUUGUCGAUCUUGAAAACUGGUUCAACAAAUCUUCUCAUCUUCGAUCUUGAGGAUCGCCGAAAUGCAUUCGAUGAGUUUGCACGUCGGGUAUCCGAGGAGCCCCUUUAAGUUGCAGCCUUUAUCAAUGCCUUGUUAUUUUUACGCCACACCUCGGGUUUGAAGUUGUUCCCGGGAGGCAGUGUCCUCUUGCGUCCGAGCUUUAACGCCGGACUGCAUUCGAGGUAUAUUUUGCAGCCGAGCACCAAUGCUGGACUACUUUUGAGCUCCAACGCCGAAAUGUAUCCGAGCUCCAACGUCGGACUGUGUCCAAGCUCCAACGCCGGACUAUAUCCAAGAUGUCAUAGAUCAUCUUGGUCCAAAAAAGUUGAAGGAUUUUAGCCGAGCUUAAUGCCGGAAAUGCCCUCUAUGGAGCUAGCCGCUAGCGCCCGAGCUUUAUGCCGGACUGCUUCCAAGGUAGUGCACUACCCCAACUGCGGGCCAAUUUUUUGUCAAUAUUUUUUAUUGGUGCAAAUUAUUCUGUGCCGAGAUAUAUAGCCAGUAACCCUCAACGUGUGUAUUGGUUUAAAACCCGAGAUGCACUAGAAGGAUGAUGUAAGACCACUGAUCCCAGUAGCCACUGAGACUCAGGUUGAUUUGCAAAAUCGGCCUGAGGAUCAAGUCCUAGCUCGGCAGAAUACUUCGGGAUACAAAAAGUGGCGUGCUCAGUCCUCGAGACUCAGGUUGGGUGCGGCCGACCAACCUGAGGAUCAUAAUCUCGUCGGAAACUUUAUUGCACUUAAAAUUUUCUGCAUUGGACGGGCAAUGCAGUAGCCCCCGAGACACUGGUCGGAUGGCAACACCAGAUCAGGGGAUCGAUGUGCCCCUUUAAUAUUUGUAAAUAAUAAGCCCGAAGCCCAGUAGCCCCCGAGCCUUAAUGCGGGAACGUGUGGCGGAAUUAAGGAUCGCUAUCCAUAGUAAAAUCACAAAUUAUGUGUAAUGACUCUAUGUAUCCAAGUACUUUACAUCCUUAAUGCUCGGAUCCGCAUUGUACAAAACUUUGUUGACCGACCAUGGGCUUCCACCUCCUCGGCUAGUAGCCGAGGAGUGUUUGUCCUACUUUAUAAAGCCUUUAUGAGGGCAAAGAUUUACGACAAACAAGGCAAUCUGGCCACACGGUUUUAUAAACAAAGGUACACAGAGAGAUAUGUUAUAUUACUGUUUAACAUAAGAAAUGUCUUCCAAAGAAAAUAAUCCUGCUAUCGGUUCCUUUCUUUGGGUUGUCAUGCUAAGCAUGAUCAUGAAACCUCAGCUCUAAUGUAAGAGCAAAAUAUCGAGGAUUUAGUUUGGGACGCCAGUUAAUAGCCCCCGGUAGUGUUCAGUGACAGUCGAGGUCAAGCCGUAAACACUUCGGCCAUUGUUAAUGGCCCGUCAUUUAACACCGUCAUCGGAUCGCUGACCAGUUUACGCUUAUUGUGAUAGUCAGUUUUCGGCUUUAUCCACUGAGGUGCUUUACCAUGUGAGCUGGAAGCACAAUCGCAGUGGUUCUCCGUUUGCACACCUAGCCGAAUAAAGCGGAACGUAGGAGGCAAGCACAGGAGCCGGGCAACCCAACUAUUGACCGAAGACACAAUUCGAAACCAAUGCAUAUAUAGUGAGAUCCGAGAAUGUUUUUGCCGAAUCUAUAUAGGUGUCCGGCAUUGCACAGUGAGACUUGUGCUGGAAACACACAAAUAGUUUAAAAGUGCCAAAAAGCUUGGAAAACCAAAAAAUGUCAGUAAAAACAUGACGUCCGAACAAGAUCAAGUGUUCGGUGCCAAUCAGAAAAUUGGAAGAGAAAGAAAAAAUUGUGCUUAUGUCGUGUUUUCACAACAACCAAGAAGAAAACACAUUUACAGCUCAUAUGUAAAUUUUAAGAGCCCCCAAGUGACUUGGGUAAUAAUUUUAUGUAUAAUGAUUGUAUGUACCGAAGUACUUAUAUCAUAUUUGUGUUCACCUGAACUUUAAACGCGUCUUAACCGACCGUCGGCUUCUCCCUCUUCGGCCAAGGGCCGAAAAGUGUCAUGUACUCCGCCUGUCGAGAGUAUCGACGGUGUUUUAGAUGAUGAGGCAAUCAGGCCAUAAGGCUGUAACAGACAAAGCGCGCUCAGGGGACUUAUGCUAUAUUACUAACGAAGUGUAAGAAGCAUCUUCGAAGAAAAUAGUACCCCCACCGAUACCUUUCUUCGGUGCUCAUUAUUACUAUGAGACUUGUUCAAUAUAUUUUUCGUCCUCAUGACUUCCGUUGUGUGCCGACCAUGAUUGAAAACAAUAAGAGCGCUAUCUUUCGACUUCACCCAGUCUGAGGUCAGAGCUUUGAUGACCCGGUCAUGACAAUCGCAGAGGUGCUCCCUUUACUCCCUAGCCGGACAGUCGGGAAUGUAGGGGUAAGCACAGGAGCCAGGCAACCCAGCUUGCUAAUCGCUUAGGUUAAUAUGGUGCAUAUUGUGGCAUAAUACACGAACAAGGAACGAAGCCGUACAAGUAUAAUCAUAUGCAAGAGGAAAAGCUCCAUCAAGGGAGCCCCAAGUAAACGGGGUAUUUGAAUUUGUGUGUCACAAACAAAGUUUUGACAAGGAGAUUCUCUACAAGCAACUUUUUUUUCAAAAAGGUAUAAUGCUUGGUCGAACCGAACACAAGUAAAAAAAUUAAAACUUUGAGCAUGAAGGCAACUUAGCUGGUUAAUGUGUUCGGUAUUGAUGAUGCGGCCCGAGCUUGAUGCGGGACAAGGUUCCAUCCCCCAAGCCGGUCCCAAGGUGGCGGAGCAAAGAGCUCGGCACUUUGAAGUGGUGACAUAGCACGGUUAAUGCGGGCCGGCAGAGUGAUGUCGAAGUCCCUGGCAUGGGGUAAUGAAGUGUUGACGAAGCCCCCCGUCCAGCCGAGGUGACGUGGUAUGUCAGUACGCCGAGUUGACGAUACUGCCCAACCCGGAUCAUUUUCCUGUGCACAAAAAAUAGUACAAACCGAAGAUAAUAGUAAUAAUAAUAAAUAAAUAGAAAUCGUUGCAUAAUAAAUAAUUUAUGCAAAGUGAGUAAUAAAAGAAAUAUGGCCUGGCGCCAAAGUCAAUGUCGAUGCAGGGCUUCGGCGUGAUGCGGUAAAGGCAUGGCAAAGCCUGAAUUCACAGGUCGGUCUGAGUUCCGGAUGCGGCGUUCGCCGGACCAUGUACGGAAACUGACCGAACCACCAUGCGACCAUCGUUAAUGCGGCCAUCAUUUGGUAGACCUGUGUACAUAUGAAGAACAAACCAGAGUAAUAAUUCCUUGGGAAAAAUGAACCCAAACAAGCAAAAAAAUACUAGGAUUAAUAGCACCUGGUUUAUUUGUUGCAGCAUUCUGAAGAAAGGUGAUUCCGAAAAUUUGGACUCGAUCCGCACACCCAUUGCCUGAUGGGCGAUAAAGCGACGGUAUUGCGAUGCUCGCAAAGGUUGGCUCGCCGAGGCAAAGCCCUCGGUCCAGCUAACGUGAUGGAGCUGGUCGGCUAGUGAUGCCGAAGUCUCCGGAGUAGGUUGAUGAAGAGAUGGCGAAGCCCCCAGUCCAGCCUCGAUGUCGAAGCCUCGAUGUCAGCCAAUGAGUCGAAGUAGGUCGGCGUGAAUAACACCAGCUUGAAGAAGCAAUAGUGCAGCCCUGCCGAUGCAGGUCGUGACAUGCUCGAUGCCGGCUUGAUGAAGUGACCGUGCGGCGAUGCCGGUAUGCCCGCUCCGUGUAAUCUCUGGGGUGGCGAUGUUGGUGAUGAUUUAUCCUUCGUGAUGCCGGACUCUUGUUCGCCUUGCCGAGAUGAUGAUCCGAAGAAGUUGAGCUCGGCUCAACAAAGUGACGACGUGUCUAGCGCAGGUCGGUAACCUUGGAGCAAUAUUGCCGGACUGGUUUGACACCAGCAUGAUGAUGGAGAUGACCUCAAGGGAGGCUUCAAAAUUUAUGGGCACGUGUUUAAAAACAAUGCACAAUACCCUAGAAGAGAAUUCCUCUAAAAAGGAUGUCCAAUAUCACGAUCAUAAAGAAACAUUAAUUCGGGUCGGAUCCGUAUUCGCGCAGAAAACGGAUCCGAAAAUUGGUCCACUCAUCGGAAGGUUCCUGUAGUUUGAACCGUCGGAUCGAGCUAAAAUUUGGAGGGGUGGUAGAUAUGGGAAUUCCGCAGUAGAUGAACGGUUGGAUCUUCCAAAGGACCUCCGAGCUGGGCUCUGAAGACCACGCCCUAAACUCGUCCAGAUUCCCGUCCAGAGUUGACAGGGCUCCGGUAUAUCAUAGAUUGUCCGAGAUUCCUCCAUCGGAACUUGAUGAAAUUUUGCAUGGCUGUUGCAGACGUAAUUACGCACUAUUCCACCAAAGCAAUCGUCAAAACGACGCUCGAGGAGGUGGUGACGGCGAAUACAAGUUCGUUGUCCAUAAAAACAGCACGGCUGCCCGAGGGCAAUGUUGACGUUGAGCCCUCGAGCUCCAUGGAUGACUCCUCUUUGAUCAUGAUAGAGAUUCGAGUUGAUGUUGAAAAAGGCCCCCGUCCGAACAUGAUGAUCAGAGAUGGAGCACGGUCCUCGAUCGAGCCAAGGUGACCAGUCGAGCCGGCGUCGCAGUUGACCUGCAGGCGAGCCAUUGAUCCUUUUGCCGAUCACACAGCGGAACUCUUAAUGAAAGCACCAAUGUCGGUGUCAAAACCGGCAGAUCUAGUGUAGGGGGUCCUGAACUGUGCGUCUAGGAUCGAUGGCAGGAGACAUGAUGUUUACCCAGGUUCCGGCCCUCUUGAUGGAGGUAAUACCCUACGUCCUGCUUGAUUGAUAUUGAUGAUAUGAGUAUUACAAGAGUUGAUCUACCACGAGAUCGUAGAGGCUAAAACUCUAGAAGCUAGCCUAUGGUAUGAUUGUAUGUAUAUAUCUAUCGACUAGCCUGGCCUCGGUUUAUAUAAUGCACUAGAGGCCUAAGAUAACAAGAGUCCUAGCCGAAUACGCCGGUGGGGAGGAGUCCUUGUCUUGAUCACCCAGUCUUGUGGAAUCUUCCAUGUAUGCGGCAGCUGUCCGAACUGGCCCAUGAGUAUACGGCCAUGGGGGUCCUCUGUCACAUCCCUAGUUCUGGUAUGACCUAGUCUAGCCUUCAUGUUUGCAUCAUGUUUAAAUUCCAUUUGAAAUUGAAAUGGGGAUUUGUGACACCCUCAGAAUCAUUUCUAAAAAUGACCCAAGUAAAAAUUGCUCCAAAAGGAUCCAAAAAAUGCUCAUGUUGCUCUCUGAAAAUAUUGGACAGAGAUAAAAAUCAAACAAAUAUUUUUAGGAACUCAUAAAUAUUUAGUUUGGACAUUUGGAAUUAAUCCAGUAAUUAUUUGUGUUGGAUAAAUAUUUAUAUAUAUAUAUAAAAUAUUGUCCAAUAAUUUUGAAUUUUGUUGAGGGGCUUUGGAAUAAUCCCUUAGGCCCCUGCAAAAAUUGUGAGAAGAAAAUAAAAUGAUUUAGUGUUUUACAAAAUCAGAAACAAAUGUCAGAAAAUAUAAAAGAAACAAAAAUUGAAAAAUUCUUACCUGGGUUACCACGGCCUGGCACUGUGCAGCCGGCCUGGCCCAGUGGCCCAACAGGCCGGCCCAGCCGACUGGCCAGUGCCCCUCGUCCUCCACCUCCCGCCAGGAGGACGCACGCGCAUGGCCGCCGCGCGCAAGCACACACCGGCCACCUCCUGCCUGCCUGCCUCCCCCCUCGAUGGCCUGGACGCCUCUGGCAUCGCCACGCUACCCCCCAUCUCGCUAUCUCUCUCUCUCUCGUCCCCAUCCCCUCCCUGGCUCUCUCCCUCGCACGCACCGAACGCAGCCACCGCCGCCGCUCAUCGUUGCCGCGGCCAUCACCUCUCUCUCGACCCCUCGCCGUGCCUGCGAGCUCCAUCUCGACCUCCCCGACCUCCUCGACGAGCCACGAGGCCCGGACGUGCUACAACGCCAAUACGCCGUCGUCCUCGUCCUCUGCAUCUGGUCACCACCGACGUUGAUUCGCCGUCACCAAGCCGUCCCCGAGCCCGCCGAGCACCUCGUCUGACGCCCUGUGAGCCACACCAUCUUUCCCCUCUCCUCUUGCGACCAAAUUUGGCCCUAUCUACACCCCCCGCUGCAACCGUGAGCUCACCGCCGCCGUGUUCGUUGCUGCCGCAGCUAGCAACCUCGCCUGACCCAACCGAGCACAUAGUCGUGCUCAGCGUGCUCCUAGGAGGCCAUAGCACCGAUUACCUCGCUCUCCUGACCACCGUAGCAUCGACUCCGUCGAUGGCUGAACUCCGGCCACUGCCACGAGCUCCAUUCCGGCGAGCUCCGGCCGUCCCCACUGCCACCACUUGCCGCGCUAGAUGCGGGUGAGAUCCAGCUCCGUGUAGCUGCCCUCGGCUACUCGUUUGGGCCCCGGGGAAGCGAUCCCGAGCCCCUCCACCGCACGGAAUAGUCACUGCCAGCCAAACUCCGGCGGCCUGACGUGUCAAGAUUAGUUUAGGACUAAUCCCCCCCCCCAUUAGUGACACUGACAGUGGGCCCUGGUGCCUUAAUCUUUUAGUUAAAUUAGAAAUAACCCCCUGUUUAACCUGUGACACUGACAUCUGGACCCCACACAUCAGGUUUGACCUACUCAGCCGCCUUCGACCUGCUGAUGCAAUGCUGCUGUCAUGCUGACGCAAUAUAUCUUUUCUAGCUUUAAAAUAAAUGAGGAAAUUCCAGAAAAUUGCCUAAACUUCUAAAAAUCAUAGAAAAUCAACCGUAACUCCAAAUGAAAUAAAUUAUAUAUGAAAAAUUAUCAGAAAAAUCCAAUCUAUCCAUUUAUGGUACUUUCAUGCAUGUUCAACCAACUUAUACCCACUGUAUAAGUGAAAACAUGAUAAUGGCAUUUUAGAUGCUAAAUAUGGAGUUUGCAUAUGAACCCUUGGUCCAUAUGGACUUCAUUUAAAUUGUUGCUAGAUGCAUUAGUGAAAAUCAUAACAUUAUUGCCAUGUUCAUGCAUCAUAAUGUUGCAUAUGCUUGUGUUUCAUUUUCAACAUCGUUCCUUCUCGAGAGUACCUGUCUGAGGAGCAGUGCCCCCCUGUUGAUCUACCAGGCAAGCAACCCCCCUUGUUCAUUCCGAUACAAUCAUUCUCUCUCGCUCCUGCUCUAAUUUAUUGCAUUAGGACAAAAAUGAUUCAACUGCUACUUUAUGCUGCGGUAGUUGAACCCAUUCCUCUGCAUCACCUGUCAUUGCCAUAGUAAAUAGUGAAAACCCACUAGCAUGUGUAGGAGUUGUUUGAGCCAUGUUGUGUUCCUACCAUGCUUUGCCUGCUAUUGCUUAGAGUAUGUCAGGUCUAAUUCAUCGGGAACGAAUUGGAGUGUUACGAUAUGAUCUGGUGCUGAGAGUUAAGCGUGUGAACACGAUUUGGUAAAGGUAGCGGUGAUAGACCAUGUAGGAGUACAUGGUGGGUUGUCUCAUUAGGACCGUCCUUAAGAACUGAGUUCUGUGUAAGUUGUCCAAUGACUAGCUACUACCACACAUUGGGCUCCAGGCGCUCCAAGCUGUCUCGACUUAUUAACCCCCUUGAUCUCUGUCCAGGAGUUGCAAAUAGUUUCUGGUGUUUGUAGGUAGUGCUAUUUUUCUACCGAGUGGCACCUGGCAGGGUGGACUUGGGACAGACUAGGCACACGUGGCCCGGUGUACCGAGUGGCACCCGGAUGGUGGGCUCAGGAACCCUGUACACAUCGUUUGGGGCCAUGAGCAAAACCCCGACCGGAUCUCCUUGCGGAUGGAACUCGAAUGGGCGAUAAACCUGGACUAGAGUCUUGUGUGGUUAGUCAGGUCGUGGCCGACACCCUCACCAGGCUUCCGCUUGAAGGUUGCCGAGAUACAUGCCGUGUAUAUGGUGAUAAGUGGUGAGAGCGUGGGUGAAGAAGUACACCCCUGCAGGGUUAUCAUGAUCUAUUCGAAUAGUCGUGUCCUCGGUUAUGGACUUCUUGGAUGCUUACAUGGUACAUAGACAACUUAAAGUGGAUAUUCUAAAAUUCUCAAGACAAGUGUGAGUGCUAUGGAUGGCCUUCUCGUAAGGAGACGGGGAUGAAUCCAUAGUAGGGUAUUGAUGUGGUGAUUAGUGGACUCGUGUGCGCUGCCUCAUCUCAAAGAAGUUUCUCAUUAUCGUAGAACAGGAUAGCCACUGAGUCAAAGCUGGCUUGCUGCAACUAAACCCCACAUUACCUUCUUGAUACAAAUGCAUGUAUGAUAGGAUCUGAUGUAACUCUUGCUGAGUACCUUUGUACUCACGUUUGCUUUAUUUAUGUUUUGCAGGUGAGAAAUCUGUCUCACUAGUAGUACCGCUUGGACUUCGAUGAGUAGCUUGUUACCUCAGCUGCGAUCUUGUACCCUUGGGAGGGACUUGUAGAUAGUCAGGCUUCUGAGCCUUUUUCCUUUUGUAGUUGUCUGCACUCAUACAUGUAAUGCUUCCGUUGCUUGUAUGCUCUGAAUGAUGGGUCAUGAGACCUCUGCUUGUAUUAAUGCUAUGUGGCUCUUCUGGUCCUUUAUCUAUGUGAGUUUGCGUUAUGUUGUGAUGCCAUGUUGUACAACACAUACUUGCAUGUUAUGCGUACGUGUGACGUGUAUUGCUAUGUGUGGGAUCCCACAAUCUAGUUGUUUAUCCUUGGCAGCCUCUCUUAUGGGGAAAUGUAGUCCAGUGCUUCCUUGAGCCAUAGUAGUCCGCUAUAGCUCGGUUCACCGGAGUCCUGCUAGCCUAGCACUACUGCUCAGGACACUUGACUGUCCGGCAUGUGUUUCACUUCGUUUCUGUGUCUGUCCCUUCGGGGAAAUGUCACGCGGUGACAUCCGGAGUCCUGCCUAGCCUGCUACAGCCCGGGUUCCCCGGAGUCCUGUUAGCCCAGUGCUACAGCCCGGAUUCACAUGCUGCUGACCGACAUGCUCGAUGUGAAUCAUGUAUGCCUGUCCCCAUAGGUUAGUGCCGCUUUGGGUUCACGACUAGCCAUGUCGGCCCGGGUUCUCUAUCAUAUGGAUGCUAGCGACACAAUCAUAUACGUGAGCCAAAAGGCGCAAACGGUCCCGGGCCAGGGUAAGGCGACACCUGUGGGGAUACCAUGCGUGAGGCCGCAAAGUGAUAUGAGGUGUUACUGGCUAGAUCGAUGUGACUUGGCAUCGGGGUCCCGACAUCCUCGGCCCAAUCUAACAGACCGGGAGACGACGUGGUGUGUACCCCCUAGUCCAGGACACCGUCACCCGCCCAGGAGGGGUCGGGUUAUACCAAUGGCAGUUCAUCAAGACAAGGCCCGUGAAGAUGUUGAAGAUGGCAGUUUAGAUAGCAGGCUUACUAAGGACCCAAAGCCCAAAGGCGGCUUAAGGCCCAUAGGUAUAAACCGCCAUAUGUGUAUGACUUGUAUUGUAAGGCAGGCGUAGUUAGUCACCGAGCCGGACAUGUUGUGUAUGAGCCGGCUGGGACUCCGUGAGCCGCGGGGUGUGAACCUGUGUAUAUAAAGGGACGACCCAGUGACAGUUUGGGGCAAGAAACAAGAGAUCGAAAGCUAGGUCAAGCGUAUUCGCUCCCUGGUAAUUGAAACCCAAGCAAUACCACUUCAGACUGGAUUAGGCCUUUACCUUCACAGCAAGGAGCCGACCUAGUAUAAACUCUCUAUGUCCUUUGUCCCGUUUAAUACCUUUAAGCUAACCAGGUUGUGAUGGCUCCACGACUUAGUCCUAUUGCUAGGACAUAUGUCGUGACAAUUCCACGACACAUGGAGAGAGGCGACACAACACAACAAGGGGCACCACGGGGCGCUCGAACUGCAGCGGCGAGCCAAGACUAAACCAUGACGCUGCACCGUCGAUGCAAUUGGGAAGCACCAGGGAAACCAAGACUGCACAACGCCGCGACACCACCUGUGUCAUGGGUUACAUUCGAACAGUCACACCGGGCCAAGACGACGCCACAACACCUGUGCGCCACCGGCGUAGUUGAAGGGCAUCACCAAGCAUAGAAGUCCAUAGAGCACACCCAAAAUAUCACACAAGGGGCACAAAGGGUGCUCGAACUGCAGCGGCGAGCCAAGACUAAACCAUAGCACUGCACCGUCCACGCAAUCGAAAAGCACCGGGCAACCAAGACUACACAACACCGCAACACCACCUGUGUCAUGGGGUACAUUCAAACGGUCACGCCAGGCCUAGACGAUGCCACGACACCUAUGUGCCACCGGCGUAGUCGAAGGACAUCACCAAGCAUAGAACUCCACAGAGCACACCCGAAACAUCACAACAACGGGGGAUGAAGACAGUGCCAUCAAGAUGGAAACGACAGGAAGCGUCGCCGCCAUCUCGGCCGACCAUGGAUUUCUCCCCAAACCCUAGUCACAACCUCCCACCAAUAGGACGCAGAGCAUCCGUCCAAGGCGUCAGACAUCACUGGAAUGGACGGCCCCAGAUCCAGGAGAAUUCAUCCAGCAGCGAUGUUGGCAGGUACCCUAGACAUGUGGCCAUCAGUGAGGACCACUAGCGAUAACUUGGUAUGCUCGAAUGUUAGGACUGGGAGUUUGCUGGUGGUAGGGUGGCUAGUUUGGCUCUUUUCCUUUUCUUUUGGUCCUUUGUUAGUGGUAUCCUGUAGCCCAAGAACGCUAUGGUUUUUGUUAAUAAAAAUCGGAGGGGUGUGAAGCCCUUCUUUUAUUAAAAAUAAAGGACCACUGGCGCGACGCCCCCUGCAGGCAAAGUCACGAUUCUUUAUUCCAACAGGUAUCCCCUUGGUCGAGUGCUAACCCUUCUCGGCCUCCAAGCCGCUCGCCCUGGGUGCCGCCUCCGUCCUCCAUUGGAUCACCUCGAUGCCCGACGCCCGAAUCUUGCAACCCUCCACAGAUGAAAGUCGCCGCCACCACUAGACCGUUGAUGCUGCGUUCACUAGUGCAGAACUAGGCAAUAGCACCGGUUCGUAAGGCCCUUUAGUGCCGGUUUGGUAACCGACACUAAAGUGUGGGCACUAAAGGUCCCCCCCUUUAGUACUGGUUCAGCACGAACCGGUGCUAAAGGGCAACCACGUGGCACGAGCCAGCUCCGGGGGCAGGGAGCCCUAUAGUACUGGUUGGUGACACCAACCUGUAUUAAAAGGUUGGGGGGUUUUGGGUUUAUGAUUUCUUUUUCAUUUAAUUUUGUGUUUUCCAUUUAAUUUUUUUCGUUUGCUGGUAUUUUACGAUACUGCAUAUUGUACACGUUAUGCAUAUAUAUAAAUAGAAUUUCUAGUAGAACCGAUCAUAUAUAUAUAUAUAUAUCAUCGAAUGUCUCACAACCACCAUUAAUUAAUUCACACAUAUAUACACACACAUAUAUAUAUAUAUACAAUUAGCUAGUUAUAUACAAUUUCUCCUAAUUGGUGCAUUCAGAGCCACUGGCAUUAGCCUAAUUGGUGCCUUCAGAGCACGAUAACAAUUGGAAGUGGUUCAUGGGGGUGGUAGCGGGUAAAAGUAUUCUCCUUUGGGAUCUAUGACCUAGUCGAGCAAAAAUCCCACUAUGUCCUCUUGAAUUGCUUCUAUGCGGUCUUCUGGUAGGAGCUUCUCCUGCACCUCUUUCAACUGUUAAGAAGGAGAUCAAUAUGCAUGUGUAUUAGUUGAGUGACUAGAUAUCGAUAAUGGUGUAAAAAUUGUGAAUAGUGUUCUCACAAACGUACCCACUCCUAUCUUUGAGAUCUGCUCCUUUCGGAUGCCAUCAUGCGAAUGUUCUCACAAACGUAGUAUGCACAUAGAUUAUUCCCCGGCAUCUGCUUCAGGGCCUUUACGAGAAUGGAAUUUGAUCAGAUAAUAAUUUAUCAAGCAUGAUAAUUAAAGAGAUGGCAGCUAGCUAGUACUACUUAAUUACUUACCAUGGGUUGAUACCAUUUCAUAUUUUGUUUCCAUUGGCCUGGACUGACGUUGAUGAACUUUGUCCAAGCCCUGCCCCGCCGACAAAGAAAAUGAAUAAAUGGGUUAUUAAAUAGUUGUUAUCAGGAAAUGACGACCUAAUUAAAUAGGCCGAGAUAUAGUUAAUAAUGAUUGAAAUUACCUAUUGACUAUCCCCUUCACGAUGGUGUAGUCAGUUGGUUUCUUAAGUAGUGAGUCUAGUGCUUCAACUGUUCCUUCAUCAACUUUAAGGAUUAACAAGAUCCAGUGAAAUCUGCAUGCACACACGUUUGCAUGUCUUAAUUAAGCAGGCAUAUGUAAGCAAAAACAUGUAGCUAGCUAGUAGGCAAAAACAGAAUUUGUAGUACAAGACAGUGUGACUCACUCGAAGUUGUAAGGAAGUAGUAUGUCAUCAUUGUAUUUGAGGCGCUUGAAGAACUCUAGCACACUUUCCUCUACACUUUCUUCGUAAUAUGGAUCUAAUUUCCAUGUGUAUUCAUUAAUGGUAUUUGGGUCAACGGACCCAAUGCCAUAGCGUCCACCUUUUUCAUUUCAUAAAUCUUCAUCCUGCAUAAUACCACAGAAAAGAAUAUAGUGAGGAUAAUUACAGGUAAUGAUUGAUCAAAAUGAUCACUACAGCUAGCUUGAGACUUAAAUUACAGAAAGAAAUCACUUACAGACAAUAACAACUGACGAUAGAUUUAUCGAGUGUGUCUUGAUUGUAUAACUGAAAUAGUUAUGAACACUCGACGGACACAACUUUCUCAUGGUAGUAAUGAUCCUCCUUGACAUUCACCAUGAGGGACUCUCGAUUGGAAUUCUUGGUCAUGUCCAUGUACCAUUGAGGCAAUUCAUACAUUCUCGUUGGGAGCUUCUUGACCUCGUCUAGCUCGACCAAAGGUUGGCCCCGGACAUAUUUUCGUUUUAUUUCCUCCUCUCUAGUCGGAGAUAUGGGCUCGAUAUCGAGGAGUUGUCCAACAGUGAUCAUGAGGCUUUUAGCCUGCUCAAUGUGCUCCUCGGUUAUUACCAUAUCGCCCAGCCCGGGAACGUUAACGGUUUGCCCACAGUAAUAUUGGGCGCGCCUACUCUCAUGUGUUGUUGGCACAACAAGUGGGGGGAUUGAUUGCGCCGCCUGUUUUCCCAGUUGGGGAAUGGUUUUACCGCAUGUUUUCCCAGCUGAUUUGCUCAAGCUCGAGCUCGCCUCUUUUUGUAGACGUGCUCGAUUUAACUUCCUGAUGUGGCGCUCAUAGUCUGUGUCAACAGGCUUGGGAGCUGGUGCUCUAGCCAUACGAAUGAAGUGGUCAAUCUUUUCCUCAGGCGCUUUCUCCCUUGGCGGCGGUGGCGGUCUCGGUGCAAAAUGGGCUUCGACCUUGGCCUUCGAUAUGGCUGUGUUUUCCUCCUCGGACUUGUCGUAAGGCCUCUGCGGAAGAGGCGCGUGGCUUGGACCAUGUUGAAAUCGCCUGCCUCCGCCUGUACCUCCAGUACUACCUCGACUUGUACCGCUACACACCAUAACUGAGGCAGCUCUCUUCCGUGAUUGCUGAGGCGGCAAAGACGGCUUACGUGGCUAAGUUGGAGGAGGAGGAGUGGCCUGAAGCUAUGCCGGACUUGGAGGAGAAUUGGCCUGACGCUUUGCCGGACUUGGAGGAGGAGGAGUGGCCUGAAGUUGUGCGAGACUUGGAGGAGGAUUGGCCUAAGACGUUGGUGGACUUGGAGGAGCGGGAGUUUGCUGACUCGGUGGCGGACUUCGACGAGGAGUCGGAUGACGCGGUGUUGGUGGCCUUCGAAAGAUGAUGCAAUCCUUUCUCCAUUGGAUGAUUCGAUGGUUGGCCUCUCCCAGUGUGUGCUCCUUGUCACCUCCAGGAAUGUCAAGCUCUAGCCCUGAAUAUUGGUCCACUACCUCAUCAACCAAGACACGAGCAUAGCCCACUGGAAUCGGGUUGCAAUGGAAGGUUGCCUCGGGGGGAUUUGUAAAAGCAAGGGCGUCCGCCACCUUCAUGGAUAUGUUCUUCAUUUUGAAGUGUAGCUCGUAGUUAGUGUUCUCCAUGAUGUCAUCCACUGGGUAGCUAUCCAGCAAUGCGUCGCCCGAGGCAGAACCCACGCUGCUUCUCAGCAUGGAUGGGACGGUGCUAUCCAAUGUUGGAUCAUCCGCUAGCUACUGCAGCUGCUGAGACCCCCUUUGCUGGUUAAGUGAGUCGAUCUGCUCCUGCUGCCAGUGGAAUUUGACUGCCAAGUCCGCGUGCGCUGAUUCUAGGCCUUGAAGGCGUCCAUAGUCCAGCUUCCUCUGCUCCUCCUCCAUCUUCCUCUUAUUCUCCUCCGCAAUCUUCUUUCUCGCACGGGUUCUGUAGUCGGAGUUCCAGUCUGAACACCCCUCAUACCACGGAAUAGUGCCCAUGCGUCGUGUUCUUCUCGGGUGUUCAAGAUUUCCCAGGGCACACGUAAGCUCGUCGUUCUCUCUGUUGGGCUGGAACACCCCCGAUCGAGCCUCUUCUAUUGCAACAAGUAGCUUAUCUUCGACUCCGUCCAGACAUGCCUUCUUCGAAACCUUGCCUGUCUUCGGGUCCAACUCCCCCCCAUGCGCAUAGAACCAAGUCCUGCACCUGGGGGCCAGCUCAAUGUUUCUGGAGUGACACCUGCAUCCUCCAUCUCUUUGUCAGACUUAUCCCACUUAGGCAUUCCCACCGCAUAGCCACCUGGCCCCAGCUUAUGGAACUUAUCCUUUUUUGCGGCAUUGGCCUUGUUUAUUCUCGACCGUUCCUUAGAUAAUUUCAAAUCCUUGAAUUUCACGAAAUUGCCCCAAUGAGCACUUUGCUUCUCUAGUGUUCCCUCAAAUACUGGAGUCUUCCUUCCUCCCAUGACGUACUUGGCGCAUUCACGAUUGUUGUGGUUGUUGAAUGCAACCGCCAUCUUCCUAAGAGCAGCGUCCUUGACUUUCUCCACAUCUACAUCUGUGAAAAGAUCUGGUAGGGUGAAAUGUUCCAUGAGCAUUUCCCAAAGCAGUAGUUUUUGUCUGUCGUCGACAAAAGUAACUCCUGGACGUGGCUUUGCUGGCUCUCUCCAUUCUUGAAGGGAGAUCGGGAGUAGGUCCUUCACAAGAACUCCGCACUGACGAAUGAACUUGUCUGCAAUCUUCUCAGGCGCUAAUGGUUCGCCAUUAGGUUUGAUGGCCUCGAUAUUGUACUUUACGCCCUCCUUCAACUUUUUGUUCGGGGCUCGUUUCCUGUUGCCUGAGGAUUUGUUCGAUCCGGAUGGCUGAAAGAAGAAAGAUCGAUUCGUUAAUAUAUCUUCAAGUCAUUUAAAACAUGUGAUGAUCACCAGAUGCCUGCUUAUAUAAAUAUAUAUACCUCGCCGGUCUUUGUUGUAUCAAGAUCAACAUUUUCUUCGUCAUGUUCAUAGUUCAUGACUUCAUCAAUUCGGUCGUCGCGAUCGAAUAUCAUAUCACCCUCCCCAGUGUUGUUUAGAUAUUCGGAGCCAUCAUAAUCUUCUUCAUUCUGAUCAUCAUCUGGCCCGCGAGGAUUGCGUAUGAUAUUGAACAGGGCCUCUUCUCCCUCUCUGCCGGUAUUGUCCGCCAUAGGUCUUAUUUAACUAAUCCAAAAGAAAUAUAUUCAAAUUACAAUGCAUGGAUGCAAUCAAUUAAUAAGGAAACACUGAAUCAAUCAUAGUACAUAAUAAGCAUCAUCGAUAUAAUCUCGAAUAUGUCGUCUCGAAUAAUAGAUAUAAUCUCGAAUACAUCGUCUCAAAUAAUAUAUAUAAUCUCCAAUAAAUCAUCUCGAAUAUUAUAUAUCGAAUACAUCACUAGAUAACUAAUAAAGAUCGAAUACUAGAGAGUAAUCUAGCCAAAGUGAAGGAACCAUCACUAGAUCGUAGCUCGGUUGAUCUCCCCAAAGAACCUGCCAGGUAUUGGAGAACCUGACGUCCAUAGCAGCCAUGUAGCGAUGGACGUGCUCGUCCUCCUCCCUGACACGGCGACGUACCACCUCCGGCGGGGCCGGCUACCUCCGCACCGAAAGUGGCCCACGCGAACGCCACCAAAGGAGAUGAGGGUCGACGACCGGACCCGGGGUCGGGUUCCUCACCAUGCGUCGUGCCCCUGAAGGUAGCACCUCCCAGUGCCAGCCCGGCGGAGCCUAGUCCCGGACAUGGGUCCUCUGAAGCAGGACGUCGUCGCGAACGGGUCGACGGUGAGGAUGCGGGCCGGGCAUCGUCGACAACAAAUACUAUAUGCCGCAAAAGUAAAGUAACAUUUUUUAAAUGAUGGAUUGUGAUUUCAUAUAUGCAAAUUCUAAAUUUUAUAACUAAAACUAACAUUUCUAAUAUUUCUAUAACUAAAACUAACAUUUCUAACAUUCCUAUAACUAAAAAAUAUUUCUAUAUAACUAGCAUUUCUAUAUAACUAACAUUUCUAAUAUAACUAACAUUUCUAUAUAACUAACAUUUCUAAUAUUUCUAUAUAACUAACAUUUCUAAUAUUUCUAUAACUAAAAAACAUUUCUAUAUAACUAACAUUUCUAAUAAUUCUAUAACUAAAAAACAGAAAGAUUGCUAACAUUUCUAUAACAAUGUGUGUGUUUGUGUGUUUGUGUGUGUGUGUGUGUGUGGUACAUGGCGGCCGGGGCAGGAGCUCACCGGCAAGGUGCGACGAUGGGGGGCGGCGACAGGGACGGGGACGGAGACGGAGACGGCGACGGGGAUGGGGCAGUGACGACAGGGACGGGGACGGGCCGGGCGGGGACGACGGGAGGACGGGGCGGGGCGCGGCGACGGGGACAGGGACGGUGACGGCGACGGACUGCGACGGAGACGACGACGGAUGGCGACGGGGGCGGCGACGAGGGGCGGCGGCGAUGGGCAGAGGAUAAAGAAGCAGAGGGAGAGAUGAUAAACUAACAAUUUUUUGAAGUGUUUUCUUAUAUAGAACAACCUUUAGUACCGGUUGGAGCCACCAACUGGUACUAAAGGUCUGUUUUGGCCAGGCCAAGCGGCAGGAACGGCACCCCUUUAGUACCGGGUGGUGGCUCCAACCGGUACUAAAGACCCCCCCUUUAGUACCGGUUUGAGCCACCACCCGGUACUAAAGGGGGUGCGCUGGCGCAGGUGCGGUGCGAAAUGUUUAGUCCCACCUCGCUAGCCGAGGGGCGUCCGCACUGGUUUAUAAGCCCUAGUGCGGUAGCUCCCUCGAGCUCCUCUCCAAAGCAAGGCUACUGGGCCUAAAUGUUCUGUGCUGCCCUGUGGGCCUAUUAGGCCUUUGUGGGCCUGCAUCCUGGCCCAACAACAGGUUGGGUUUCUAGUCGUAUGCAGGCCGCUGUGGUGCAGUAGGUGGGCUUUUUUUCUUAUUUUUUUGUUUUAUUUAUUUUUGAGUUUUUUUUGCUGUAUUUAGAGUUUCUUUGUGAAUAUUUUUGCUUUAGGUACAAAAAAUUACAAACUUUCUGUUAGUACCGAUAGUUUACAAAUUUGAAUAGUUUAAAUUUUGAAUUAUUUGAAAUUUGUGUGAAUCACUAGUUUGUGAAUAACUUAACUUUGAAAAUAGAUUUUUCAGUGAUUCUUUUUUCUUAUAUUUAAUAUUAGUGUGUUUUAUCAUUAUAUUCAAUUUGGUAAUGCUUAGGUUAUUUAAAAAAUGAAAUGCCUUUGUAAAGGACGAGUUUUCGUCUGAAACCCUGAUACUUCGAAAGAGAUUGUCCAUUUUGUACACGAAGUGCAUCCAGUUUUUGCGGUAACCCUCUCUACUUUUUUGCACAUGCUAUGUGGGUGAAAUUAUGAUACCAUGCCAACUUUCAACCUUUUCUGAGUUCAUUUGAAAUGCUUUUCAAUUUCAGGGUCAUUUAGCUGAAAAAAUCAGUAAAUGCAUGAAAGAAUUUGCUUGCACAUAAAAUUUCUUUGCGUUUCAAAUGCCAAAACACAUAACUAGCUACCCUAACUAUUAUAGAGAUUCCCUCCUUGGUGUGAAACACAGAAGAAAGUGAUGAUAGUGAAGCUGAUCACAUCCCAGAUCUUUGGGUGUGAAUCUUUUUCUUCGCGUGUGUCCCUUUGCGCCGUAGCCAUGGAAAAUCUUCAUCAUUUAACUGGAUGCUCGGGUCAAUAUUCACUAUGAAUGGAGCAAUUUCAUCAAACUUUUCAUAAUCUCCUGACAUGUCUGUCUUGUCAUCCACUCCCAUGAUGUUUCUCUUUCCAUAAAGAACUAUGUGCCGCUUUGGCUCAUCAUACGAUGCAUUCGCUUCCAUAUCUUUUCUUUUUCUCGGCUUGGUAGACAUGUCCUUCACAUAGAAAACCCUGUGUCACAUCAUUGUCUAGGAUGAAUGGUUCGUCUACAUACACAAGAUUGUUGAGAUCCACUAUUGUCAUUCCGUACCGCGGGUCUUCCGUUACCCCGCCUCGUGCCAUAUUGACCCAUUUGCACUGAAACAAAGGGACCUUCAAACCACGUCGAUAGUCAAGUUCCCAUAUGUCCUGUAUAUAACCAUAAUAUGUUUCCUUUCCCGUCUUGGUUUCUGCAUCAAAGCGGACACCACUGUUUUGGUUGGUGCUCUUCUUAUCUUGGGCGAUCGUGUAAAAUGUAUUACCAUUUAUCUCGUACCCUUUGAAAGUCAUUAUAUUCGAAGAUGGUAACUAGGAUAGAAAGUACAUGUCAUCUUCAAUAGAGGCGUCAUGCAUGGUACAUGUCUGCAACCAGCUAGCGAAACUCCUGGUUUGUUCACGUGUAAUCCAGUCAUCAGACCGCUCCGGGUGUUUGGAGCGUAGCAAAUUCUUGUGUUCAUCCAUAUACGGAGCCACCAAGGCGGAAUUCUGUAGAACUGUGUAGUGUGCUUCAGUGAGAGAAUAUCCAUCCAUACGUAUUAUUUGUUCCCCUCGUAGCGUGCCUUUUCCAUCCAGUCUGCCCUUAUGUCGCGAUUCAGGAAGACCAAUCGGCUUACAGUCAGGAAUAAAGUCAAUACAAAACUCAAUGACCUCCUCAUUGUCAUGGCCCUUGGAGAUGCUUCCUUCUGGCCUAGCACGGUUAUGAACAUAUUUCUUUAAGACUCCCAUGAACCUCUCAAAGGGGAACAUAUUGUGUAGAAAUACAGGACCCAAAAUGGUAAUGUCCUUGCAUAGAUGAACUAGGACGUGUGUCAUGAUGUUGAAGAAGCAUGGUGGGAACACCAACUCGAAACUGACAAGACAUUGCACCAAAUCAUUCUCUAACCUUGGUAUGAUUUUUGGAUCAAUUACCUUCUACGAGAUUGCAUUGAGGAAUGCACAUAGCUUCAUAAUGGCUAAUCGAACGUUUUCCGGUAGAAGCCCCCUCAGUGCAACCGAAAGCAGUUGCGUCAUAAUCACAUGGUAGUCAUGAGACUUUAGGUUCUGGAACUUUUUCUCUGCCAUGUUUAUUAUUCCGUUUAUAUUCGACGAGAAGCCAGAAGGUACCUUAAUACUGAGCAGGCAUUCAAAGAAGAUUUCCUUCUCUUCUUUGGUAACAGCGUAGCUUGCAUGACCCUGAUGUAUGCCGUCUUUUCCGUGCAUACGCCGCUGGUCCUCCCGUGCCUCAGGUGUAUCUUUUGUCUUCCCAUACACACCCAAGAAGCCAAGCAGGGUCACACAAAGAUUCUUCGUCACGUGCAUCACGUCGAUUGCGGAGCGGACCUCUAGGUCUUUCCAAUAGGGCAGGUCCCAAAAUAUAGAUUUCUUCUUCCACAUGGGUGCGCGUCCGUCACCGUCAUUCGGAAUAGGUUGUCCACUAGGACCCUUUCCAAAGACCACCUUCAAAUCCUUGACCAUAUCAUGUACAUCAGCACCAGUAUGGUGGCGAGGCUUCAUCCGGUGAUCCGCCUCACCUUUGAAAUGCUUGCCUUUCUUUCUUACGGGAUGCCUGCUCGGAAGAAAUCGACGAUGUCCCAGGUACACGUUCUUCUUACAAUUAGCCAACAUAUAUUGUCGGUAUCGUCCAAACAGUGCGUGCAUGCGCGGUAUCCCUUGUUUGUCUGUCCUGAAAGGUUACUGAGAGCAGGCCAAUCAUUGAUGGUCACGAACAGCAACGCCUUUAGGUCAAAUUCUACCCCCAUGUGCUCAUCCCACGCACGUACACCUAUUCCAUUCCACAGUUGUAAGAGUUCUUCAACUAAUGGCCUUAGGUACACAUCAAUGUCGUUGCCGGGUUGCUUAGGGCCUUGGAUGAGCACUGGCAUCAUAAUGAACUUCCGCUUCAUGCACAACCAAGGAGGAAGGUUAUACAAACGUAGAGUCACAGGCCAGGUGCUAUGGUUGCUGCAAUGCACCUCAUAUCGGGAAAGUGUUCAAAUCCUCGUACUCACUGCAGUAGAGGACGCAAUAUUAGGGCAUGCAUGUAUCCUCGUACUCACAGCCUUCUUUUCUUCAUAUGUACUCUUAGGAAAUUCGUUGUCCUUUCGAAGCAUAUUCUUUAUCAUUACCAGCAACUUUCCAAAUCCCUUGUUAGAUACACCAUUCUUUGCCUUCCAUUGUAGCAAUUCCAGUGUGGUACCCAGCUUUUUCUUGUCACCUACGCAAUUCGGGUACAACAAUUUUUCGUGAUCCUCUAACAUGCGCUGCAACUUCUUCUUCUCAAAAUCACUUGCGCAGUUUCUCUUUGCAUCGGCAAUGGACUGACCUAGAUCAUCAAUGGGCUCAUCCGAUGCCCCUUCUUCAGCUUCUUCCCGCAUUGUCGGCUCAGCUUCUUCCCGCAUUACCGACUCAGCUUCUUCCCUUAUUGUUGGAUCAUCGUAUUCAGGGAACCCAUGGCCAGAAUACUUGUCGUCGUCCUCUUCUUCUUCAUUGUCUUCCAUCAUAACCCCUCUUUCUCCAUGCUUGGUCCAAACAUUAUAGUGGGGCAUGAAACCGGACUCAAACAGGUGGACGUGAAUGGUUCUUGACGUAGAGUAAUUGUGACCAUUCUUAUAGCCAGCACAUGGACAAGGCAUAAAACCAUGCCCCCGCUUGUUUGCCUCAGCCGCAAGCAGAAAAGUAGGCAUGCCAUUAAUGAACUCGGGAGAGCAUUGGUCAUCGUACAUCCAUUGCCGGCUCAUCUUCAAUACACAGCACCAAAAACACCAAAUUAAUACAAUACAUAAAGUUCAUACAUAAAUAUCAUACAACACUUAAAUGCAACAAACAAAUAACUCUCUAGGUAAAGAAUUUAAAUGCAACAACCAAUGCGAUCAAGAUCGCAACUAAGGUAACAAUUGAUCCAACAGCAUAAUGAUACCAAGCCUCACUAUGAAUGGCAUAUUUUCUAAUCAUUCUAAUCUUCAAGCGCAUUUUCUCCAUCUUAAUCUUGUGAUCAUCGACGACAUCGGCAACAUGCAACUCCAAUUCUAUCUUCUCCCUCUCAAUUCUUUUCAAUUUUUCCUUCAAAUUCUCGUUUUCUCUUUCAACUAAAUUUAACCUCUCGACAAUAGGGUCGGUUAGAAUUUCCGGUUCAACUACCUCGUACAUACAAAUAUCUAUGUCAACUUGAUGGGCAUAAUUUGUCAUAAACACAAAAUGCAAUGAAUAGUUUUAAAAGAGAAUAUACCACAUCCGAAUCAUAACCCGGACGAGGGCCGACGCGGACGGAUAUCAAAACCAUGGCACUAUGUAUAACAAACAACGUAUGUGUAAGAUAAUUAUACGAGUGACUAUAUAUCCAAAUCACACAAACAUCAAUUUUUUUAUAUAAAACUUCAUGAACAAGAGGCUCACCACAAGGUGGUGCCGGCGACGGGACAUUGCGGGCGAUCGAUGGUGGUUAUGACGGAGAUUUAGAAGGCACUAAGUAAACCACACCUACAUAUGCAAACUAAGUGUUAUUUUUGACCUCAAAUUGCAUAUGAAUCAAAUACUAGCACAUAUAUAUAAUUCCUCCAAAAUUACUAAAGUCAAAAAUCAAUCACUAUAUAAAGCAUUGCACGAGCUAAUAUAGCAAUGAGAGAUGAAAGGACAAAGUUGCUAACCUUUGUGAUCAUUUGAAUGGAUCGGGGCCUUCAAAUCUUGAAAAUUUUUGGGCAAAAUGUGUGAUGAGCUUGAGAGGAAGAGGGAAAAGAACAGAGAGGAGAGGGGAAAGGGGAAGAACAAAGCGAGCUCGGCUGGACGAAUGGUCUAUGUAGGACGACCUUUAGUACCGGUUCGUGGCACGAACCGGUGCUAAUGAUCAGCGGUCGGCUAGUCGUUGGAACCGGCACUAAUGCACACAUUAGUGCCGGCUCAAAUUCAAACCGGCACUAAUGUGCUUCACAUUUGACCCUUUUUCUACUAGUGGUGGAUCCUCUCUCCCGGAGGCGCCACCAUCACCGAGCCGCCGUGGAUCUUGUGCUGAUGGGGCUAGCUGCCUUCGUGGCCCUAGCGAGCUUGCCAGCCACUGCCGGAGACCAAACCCCCAAUCUCUACGAGCUAGCUAGACGUCCUAGACACCUCGCUAUGCCCCCUGAGCGGCUGAGCCCCGCAGCCACCUUGCUGGCCACCAUUGGAGCCGCAGGCGGACGGGGACAAGGACAUCACAUAGAGCAGAGGUGUUCCAUGGACGAUGAGGUGUUCAAACAAAUGGAAGAAGCGGCGGCACUCCCUGACAACCUCCUUCAUGGAAUCCUCAAGCGCCUCGACCCGCACAAGGCGACGACCCUUCCCUCACUGGCUCUUACUCCUACACCUUGAUGUCGAUCGAGAUCAUGGGCACAUUCACGGCUGCAACACAUCCAAGUAUCCUCCUCCGGACGGGUGCAAAUGUGACUUCAAGAUUGCUAUAGAGGCUUCCCCAGCUUUUCCAUGCCGGUCCUGAAGGGAGCAUAUAUACUCAUUGCUUCACAUUCCAUAUUUCUUCAUUACGUUUAUUUGCUAAAUUGAUGCUCAUGAUUGACUAAUUGUUGUUCGAAUUUCAGAAUCAUUUGCAUCUCUUUGUUACCAAUUUUUGCUGCAACUGUUCUGCCUACAUGCGGAGAUUCUUAGCAAUCCCCACAUCCUUCUCCUAGCCGAGUCCAGGCAGGGAAACAGUGAUCCAGUGGCAAUGAAAAAAUUGAUGUGGGAUGGCACCAUGGCAGUGAUACUCCAGCCCAAUGCCACGAUGCAAGAAGGAACGCUCAAUAUUUCCUCAGGUUUAUUCUUCUUUCUCAAUUCCACGAGUUCCCAUUGGUUAGUAUUUGGUGGUUAACAGAUGGAAUUACAUGAUGCUUAGAAUCAAUCGAUUCAUACCUUGCAUGGUAGGAAUCUGAAUGUGCUUAGCCGGAUUGAUCAUUUGUGUACAUAAUAGAUUGGUCAGAUCACACACGGGCAUUUAUAUAGUCGUGAAGCAUGUUGCUUUCUUCAAGUGACUGCGUUAAGAACAGGGAAAUAAUAAUGUAUACUGCUAAGUGAUUCAAAGUUAAGUGACUGGUUCUUAAAGAGAGAGGAGGCAUGCUGGCCAUAUUUUGAGACUGAUACAAGGUGGGUGGGUGUAGUUAGGAUUAUAAUGUCAAUCUGUUGAUACAUCAAACUAUUGACAGGGAACAGGAGAAUGCAAUGCACUGUGGUGCAUGCCAAUGCAUUAGCUCUGCAUAUAUACAGUUUCAGAGUACAGCCGUUGUGCAGUCGUGCAUAGGUGGCAAUCGUGUGCCUAGUGCGUAGAGAGGGGGAAGACUAGGACGUGUAUAUAGAGGGCUGUGUCAACCAGUGGAUAUCCGCUGACACCCCGCCGCAGUUUGAGCGUCGGGUGGCCGGAUGCACAAGUUGUACCUGAAUUCUUCAAAUGCAGCCGUAGGUAACCCCUUUGUCAUCACGUCGGCAUACUGCUGCGUGGUUGGGACGUGUAGAACGCGAAGCUCGCCAAGUGCCACCUUCUCCCAAACAAAAUGUAUGUCGAGUUCGAUGUGCUUGGUACGCCGGUGAUGAACAGGGUUGGCUGCCAUGUUGUCACAGUACACGACCGUGGCCUUGGGGACGUCGACGUGCAGCUCUCCUAGAAGUUGCCUCAGCCCGCAACACUCAGCAACGACAUUGGCGACAGCAUGAUAUUUGGCCUCCGCACUUGAUCUAGACACUGUGGCUUGACGCUUCGAGGACCAAGAGAUCAGGGCAUCACCGAGGAAGACGGUAUAGCCGGAGGUGGACCGUCGCGUAUCCGGGCAACCGGCCCAGUCGGCGUCCGAAUAGGCGACAAGGUCGAGUGCCUGCGAGCGAUGUAGGUGUAGACUGUGCGUCGUCGUCCCCCGCAGGUACCGCAGUAUGCGCUUGACGAGAGCCAAGUGCUGGUCCCGCGGAUCAUGCAUAUGGAGGCAUGCUUGCUGGACUGCAUAGGCGAGGUCAGGGCAAGUCAUGGUGAGGUACUGAGCGCCCCGACCAGGCUUCUGUACUCCAAGGAAUCUGCAACAGGAGAGCCAUCGGAUGCGGACAGCUUGGCACGAGUGUCAACGGGCGUCGGCGAGGCCUUGCACGUGGUCAUGUUGGCGCGGUCCAAGAGCUCCUCUGCGUAUUUGUGCUGCGACAGGAAAAAGCCAGAGCUGCUGCGCGUGACGCUGAUACCGAGGAAGUAGUGUAGCGGACCGAGGUCCUUCAUUAAGAACUCGAAGAAGAGGCGCUGCUGGAUGUGUUGUAGAAGACAGCUCGACGAGGCGGUGAGCACGAUGUCGUCGACGUACAGGAGGACGUACGCCAUGCCACCACCGGAGUGGUACACGAACAACGACGGGUCGGAGCGUGCCGCCGUGAAGCCGACCGUGCGCAAGAACGCGGCGAACCGGUCGAACCAGGCAUGGGGAGCCUGCUUGAGGCCGUACAGAGACUUGUCGAGGAGGCAGACGUAGUUGGGGUGGUCGUGGUCGACGAAGCCGGCAGGUUGUUGACAGUAGACGCGCUCGGCCAGCUGCCCAUGAACAAAGGCAUUAUUCACGUUCAUUUGAUGGACGGGCCAGUCUCGCGAUGCGGCAAUGGCGAGCAUGGCACGAAUAGUAGCAGACUUGAUGACAGGGCUGAAGGUUUUGUCAAAGUCCACGCCCGGUCGUUGUGAGAAGCCACGGACCACCCACCUAGCUUUGUAUCGAUCCAGGGAGCCAUCGGCCUUGAGCUUGUGCCGGAACAGCCAUUUCCCAGUGACAAUGUUGGCACCGGGUGGGCGCGGCACUAGCGUCCAUGUGUUGUUCGCCAUCAACUCCCUGUACUCCUCCUGCAUAGCAGUUAGCCAAAACGGAUCGCGCAAUGCCGUGCGCACGGAUUUGGGUAUGGGGGAAAUGGUGGUUGUGUGAGAUUGGAGCGCAUACAUGGGGUUGGGCUGGAAGAUGCCGUUCAUCCCACCAGAGGCGCGUGGGCACCGGGGGCGCGUGGGAUUGUGUGGGUUUGGCGGGAGGGGGAGGGGGUGGCGGGGUUGGCGAUGUGGUGUCGUUGCUCGGAGGUGUGCGCGGGGAGGGAGAUGGAGUGGGCGAUCGGCAGGGGUGGAGUGCUGGUGGUGACUGACACUGAGGUGUCGAGGGCGCAGGGGGGUUGGGAGCUAGUGAGGCACUACACACGGUCCGACGAUCUCAAGGACUCGGUGACUGAUAGUGGUCAUCAUCAUCAGCCGACGCAGGUUGUGUGGUUUCAGUGAUGUGGUAUGGGAAAGAGCUCUCGUCGAAGAAGACGGCGCGUGAAGUGAGAACGCGGCCAGUCGAUCGAUUGUAGCAACGGUACCCUUUGUGGUCCGGCAAGUAGCCGAGAAAAACACAUGUUGUCGAUCGGGGAGCGAGUUUAUGAGCAGCAGUGGCCGUGGUGUUAGUUUAGCAUAGGCACCCAAACACGCGCAUUUUUGUGUAGUCUGGUUGGGCACCGUAGAGCAGGUAGAACGGAGUUGAGAACGAAGGUGGCAGUGUUCAGUGCUUCGACCCAGAAGGUAAAUGGCAUGGAGGCGUGGAUUAGUAAGCUGCGGACAGUGUCGUUUAGGGUUCGUAAGAUACGCUCGGCGCGGCCAUUUUGUGGGGUGGUUUAAGGACACGACAUGCAUAGAGCAAUGGCAUGUGUGGAGAAAAACUCGCGGCUUGAGUGAUUGUCGAAUUCGCGCCCAUUAUCUGUUUGAAGUGUUAGGAUGUUUAGGUUAAAGUGGUGAGAGACGAGGGUUUGAAUGGUGAGUAAGGUAGGGAGAACGUCAGAUUUAGCACAAAGAGGGAAUGUCCAGACAAAGUGACUAUAAUCAUUAAGCACAACUAGGUAGUAUUUGUAUCCAAAUAAGCUUUGUACAGGCGAGGUCCACACAUCACAAUGAACUAGCUGAAAAGGAAUGUAGGAUACAUGUUGCGAAUCUGUAAAUGGUAGUCUAGUGUUUUUCCCUAUUGAUAGGCACGGCAGGUUUGGGCAGGUGCAGCCACUAUAGAGGGCGAUGCUUGCCGCAGAGUGGUCGCCAAGGCAUCGUGUCCUGGGUGACCAAGACGUUGGUGCCAGAGAUCCACGGUAGCAGCGACAAGGCUGUGGUGCGUGGGGGUUGUGGUGACGGAUUAGAGCUCGCCGUCGUCAUCACAUCGGAGGAUCACCUUCUUUGUGCAUCGUUCCUUGGCAGAAAAACCGAGGUCAUCAAACUCAACAUUAACGGGAUUAUCGCGAGCGAGGGUUUUAACAGAGAUGAGAUUUUUGAUUAUGUUUGGGCAGACAAGAACAUUUCGGAGGGAGAGUGGAGAAGAUGUAGUGGGGAGGAUCUGGUGGCCGGAGUGUGUGACAGGCAAGGAUGAUCCGUUGCCAAAAACAAUGUGAGAGAGAGCAGUGGGGUGAGAGGUUGCGAGCAUACCUGAGGAUGAGGCCAUGUGCGACGUAGCGCCUGUGUCGAGGUACCACUCGCCAGCAGCGGAGGUUGGCGGGACGGGCUGCUGCAUGGACAUGCUAUUCAAGGCAUGGAUGAGGGUCGUCUGGUCCCACGAUGGCGCGGCAGGCGCGUUGUAGGGUGGCACCGACACGUAGGGUGCAGGGGAGCCGUAGGGCGGCGCCAUCGGGUAGUGUGCCGCGGUACCCGCGAACGGAGGAGGCACGCCGAGACGUGCACCCAGGAUGCCAUAGCCCGGGGCAUGGGGAUGCCAUGGCAUCGCCCAGACAUGAACCAUGCCAGUCCAGGGCGACGAUGCUGGCGUAGGAGGGCGCGACGACGAGGUGUUGUGGUAGGAGCCCCCGCCGGAGUUGUCGCCGCUGCCCCUGCCAUAGUUGGCAGAGGUCUUGCCCUUGCCCUUGUAGCGGCGGCCACCACCGCUGCUGUUGUUGUUGGAGCGGCCACCCCCGCCAGAGCUGCUGCCACCCGAGGCACCAGAGGCUGGCGAGCGCGCGGUAUGGAGGGCCAUGUCGGUGGAGCCGGCGCCUUGUGCAGUGUGACGGCUCUCCUCCAGAAGCAGAAAGGCGCGGCUAGCAAGGAAGGUGGGAAGCGGCCGCUGCAUGGUGAGAAUCGGGAUGGCAUAGUGGAGGCGAGGGCCGAGACCACAAAACAUGUUGAGUACCUGGUCCCGGUCAGUCACGGGCUCGCCGAGGUCGGCUAGGCGGUCAACACAGUCUUUCAGGCGGGCGAAGUAGGCAAUGAUAGAGGAGGACCCCUGCUCGAUCCGGCGGAACUCUGUAGCGAGGAAGACGGCCUGAUGCUCGGCGUUCUCUAGGAACAAGGUGGCGAUGGAGGCCCAGAGCUGUGCAGCGGUGACGUUUUGUUGGUGAACAAGGCCGAAGAUUUCCGGGCUGACCCGGUUGUACAAUCAUGAUACAAUGUGGGCGUCGUCUUGGGGCCAGUACGGCGCCGCCGCGCGAGGUGGGUCCACGAUGUGGUCGGUGACGCCGCUCUUGGCGAACAUGACCUCAAAGAGGGUGCGCCACUGGGUGUAGUUUGGCGGCGUCAGGGUGAGCACAAGCGGGUCAUGUUGGUUGAUGAAGAUCCCGGCCAGAGGUGACGCGAGGGCUGCCAUCGCAGCAGAUGGAGUGCUGUCAGGCUCACGAGGGAAGAGGGCGCCGCCACGCAUGGAGUUGGCUAGCGCGGACGGGUUGAGCAGGGGGGUGGAGGUGACUGGGGCCCGAAGGGGAGUGGUCGGGCCAUGGCUGACCGGAGGGGGAGGGGGAGUCAGAGGUGGUGCGGCCAUGGCGAGAGGAGUGCGGUGCAGAACGACAGUGGAAGAGGAGUUACAGGCUCAGGAGGUAGACGCCAUCUGAUACCAUAUUGACAGGGAACAGGAGAAUGCAAUGCACUUUGGUGCAUGCCGAUGCAUUAGCUCUGCAUAUAUACAGUUUCAGAUUAUAGCCGUUGUGCAGUCGUGCACAGGUGGAGAUCGUGCGCCUAGUGCGCAGAGAGGGGGAAGACUAGGACGUGUAUACGGAGGGCUGGGUCAACUAGUGGAUAUCCGCCGACACAAACAAAAUAUAUUAUAAUGUUAAUAUGUUGCUGCUGCCCUUUGUAUAGAAGUGGAACAUGUUAAUUUGCUUCUGCUGCUACACAAAUAAAAGUGCAGUGGAGUAGCUACUGCUCCGCUCUAGAAACAGAGCACGCAGCCAAACAGAAUUGCAAUAUAUAGAGACAGGCAGUGAAAUAAAUGAUGGCUGAGACAAAAUCCAUGUACUGAAUAAACUUACCAACUUGCCACUAAAAGGAUAUGGAAUAGAUCACUGAAACAAACACUAGUACACGUCAGUGCUAUACAAACGGUUUUUAACUCCUUCCCGCGACGGCGUUCAGAACCAUCACCUAGUGAGUGUGGGCAAUAGGGGGUCCUUCCCACACGACCCAGAAAUUGUCGGGGAUAUGCCCUCCUGGCACACACGCUCGGCAAAAUGAGGUCGUGUGCAACCGGCGAGCGACCAAAUACGGUUAUACGUACAGUAGUGCUAAAAAAUACAAUUAUACAGGCAAAAUCAUUUCUGGUCGUAAGUACAUCCCACACAGUCAGUCCCCGCUAAACGUUUCCAUUCGUAUAUACAUCCCACAUAGUCACUCCAAGGAAAACGUUUGCGCAAGGUGGCGUAACGAAACGAUUUUCAAGAGAAUGCCGUGUGUGAUUGUUCAUUGAUCUAACACGGUUUAUUCCUAGAAACUGUGUGUGUUGCCUGAGGUCAUCGCCCAUGGUGUUUUAUCAGUAACCGUUUGCAAUAGGAAAACCCAAUUAACAAGCUAAUUGCCCUAUUAUUAAUAAUCCAUUUUGUCAGUGUACAAAAAGAGGGGUACACUUUUUGUACCCCUAUAACUGCGCACGGGCAGUCUGAGCCACGGGCACCACCACAUUGAGCAAGGCGAGGGAGGUGAGCCAAGGUAAGGCUGAAGCUCAGGAGAAGCAGAACGACGCCAAGACCAAGACCACAAAGAGCAAAGGGGACGGAGCGGACCCCCCCGGCAAGAUCCUUGCCGGGAGGCGGUUUUAGCAAACCCGGCAAGACCCUUGCCGUGGCAGCUCGCCCCAUGCCUACGGAGUGAGUCACCCUUGAGUCCACUGCCCCCAUGGGGCAAGGAUUCGGGAGACAUCCCCAUGGUGGCAUGCAGAUCUUUGUGAAGGCAUUCAAUAUCAGAUACACCCUUUAGAAGAUGAUGAUCCUUGGCGGGAUCCCAGCCAAGGAGGACAACAAGGCCCCCGGCAAGAGCCUUGACGGGGAUGACAGCAGGCGCCACGACAAGACCCUUGCCAGGGCCCUGGCAAGGCCCUUGCCAAGAACACCCAUUGGGCCACCAUCAGGCCCACGCCAGUCAAACCUCCACCACCAUUCGCUUGCAGCUGCCGACCCAACCAGCUGGGCAGGCACCUGCGUGGCGGCAUGCGGAUCUUCGUGGAGACCCACCACUGCGCCACCUCAGCUGCCUGCCUGCCUACAUGGCACCGCGGGCGCCGCUGGCCAGGGCGCGUGUCAACAUGAGAGGGAGCGGCAACAGACGAGACAGGGCUCUCCCCCGUCCCCGAUAAAGCAAGGACACCUGGGCAAGACGCAUUAAAUGCGCCUUGUCAUGUAAUGCGAGGGAUAACCUCGCAUCACCGUUCCCUUUCCACCUCCUGUGUGCCACUGUGGCUACCCCGUUUCCUAUAAAAGGAGGCCCGAGGCGACCAGGAGGAGGAUUCGGCUUUUUGGAGCUCCUCACGCCCCAUAGCUAGCUCAAGAACAUAGAUAUACAAUCCACCAAAGUAGGAGUAGGGUUUUACGCAUCCCCGUGGCCUGAACCUGGAUAAACGAACCAUGUGCUAUCUGUUUGAUCCGCUCUUCUCACGACCCCGCGCCCCGCAACCGUAGUAGGGAUUCUUGUGAUCCCAUAGGUGUCGUUCCCAUUGACAUCUUUGUCGCGCCAGGUAGGGGGCGCGCUCGGCGGUGAGAAUCGGCUUUAGCAGUUAGUUCGACGCUUCUUCAUCGUCAUGGCGCCCAAGAAGAAGACGACGGUGACGGUUGGCCCGUCGGAAGCCGGACAUCCCGUCCCGACGCGGGCGAGUAGCGGACCAGUCGCAGAAAGGACCCAGGGUACCAUUCGUGAACACCAACACCGUCCCAGCAGCCGGAGUUUGGGAGGCGGCGAUGUUCGUGCGCCUGGUAACGGGCCGCACGCCGCCAAAUCCAAAGACGGAGCCAGGCCCUCCGCGGGUAGCGCGGGGCCUUCCGAGAUCGCUGCCACCCCGCCCGAAGGCGAUGCGAGGGCCUCCAAGACUCCCACGCCGGCGCCGACGGCGCGCUCCUCUCAAGACUCCACUACACGAACGGCGUAAACACGGCGGGGACCCCUGGUGUCGCCGCGGGAAGAGCCCCGAGCGCCACUCCCGGGAGGUAGAAGACCUGCUCGCUCGCCGAGGCACUGGUGGAGAUGGCAUGCGACCGCGGGGUCGUGAUAGAGCUCCUUCUGAUAUGGUCAGAAGUCGAAGCGCGUCGCGAUCCGUGCAGGUUUCGCUGCCACCAACGCCAGCAGAAGCCCUGGCGCGCACGUAGUUGCUCCUCGAUUUUCCUCCCACUACAGGGAAACUCGACGAAUGGAGAGCCACUAUCCUAAGCCUUGUUGCUGUGGCCAACAAAGACGAACCGAGUCCAUGGAGCCCCCGGGUUGACGCUCCGACGGAGUCCCACGCACGAAUGGCAGGAAAGCUGGCGGCGCCGCGACCACGGUGCACUCACCUCCUCCUCGCCCGGUACCGCGGACGCCAGCCCGUCGCAACGUUGCGGGCGAUGAAAUCUCCAUAGCGUCGUCCGACCCGCGGACCCACUGUGACCAGCGCCAAGUCCUUCGGGAACGAGAACAUGAAGACGCUCGAACCACUAUCGAGCGCCGGCGCGGAGCGCGCUACCAGUCAGACAGGCAAGCAUGGCCUGAUGUGAACCACCCGGCACCGGAGAGCCCUGGAGGCCUACCUUACGAGGUAGGCUGUCCGGCUUUUACCCGUGAGCUGUGGUAGUUCUAGUGGCCCACUCACCGCACCUGCAAACCUGACAUGGGCGAAAAGUACAGCGGCAAGACCCACCCGUCCGAGUUCCUCAACAUCUACACCAUUGAGAUGCAAGCUGACGGAGCCCGCGACGAUAAGGUGCUUGCGAAUUACUUUCCGUUGCCUCUUAAACCCAACGCCAUGUCAUGGUUGAUGCACUUGCCGGUAGACUCUAUUUCCUCCUGGUCGGAUUUGUGCCAUGAGUUUGUGGGCGCCUUUACUGGAGGCCACCAAGCCCAUGGCCAAGCGAGCAACCUGCACGUCAUUCCUCAUAAAGGAGGCGAGAGUCUCCGCAAGUAUAUACAGAGGUUCAGCCGGAUACAGUACAAUAUCCCUGAUGUUCACCCUGCCGCCAUCAUCAGCGUGUUCCAUCAGAACGUGCGUAGCCGCAAGAUGCGCGAAGAGCUGGCAAUGAACAAGGUGAAAGAUGUAGCAGAACUCUAUGUUCUUGCUGACAUAUGUGCUCGGGCUGAAUUGGGAAGGAAGUACCCCGGCGAAGAUGCCGACGUGGAAACCGACUCCACAGAUGAAGAUACUGCCGCCCCGGCGAAGAAGGGUCGGCGCCGCAACAGGAAGCGCAAAGGUAAAGCCGUGCUUGCCGUCGAGGGAUCUGAUGACACCGGCUCCACCAAGAAGACCAAGGCAGACGACCCCGGCGAGGAAAUUGCCAGAUGUGCCGGGCCUUGGCGGUUGCCAAGAAGCCAGGAAACUCCGACAAGCGAUACUUCAAGAUCCAUCGCACCAAUGUCCAUGCUCUUCAAGACUGCCGACAGGUUGAGCUCCUUGUUGAGAAGCAGAGGGAUGAAUAUGAGAGGCGGGACAAGGAGAAGGGCCAAGACGGUGCUAAGGGGUCCGGCAAGAAGCGUGACGACCAGGCAGGCCGUCGCGGCAAGGAUAGACAACAGGAGAGGCCCGCCCGGGGCCGUGACAAAAAGCUAGAAGACGAUGAUCACGAAGAGGACGACGAAUCCGGCGACCAAGAGUUUCAGAAAGCUACAGAGGCCAUGUGCAUCGACGGCGGCGCCUCGCUGCAUACUUCUCACCGCCAGCUUAAACAGUGGGCGCGAGAGAUUACAGUGGCAGAGCCGUCGUUUGAUGCCCAAAGGCCACUGAAGUGGUCCAGCACACCUAUCAUUUUUGACACUGAGGAUCACCCUAAUCGCACUAUUGCGGUCGGGUGCUUGCCAUUGUCGAGGUGACAAAGAUGCUAGUUGAUGGCGGGGCCGGUCUGAACUUGAUCUCACCUGCCGUAAUCGAGAAGCUGCAGAUUCCUGAUGGAGACCUCGAAGAGAUGGGCACAUUUCAGGGGGUCAACCCGGGAAGAAGCCAACCUAAGGGAAAGGUCACGCUGCCCGUGACUUUUGGAAGCGAUCUGAACUACAGGACGGAGAGGAUCGUGUUUGAUGUUGCCAAGAUCCCCUUGCCCUACAACGGGAUCCUUGGCCACCCAGCGCUGGCCAAGUUCAUGGCGGCGUCACACUAUGCCUACAACACCCUGAAGAUGCCAGGACCUGUGACGAUCAUCACCAUCCCCUCCGAUAAGAAAGAUGCGCUGAUUUGUGCUGACCGACUAUACCAGCAAGCAGUUGCAGCAGCUGCCACCACUAGGGUACUUGCUCCUGCCGCUGAGACCCCGGGAGGGAAGAAUAAGAAGAAGACCUGUGAGACCUCGGACACCCACUCCGGCAAGCGCACCUCUUCGGAGUGUAGCGCUCCCGUCGAGGACGUGCCAGAGAGCUCCACCGGCGGAAACAAGAAGCCCAGGGCCAUACCACCGGGAACCAAGAAGGUUUCUGUCAAUGAGGACGGCACGGGAGGGGCUUUCACCAUAAGCUCCACCCUUGACGACAAAUAGGAAGACGCGCUCGUCACCUUCCUGCGGGCGAAUGUCGAUGUGUUUGCAUGGAAAGAUUCCGACAUCCCCGGCGUUCCUAGGGAGGUGAUUGAGCACCACCUUGCUGUAUGUCCUCAUGCGCGGCCCGUCAAGCAGAAGGUCAGAAAGGAUGCUUUGGAAUGACAAGAGUUCCUCACAGAGGAGAUCCAGAAACUAGAAGCAGCGAGUUUGGUAAGAGGAGUGCUCCAUUCAACGUGGUUGGCCAAUCCGGUCGUGGUGCGCAAGGCUAAUGGGAAGUGGAGGCUGUGUAUUGAUUACACAGAUAUCAAUAAGGCUUGUCCUAAGGACCCCUUCCAAUUGCCGCACAUCGACCAGAUUGUUGACUCCACAGCUGGGUGUGAUUUGUUGUCAUUCCUCGAUGCCUACUCCGGCUACCACCAGAUCUUCAUGACAAGAGAAUACGAAGAGAAAACAUCAUUCAUCACCCCAUGUGGUACGUAUUGUUUCAUGUGGAUGCCUUUCGAGCUGAAGAGUGCUGGUUCGACGUUUGCGAGGGUGGUCCAGAUUGGUUUUGAACCCCAGCUCCAUAGAAAUAUGGAAGCUUAUAUGGAUGACAUAGUGGUCAAAACCAAGGACAGGGCAACCCUCAUACCGGAUUUGCAAGAAACAUUUGCAAACCCGCGCAAGAUCAAUCUCAAGCUGAACCCUGAGAAGUGCGUCUUUGGCGUCCCGUCCGGCAAGCUUCUCGGGUUCUUUGUGUCACAGCGUGGGAUAGAGGCCAAUCCGAACAAGAUCAAAGCUAUACAGCAGAUUGAAGCACCCAAGCGAAUUAAGGAUGUGCGUCGGCUUGCUGGUUGCAACGCCGCCAUGGGCAGAUUCAUUUCCAAGUCUGCCGAGUGCGCCCUUCCCUUUUUCAAGAUCCGGAAAAAGGCGGGCCCAAUGGAGUGGACGCUAGAAGCGGCAUUGCAAGAUUUGAAGAAGUACCUCUCCUCCGCGCCAAUACUAGUUGCGCCUAGGCCACAGGAGCCGUUGCUGCUAUUCCUGGCGGCAACGAACCAGGUGGUCAGCGCCGCACUAGUGGCGCAGAGAGAGGUUGACGACGAGGUAAUGGCAGCGACAGAGCUCGACACCACCAAUGCAGAGACGACACGGCCAGUUGAAGUGCCGCCGAAGAAGAAAAUGAUGCAGCACCCGGUCUACUUUGUUAGUUCCCUCUUGCAGGGAGCUAGAUCAAGGUACUUCGGCAUGCAGAAACUGCUCUUCGGCCUUCUUAUGGCCUCGAGGAAGCUGCAUCACUACUUCCAGGCACACAAGAUCACUGUCGUCACUCGCAUCCCUCUGCAAUGGAUAUUGGACAAUCCAGAUGCAACGGGAAGAAUUGUGCAAUGGGCACUAGAGCUGUCCAGCUUUAGCCUCAAGUUUGAAAGUACUUCGACGAUUCAGAGAUGAGUCCUGGCGGAGUUCACUGCAGAAUGGACCGCAACACCUGACGAAGAAGCCCAAGAGACUGCUCUCCCCGGCAAGGAGGCAAGUUGCAGUUGGAUCAUGUACUUUGAUGGAGCUUUCUCCUUACACGGCGCUGGGGCUGGCGUACUGCUUGUCGCGCCCACCGGAGAGCACCUCAAGUACAUGAUCCAGAUGCACUUCCCCAGGGAGGAGUCAACAAACAAUACGGCAGAGUACGAAGGGCUGCUUGCCGGUCUUAGGAUCGCGGCGGACCUCAGAAUCAAGAAUCUCAUCGUCAGGGGCGCACUACUAGAAAAACCCCUACUAAUGGCGCACCUAAUAUGGCCAUUAAUGGCGCAUCUGUGGUGCGCCACUAAUAGCACGCCAUUAGUAAUUUUUACUAAUGGCACACCAGUGGUGCGCCAUUAGUAUGUGGUAUACUAAUGGCGCACCACUGGUGCGCCAUUAGUAUAGGCCAUGAUGCGCCAUUAGUAUGCCUCCCAGGGGCCAGGUGCUUUGGAUACUAAUGGCGCACCACAACUGGAUGCGCCAUUAGUAACCGCGGCAUACUAAUGGCGCACAUUCCUGUGAUGCGCCAUUAGUGAUGCGCCAUUUUGAAUCUAGAUCUGGAUCUUGAUUUUUUGCCCAUUUUUUGCUCGUUUUUUUUGCUUGUUUCUUGGCACGACAAUAUUCUCAAAUUUUGUUCCUGUUUUUGGAUCUUGUUGCCAUGGUCUUUUGCCGGAGAGGAGUUCGCNNNNNNNNNNNNNNNNNNNNNNNNNNNNNNNNNNNNNNNNNNNNNNNNNNNNNNNNNNNNNNNNNNNNNNNNNNNNNNNNNNNNNNNNNNNNNNNNNNNNNNNNNNNNNNNNNNNNNNNNNNNNNNNNNNNNNNNNNNNNNNNNGGAGGAGGGAGGAGGGAGGAGGGAGGAGGAGGUCGCCGGAGAGGAGGAGGAGGUCACCGGAGAGGAGAAGUAUGGUGGAGGAGAGAAGGGAAGAUGAAAUGAAGAGAGGAGGAGAGGACCAGCCAUAUAUACGGCAUACUAAUGGCGCACCGCGGGCAGGUGCGCCAUUAGUAAUUUUUUUUAUUUUUUUGAUUUAUUUUGAAUUUUGAAGGCGGGAAGAUACUAAUGGCGCACCACGGGCAGGUGCGCCAUUAGUAAUUUUUUUUAUUUUUUUGAUUUAUUUUGAAUUUUGAAGGCGGGAAGAUACUAAUGGCGCACCAUGGUCAGGUGCGCCAUUAGUAAUUUUUUUUAUUUUUUUGAUUUAUUUUGAAUUUUUAAGGCGGGAAGAUACUAAUGGCGCACCAUGGGCAGGUGCGCCAUUAGUAAGUUUGAAUUUUUUUGAUUUUUUUGCCUCUCUAGAUCUUAAAAGCCCCGUAUCUUUGUUUUUGUUAGGUUUUUGAGGAUUUUGGAAAUUUGGAUGUAACUUUUCGAGUAGAUGAUUUUUCAUAUAAAAAACUUUUUCAUCCGAGUUAGUAUUCAAAAGUUAUGCCCAUUUUUACAAAUUCUCGCGAGAUUUUGCAAAUGAAGUCAAAAUUCAUAUUUGCAAAUUUUCCCAACAACUAGGCCACAUAUCACAUGGGAAACUUAUUUUCUUUUAUUUUUUUGACAUUUUUAUCAUUUUCUUUUAUUUUUUUAAAAACUGAAAAGGCGAUCCACGGGGAGGGGGGGGGUGCAUUCGGUGGAAGUGGUGGCCAAGGUUACUAAUGGCGCACCGUGGCAUGGUGCGCCAUUACUAGUUUAACUAGUAAUGGCGCACCACACCCACGGUGCGCCAUUAGUAUGUUUGGACAGGCGCACUAGUUCAAAAAAAAAAUUGGUACUAAUGGCGCACCGUAGGCAGGGUGCGCCAUUAGUAGUUUCAACACUAAUGGCGCAUCAGAAGGUGGUGCGCCAUUAGUAUAUACUAAUGGCGCACCACAUGUCUGGUGCGCCAUUAGUGUCAUUUCCAUCUAUAGCCCUUUUCCUAGUAGUGGCGACUCGCAGCUCGUCGUCAAGCAAGUCAACAAGGACUACCAGAGCCCGUUGAUGAAGGCCUACGCCGAUGAAGUGAGAAAGCUGGAAGAGCGUUUCGACGGUAUACAAGCUGAAUACGUUCCCCGAGCGAAGAACGAUAUCGUCGAUUACCUAUCAAAACGCGCUGCCCUCAAGCUACCUGUGGAACCAGGUACCUUUGUGCUCUAGCUAACUCUGCCAUCUGUUGAUCCAUCAACAGGGCAGAACAAGAGGAGGAAAUCAGGACCCGGCAAGUACUUUCCCGCCGGGCUCCCCGGAGCCGCCGGCAAGGAUGUUGCCGGGGACACUGAGCCCGCCACAGGACGGCUAGCUCCGGCGUAGCGUCAAGCUCUUGUCGUCAAGACAGCCGCUCCUAUAGCGGAGGAGAUGCCUUUAGUCUUCGCCGUCGAGCCCCAGGCUCCAGUGCGGGCAUAUCAUACCGUCCGAUUCCUCCAAACAGGGGAACUUCCUGAAGAGUAGGAAGAAGCGGAAAAAGUAGCCCGUCGCUCUACCAUGUACCAGUUCGUCGAUGACGUCCUGUACAGAAAGAGGCCGAACGGUGUGAAAUUGAAGUGUAUCCCUCGGGAGGAAGGACUGGAGCUGUCGGCGGAGAUAUACGGAGGCAUAUGUGGAUCCCACAUCGGGUCAAGGGCCCUUGCCGGCAAGGCAUUUCGGCAAGCUUUCUUCUGGCCCACCGCCCUCCAGGAUGCAACGACACUAGUCACCAGGUGUGAAGCGUGUCAGUUCCAUUCAAAGAAGCUUCAUCAGCCAGCUCAAGCCCUUCAAACCAUUCCUCUCUCCUGGCCCUUCUUGGUCUGGGGGCUCGACAUACUAGGCCCUUUCCCCCACGUUGUUGGAGGCUUUGAGUACUUGUACGUUGCAAUCAACAAGUUCACAAAGUGGCCGGAGGUGGAGGCAGUGAGGAAGGUCAUAGCUCAGUCAGCCUCAAGUUCUUCAAGGGACUAGUGUGCCGUUUUGGUGUACCCAACAGGGUCAUCACCGACAAUGGCACACAAUUCACAAGCCGCACCUUCAUGCAAUAUAUCCAAGACCUCGACAGCAAAGUCUGUUUCGCUUCCGUUGCUCACCCACGAAGCAAUGGUUAAGCUGAAAGGGCAAACACUGAAGUACUGCUAGGCUUAAGGACCAAGACCUUUGACAGGCUGCACAAGAGUGGAAGGCGCUGGAUUGAUGAGUUGCCGACGGUUCUUUGGUCGAUCAGGACGACGCCAAAUCGAGCCAUCGGCCAAACAGCCUUUGCCCUGGUAUGCGGGGCAGAAGAAGUUCUCCCCACUGAACUCAUAUAUGGGUCACCUCGAGUGCUCGCUUAUGAUGAGCUUGAGCAAGAGCAACUGCGGCAAGAUGACACAAUGCUCCUUGAGGAAGAUCGUCUUCUGGCGGCUGUGAGAGCAGCACGCUACCAGCAAGCCUUGCGCCGCUACCAUAGCCGCAAGGUUCAUGCCCGAAACCUUGAGGAAGGCGACCUUGUCCUUCGGCGCGUUCAAUCGGCCAAGAAUUCCAACAAGUUGACGCCAAAGUGGGAAGGCCCUUAUUGGGUAAUACGAGUCACCAGGCCCGGCGCAGUCCGCCUGGAGACCGAAGAUGCCGUUCCGGUGAGAAACUCCUGGAACAUUGAGCAUCUUCGCAAGUUUUACCCGUAAGGCGCGGCUUGCCGGGCCCCCCAGCAAGCCACCUUUUGUACAAGCAUUGCCGAUGAUGCAUGUAACCCUUUGUACAAAGCCAGGCGCAGACCCUGAGCACAAAUAAAUGAAGCGCUGGCGCCCUAAGUUAUAGCAUGCAUGCUAGGUCGAGUCUCGUCCUUGGUUAGGGUUGAUAGUGCUUAGCAGCGACUAACCCCUAGCUUAGAGGUCGAGUGUGCGUCUCUUUGUCAUUCUUUCAUCUUCUUUGGUUCGCAGGACUCACAGGUAUCCUUGUCGGAUCACUUGAGGAUGAAAAAGAGAAGAGGGACAGGCCAGCAUCUAGACCCCGGCAGGCCAGUAUUGCCGGGGGCUGCAAGAGCAAAGAUUCACCCACGGCAAACCAGAGUUGCCGGGGGCUACAGCUUCAGAUAAGUUCUUCAUCCCUUAUCAUGCAUUCCCUUAUGGACUGAGGUAUGUGAAACCUCGUUUUUUCCUAAAGCUACCGUGCUCCCCUAACUCUAGGCCCUAGGGCUCGUUCCUGGGGCCAGGUUUGGUAGUAGUCACGGCAGUGAGAGGAUGAAACAAGGAGCCUGAAUCGACCUCAUCCCUUCCUUCACCAAAGGUGUGAGAAAGGUCGAGCGAAGUGGGGAGAUGGCAAGGCCUGUUGCGGGGCAAGGGAAUGUUUAUCUUAAGGAUAUCAAGGAUUUACUCCUUGUCGUGGGUUCUACCCACAAACAAAUGACCUGGCAAACAUCCCUUUUUCAUUAAAAACAUUCCACUCAGGUACAGUCCAUAGAGAAUGAAAAACAUGAAUAAUGGGAUUACAAGUUUUAAAUUCAGCUAAGGCCCGAAGGCUUACAAACUAAAAAAAGAUAAGGUGCCCGUAAUCCCUUUCUUGUCCCUCUCCUCAGGAGGUAGGUCAAGGAUACGAAAAGGGCAAAAGGGGCGCCUAGGCGAGCUACGGGUGGCAGAAGACACGAAGAGAACAUCUCGGUGGCCGUCCGAAGGCUGGAUGGUGAUGGCGGCGCUAGAAGCAGAGCUCGAAGACGAGGCGGCAGUACAUCAGCACGUGUCGAAGGCGUCGGUGCCCGCGUACUCCGACUUGACGGCCUUGCCGCCCGCCCUCUUCCUCUUCCGCAGCCUCCCAAUGCCAGCCGCCCAAGGAGACGACCCCGAGAAGUUCAGGGAGCCGGCGAUGCGGAUGAUGGGGUCACCGGUGCCGCACGGAGCGGCACCCGAUGCCUAAUCGGACCCGUCAUCCUGCCGCCUACUACCCUCAUCAUCGCUGCUGCUGUCCUCCUCGUCACUCCCGCCCGAGGAGGAGUCUUCACUAUCAGAAGAGCUCUCCAUGCAGCACCUUGCACGGGUCCCAAAGCACCCAAAGACCUUGACGGAGAUAAGGCCACCCUCCAUCAAGCAGUGGAUAUGGGCAAACGUCUUCCAUCCCCGAUGAAGAUACAUCACGUGAGAGGCGGGGAAGUUGACGCGGGCCCACGUGCCACUGAUCCCGCAGCCCCUCAUGUGCAGCCACAACGACUCCGGCGGAUCCAGUUCCAUCUCCUACGCGAAUGGAGUCGGGUGAAGAAGGCGACGGUGAGGCGGCCGACGCAGCCUGACGAAGAACUCGCAAGGAUCAUCCCCAACAUGGCCCUCCAUGGAGGGAGGAACUGCCGGCGGAGGCAAGGCCGGCACGCUGCCCCGUCCUCCUCUUCCCCGAGCGCCUCGGCCUCGCCCACGGCCUUGCCCCCUCCCCCUUCCCCUCGCGGCCAGCUCUACCGCCGCAGGUGCAGGAGAAGGAGGGACGCGCUGUCGAGUGGCGACCCUCGCCGCCACCGUUGAAGGACCAGGAUUCCAUCUCUCCAUGACGGAUGGAAGGGGGGAGCAUAAGCUGAAGGAAGGAGGAGAUGAAGGAAUGCGGGACGCCAUCCCCCCCGUUCUUUAUAAAGGAACGGGGUGGGGGCUCGGCCUCCCGCUCAGCCAAUCAAGACGCGGAAGGCGCAGGGAACUAGAACCGACCCACCACCCCAGCCCGCAGCGGCCCGGUUUCUCGCCUCCACCGUUCGCCACCAAAAGCACAUGAGAGCCACGUGGCAGGCGUGCAGGACCAAGGCGACGGAUGAGGCGACCUCUCCCCACCCUGUGAUCGUGGGGAGUGGACGCCUUGAAGACCACGCCUCGGCCCGGUUCAGUAAAUGGGUCGCGCCUCCACGCCUCCCUCCGUUUAUGGGGAAGGCGCGAACCGCCCCCUUUACUACAGCGUGACGCAUGCAUGCAGAGCUCAGCCCCACGCAUGCCGCCCACGUCACACACGCCUCCCCACGCCGCGCCACGCGUGGGAAGCAUGGGAAGCGCAGCGCAUGAAGAGACUUACCGCGGUAAAAACCGCCCCGCCUGCCUGCGCACCGUUUUUGGGCCUAGCCCAACGACGCAAUUGCGCUUACGUGUGGCCCAGGCCCGGGGGCUCCUAUCGGUGUACAAAAAUAGGGGUACACUUUUUGUACACCUAUAACUGUGCACGGGAAGUCUGAGCCACAGGCUCCACCACACUGAGCAAGGCGAGGGAGGUGAGCCAAGGUAAGGCCGAAGCUCAGGAGAAGCAGAACGACGCCAAGACCAAGACCACAAAGAGCAAAGGGGACGGCAAGUACUUUCCCGCCGGGCUCCCCGGAGCCGCCGGCAAGGAUGUUGCCGGGGACACUGAGCCCGCCACAGGACGGCUAGCUCCGGCAUAGCGUCAAGCUCUUGUCAUCAAGACAGCCGCUCCUAUAGCGGAGGAGAUGCCUUUAGUCUUCGCCGUCGAGCCCCAGGCUCCAGUGUGGGCAUAUCAUACCGUCCGAUUCCUCCAAACAGGGGAACUUCCUGAAGAGUAGGAAGAAGCGGAAAAAGUAGCCCGUCGCUCUACCAUGUACCAGUUCGUCGAUGACGUCCUGUACAGAAAGAGGCCGAACGGUGUGAAAUUGAAGUGUAUCCCUCGGGAGGAAGGACUGGAGCUGUCGGCGGAGAUAUACGGAACCUUGAGGAAGGCGACCUUGUCCUUCGGCGCGUUCAAUCGGCCAAGAAUUCCAACAAGUUGACGCCAAAGUGGGAAGGCCCUUAUUGGGUAAUACGAGUCACCAGGCCCGGCGCAGUCCACCUGGAGACCGAAGAUGCCGUUCCGGUGAGAAACUCCUGGAACAUUGAGCAUCUUCGCAAGUUUUACCCGUAAGGCGCAGCUUGCCGGGCCCCCCAGGAAGCCACCUUUUGUACAAGCAUUGCCGAUGAUGCAUGUAACCCUUUGUACAAAGCCAGGCGCAGACCCUGAGCACAAAUAAAUGAAGCGCUGGCGCCCUAAGUUAUAGCAUGCAUGCUAGGUCGAGUCUCGUCCUUGGUUAGGGUUGAUAGUGCUUAGCGGCGACUAACCCCUAGCUUAGAGGUCGAGUGUGCAUCUCUUUGUCAUUCUUUCAUCUUCUUUGGUUCGCAGGACUCACAGGUAUCCUUGUCGGAUCACUUGAGGAUGAAAAAGAGAAGACAGACAAGCCAGCAUCUAGACCCCGGCAGGCCAGUAUUGCCGGGGGCUGCAAGAGCAAAGAUUCACCCACGGCAAACCAGAGUUGCCGGGGGCUACAGCUUCAGAUAAGUUCUUCAUCCCUUAUCAUGCAUUCCCUUAUGGACUGAGGUAUGUGAAACCUCGUUUUUUCCUAAAGCUACCGUGCUCCCCUAACUCUAGGCCCUAGGGCUCGUUCCUGGGGCCAGGUUUGGUAGUAGUUGCGGCAGCGAGAGGAUGAAACAAGGAGCCUGAAUCGACCUCAUCCCUUCCUUCGCCAAAGGUGUGAGAAAGGUCGAGCGAAGUGGGGAGAUGGCAAGGCCUGUUGCGGGGCAAGGGAAUGUUUAUCUUAAGGAUAUCAAGGAUUUACUCCUUGUCGUGGGUUCUACCCACAAACAAAUGACCUGGCAAACAUCCCUUUUUCAUUAAAAACAUUCCACUCAGGUACAGUCCAUAGAGAAUGAAAAACAUGAAUAAUGGGAUUACAAGUUUUAAAUUCAGCUAAGGCCCGAAGGCUUACAAACUAAAAAAAAGAUAAGGUGCCCGUAAUCCCUUUCUUGUCCCUCUCCUCAGGAGGUAGGUCAAGGAUACGAAAAGGGCAAAAGGGGCGCCUAGGCGAGCUACGGGUGGCAGAAGACACGAAGAGAACAUCUCGGUGGCCGUCCGAAGGCUGGAUGGUGAUGGCGGCGCUAGAAGCAGAGCUCGAAGACGAGGCGGCAGUACAUCAGCACGCGUCGAAGGCGUCGGUGCCCGCGUACUCCGACUUGACGGCCUUGCCGCCCGCCCUCUUCCUCUUCCGCAGCCUCCCAAUGCCAGCCGCCCAAGGAGACGACCCCGAGAAGUUCAGGGAGCCGGCGAUGCGGAUGAUGGGGUCACCGGUGCCGCACGGAGCGGCACCCGACGCCUAAUCGGACCCGUCAUCCUGCCGCCUACUACCCUCGUCGUCGCUGCUGCUGUCCUCCUCGUCACUCCCGCCCGAGGAGGAGUCUUCACUAUCAGAAGAGCUCUCCAUGCAGCACCUUGCACGGGUCCCAAAGCACCCAAAGACCUUGACGGAGAUAAGGCCACCCUCCGUCAAGCAGUGGAUAUGGGCAAACGUCUUCCAUCCCCGAUGAAGAUACAUCACAUGAGAGGCGGGGAAGUUGACGCGGGCCCACGUGCCACUGAUCCCGCAGCCCCUCAUGUGCAGCCACAACGACUCCGGCGGAUCCAGUUCCAUCUCCUACGCGAAUGGAGUCGGGUGAAGAAGGCGACGGUGAGGCGGCCGACGCAGCCUGACGAAGAACUCGCAAGGAUCAUCCCCAACAUGGCCCUCCAUGGAUGGAGGAACUGCCGGCGGAGGCAAGGCCGGCGCGCCGCCCCGUCCUCCUCUUCCCCGAGCGCCUCGGCCUCGCCCACGGCCUUGCCCCCUCCCCCUUCCCCUCGCGGCCGGCUCUACCGCCACAGGUGCAGGAGAAGGAGGGACGCGCUGUCGAGUGGCGACCCUCGCCGCCACCGUUGAAGGACCAGGAUUCCAUCUCUCCAUGACGGAUGGAAGGGGGGAGCAUAAGCUGAAGGAAGGAGGAGAUGAAGGAAUGCGGGACGCCAUCCCCCCCGUUCUUUAUAAAGGAACGGGGUGGGGGCUCGGCCUCCCCGCUCAGCCAAUCAAGACGAAGAAGGCGCAGGGAACUAGAACCGACCCACCACCCCAGCCCGCAGCGGCCCGGUUUCCCGCCUCCACCGUUCGCCACCAAAAGCACAUGAGAGCCACGUGGCAGGCGUGCAGGACCAAGGCGACGGAUGAGGCGACCUCUCCCCACCCCGUGAUCGUGGGGAGUGGACGCCUUGAAGACCACGCCUCGGCCCCGUUCAGUAAAUGGGCCGCGCCUCCACGCCUCCCUCCGUUUAUGGGGAAGGCGCGAACCGCCCCCUUUACUACAGCGUGACGCAUGCAUGCAGAGCUCAGCCCCACGCAUGCCGCCCACGUCACACACGCCUCCCCACGCCGCGCCACGCGUGGGAAGCAUGGGAAGCGCAGCGCAUGAAGAGACUUACCGCGGUAAAAACCGCCCCGCCUGCCCGCGCACUGUUUUUGGGCCUAGCCCAACGACGCAAUUGCGCUUACGUGUGGCCCAGGCCCGGGGGCUCCUAUCGGUGUACAAAAAUAGGGGUACACUUUUUGUACACCUAUAACUGUGCAUGGGAAGUCUGAGCCACAGGCUCCACCACACUGAGCAAGGCGAGGGAGGUGAGCCAAGGUAAGGCCGAAGCUCAGGAGAAGCAGAACGACGCCAAGACCAAGACCACAAAGAGCAAAGGGGACGGAGCGGACCCCCCCGGCAAGAUCCUUGGCGGGAGGCGGUUUUAGAAAACCCGGCAACACCCUUGCCAUGGCAGCUCACCCAACGCCUACGGAGCGAGUCACCCUUGAGUCCACUGCCCCCUUGGGGCAAGGAUUCGGGAGACAUCCCCGUGGUGGCAUGCAGAUCAUUGUGAAGGCAUUCAAGAUCAGAUACACCCUUUAGAAGAUGAUGAUCCUUGGCGGGAUCCCAGCCAAGGAGGACAACAAGGCCCCCGGCAAGAGCCUUGCCGGGGAUGACAGCAGGCGCCACGGCAAGACCCUUAAUGGGGCCCCGGCAAGGCCCUUGCCAAGAACACCCAUUGGGCCACCAUUAGGCCCACGCCAGUAAAACCUCCACCGCCAUUCGCAUGCAGCUGCCGACCCAACCAGCUGGGCAGGCACCCGCGUGACAGCAUGCGGAUCUUUGUGGAGACCCACCACUGUGCCACCUCAGCUGCCUGCCUGCCUACAUGGCACCGCGGGCGCCGCUGGCCAGGGCGCGUGUCAACACGAGAGGGAGCAGCGACGGACAAGACAGGGCUCUCCCCCGUCCCCGAUAAAGCAAGGACACCUGGGCAAGAUGCAUUAAAUGCGCCUUGUCAUGUAAUGCGAGGGAUAACCUCGCAUCACUGUUCCCUUUCCACCUCCUGUGUGCCACUGUGGCUACCCCUUUUCCUAUAAAAGGAGGCCCGAGGCGACCAGGAGGAGGAUUCGGAUUUUUGGAGCUCCUCACGCCCCAUAGCUAGCUCAAGAACACAGAUAUACAAUCCACCAAAGCAGGAGUAGGGUUUUACGCAUCCCUGUGGCCCGAACCUGGAUAAACGAACCGUGUGCUAUCUGUUUGAUCCGCUCUUCUCACAACCCCAUGCCCCGCAACCGUAGUAGGGAUUCUUGUGAUCCCAUAGGUGUCGUUCCCACCGACACAUUUACUAAUCAAAUUGACAUUCAUAUUAAGCAGAUAAUAUAUUCCAUUUCGAUGUUAAGGAAGCAGGAUUUCAUAAUUGAAAUACAUCGGAGUACAACAUGAUAUAGCUUCAGCACUCAGCUACCCCAUUACACAACUGCACCAGCAGCAAGUUUCACAUGCAACACCUAGAACCUUUCGAAAUUAGCAUCAUAGACGGUACAUAGAGAGAUGCAUCUCAUCUGAAAAACUGCUGAAGUGGAAGGCGAAUACUGAGCCUUCAUUCAUGUUGAAGGUCUUUGCAACUUUAGGCCAGUGCCUGUGGAUGAUUGACCGUCCAUUCUUCGACCUCUUAUGGAACACUUCAAUAUUAAAUAGUGGGUGUUGUAUGAAAACUUUCCUCGCCUCCUAACCACAGAGGUGGUUUGAGAGGUAAUCAUCAGUGAACCCAGAAACACAAGGAUGUGCAUAAAUAUCUUCUCUAUACUGGAAAUGGGGCAAAGGAGUAAUAAAAGGCAAGGUAUAAUAGUUAGUACCAUCUUGUAAACCUCAGUGCUUUCCACUAUUUCCCUGCAACACAUAUAAGGUAGUUAGUCAUCAUGUUAAGUAAGGGUUCACAUGCUAUCAGUAAAAUAUGUUGAUAAUAAAAAAGCACAUUGUAGAUUCAUCAGAUUAAUUCAAGCCACGUGGAAAACCCAUUUAUCCAAACCAAGCAUGAUUAAGAACUAGGAAAUAUAGCACUUGUAUAUCAUUCUCAUGUAUUAAGUGCAGCCAAAUUCGAUGUAUUCCUCACAUGGUAUACAAUAAUAGAAUGCAGCCACAACAAUUGAACAUCUCAUUGCAUAAUUGAACAAAGCAGUUAACUAAACACCACAACAAAUGAACCAAACGUUAACUCAGCACCACAUUGCACAAUAUAACAUACUCCUAAUAGAAGAUUAGGCAGUUAACCAAACCAAGCAUGCUUAACAACUUGGAAAUAUAGCAAUUGUAUUUGUUUCUCAUGUAUUUAGUACAACCAAAUUCUAUUUAUUUCUCACAUGGUAUACAAUAACAGAAUGCAGCCACAAUAAUUGAACAUCACAUUGCAGAAUUGAACCAAGUAGUUAACUAAACACCACACCAAAUGAACCAAACGUUAACUGAGCACCACAUUGCAUAAUAUAACAUACUCCUAAUAGAAGAUCAGACAGUUAAACAAACCAAGCAUGCCUAACAACUUGGAAAUAUUGCACCCUGAAGAAUUGAACAUCACAUUUGCUGAAUUGAACCAAGUAGUUAACUAAACACCACAUUGCACGACAUAUACAACAUAUACACUAUAGCAGAAGAUUGCAUGGUAAAAGUAAAUAGCACAAUUCACUAAAAUUUGUUAAGGAAAGGCAGUAGCUAGCAACUUGAACAUGGGUCCUUAUAGUGACCUAAUAAUACAAGUUGCUCCUCAUUGUUGGAGAUAUCGAUGACGAUUGGCUCCUUGGGCAUGGAAGAGGGCGAGGCCUCCGCAUCGUGGGUGCCCUCAUUGUAGUGGUGAGUUCCCUGAGCUGCUCCAAGCACCAACCGGCUGGCUCUCGAGAUGAGGUAAGCACGUGCACGCUGAAAAAACACCUCGUAGUCUUUGUCUAAGGCACCGAUGGUGGCCUCAAGAAAAUACCACGAACUGUUGUUUAAAGCAGCCAACCGCAUCGUGGCAUCGGCGCACGAGGUGUCAACGGUGGCCUCGAUGGAGAGGUGCUCCUCCAAGAUUAGGGGGUCUGCAUGAAUGGCAGCCAUCGCGAGCUCAUCCGCGCGUGCGGCCGCGAUUUGCAUCUCCGCUGCCAAAUGCUCCUUGAGAUCCUGGCUAUACUGCGUGCACCAUGGCUUGGGCCGACGCUUAUUUGGUGGAGGGGUCGGUGAUUUUGGUGGAUGGUGUCGUGCUCGCGCCAGUGGUUGGGCAUGUGGGAUGUGGAAGGAGGAGGAGGAUGGGGUCGGGUAUGGAUUACCUGCCUAGAUAGGCGAGGCCGAGCAGCGUGAAGGAGGGUCGCCGGUGAGGAGGCAGCGCUGCAAGCAAGGAGUGAAGGUUUCAACUUGGAAAGGAAGGCAGAAAUAGGGGAAAUGUGGCUUUUGGUAAGGGGGAUGGGGCGUGGAGGUAGAUAUUUCCGCGGAAGCUGAAAAUUUGAAAUCGCUUCAGCGAAAAAACUGGCGCGCAAAGUGUCAUCAGACAGGGUACCUUAUUCAGAGCAGGCUAUGGACUGUAGCCGUCUCACCUUCUCGCGUAAGCCGUAUGCGUACUAUACUCCGACAGUGCUCGAAGAUAUUUUGUGCUGCAUCUAACAUGGUUAGUUAUAAUAAACUGUGUGGGAUCUACUUGAUUUUUCGUCUUGAUUUGAAUUACAUAAUGGGGUCACAGCGGCCGUGUACGAUGUUUGAACUGCUAGACCUUUUAUCUGUAGUGAACAUGCAAAUAUAUUUGUGUCCUAAAAGAAUUGGAUUUAUUCAGGGUUUGCUUGGAAAUUUUUAUGCAUUAAGUGAGUUUUCAAUGCAUUUAUGUGCAUAAUUCAAAUUUGAACUACAUGCACAUGCUCCAGUGCAUAUAAAUUGGUUGAAAAAUCAAAUCUUUGUCCUUGGAUGCAUGCUUAGAUCCCAUGCAAGAAAUGUGAAUGAAUGUCAAACACCCUGCCACCAUCACUCGGCCCGCAAACAUUGAGAUACCUAGUUUUUAAAUUCUAGUAAGUCCAAAACUCGUCUAAAAUUCAUGAAACAUGGCAUGCUAUCAUGGAGCGACAUCAACAUGCCGUGGUAAAUUUUUUGUCCCAUUUGGGGCAGGUUUGGGUAUAUGCUUCUCACAAACCAGAGCUUCUUCCAACAAGCAUGAUGGUUUUGAUAGGGAACGUCCCACCUUUGGGGACGAAACGAUAUCCAUUGCCUCUUAUUGCAUUCAAUUUUUUUCUCGUGUCAACAUAGAAUAACAGGAGCGUUGGGUCAAUUUUUGGGAUUUUUCAGGGUUCGUUUGGACAUUUUUAUGCAUUAGUUGAGUUUUCAAUGCAUUUAUGUGCAUAAUUCAAAUUUGAACCACAUGCACAUGCUCUAAUGGGUAUAAAUUGGUAGAAAAAUCAAAUAUGUGUCCUUGGGUGCAUGCUUAGGUCCCAUGCAAGAAAUGGGAAUGAAUGUCAAACAUCCUGCCAUGGUCACUCGGCCACAAACAUUGAGAUACCUGGUUUUAAAAUUCUAGUAAAUCCAAAGCUCGAUCGAAAUUCAUGAAACUUGGCAUGCUAUCAUGGAGCGGCAUCAACAUGCUGUGGUAAUUUUUUUGUCCCAUUUGGGGCAGGUUUGGGGAUAUGUUUCUCACAAACCAGAGCUUCUAACAACAAGCUGGAUGGUUUCGGUAGGGAACGUCCCACCUUUGGGGACGAAACAAUAUCCCUUGCCUCUUACUGCUUUCAAAUUUUUUCUCGUGUCAAGAUAGAACAAUAGGAGUGUUGUGUCAACUUUUGGGUAUUUUCGGGGUUCGUUUGGACAUUUUUAUGCAUUAAUUGAGUUUUCAAUGUGUUUAUGUGUAUAAUUCUAAAAUGAACUACAUGCACAUGGUCUAAUGCAUAUAAAUUGGUUGAAAAAAAAUCAAAUCUAUGUCCUUGGGUGCAUGCUUAGGUCCCAUGCAAGAAAUGGGAAUGAAUGUCAAACACGCUGGCACGGUCACUCGGCCACGAACAUUGAGAUACCUGGAUUUUAAAUUCUAGUAAAUCUAAAGCUCGUCCGAAAUUUAUGAAACUUGGCAUGCUAUCAUGGAGCGGCAUCAACAUCACUACAAAAAAAUACACUUCCGUGAUGAUACGUGUUUGGCACAGUAGGUCGCAUUUUUCGUCAUGCAUGUACAUCCAUGACGAUUUUAUGACAGAAUCAUGAUAGUCAUACCUGUGCUGUUGUAGAAGUGUUCCAUGACAUUACCAAAAUUAUCAUCACGGAAGUGUCCACUUCCAUGACGAUAAAUCCCGCAUCACAGAAGUGCUUUCUGUUGGGGAACGUAGUAAUUUCAAAAAAAUUCCUACGCACACGCAAGAUCAUGGUGAUGCAUAGCAACGAGAGGGGAGAGUGUUGUCUACGUACCCUCGUAGACCGAAGCGGAAGCGUUGACGCAACGUAGAGGAAGUAGUCGUACGUCUUCUCAGUUCAACUGAUCCAAGCACCGUUAAUCCAGCACCUCUGAGUUCUUAGCACACGUUCAGCUCGAUGACGCUCCCCGGGCUCCGAUCCAGCAAAGCUUCGGGGAGGAGUUCCGUCAGCACGACGGCGUGGUGACGAUCUUGAUGUUCAACUGUCACAGAGCUUCGCCUUAGCACCGCUACAAUAUGAUCGAGGUGUAAUAUCGUGGAGGGGGGCACCGCACACGGCUAAGGAACGAUCACGAAGAUCAACUUGUGUGUUCUAGGGUGCCCCCCUGCCCCCGUAUAUAAAGGAGCAAGGGGGAGGCCGGCCGACCCUUGGUGCGCCAAGGAGAGGGGGGGAGUCCUCCUCCUAGUGGGAGUAGGACUCCCCUUUCCUAGUCCAACUAGGAAUAGGGAGGGGGAAGGAAAGAGAGGGAGAGGGAGAGGGAGAGGGGGCCGCGCCCCCCCCUCCUAGUCCUAUUCGGACUCCCCAUGAGGGGGGCGCGCCACCUCCUGGGCUGCUGCCCUCUCUCUCCCUCAGGCCCAAUAAGGCCCAUUACUUCCCCGGGGGGUUCCGGUAACCCCUCCGGCACUCCGGUUUUAUCCGAAAUCACCCGGAACCAUUCCGGUGUCCGAAUAUAGUCGUCCAAUAUAUCGAUCUUUAUGUCUCGACCAUUUUGAGACUCCUCGUCAUGUCCAUAAUCACAUCCGGGACUUCGAGCAACCUUCGGUACAUCAAAAUACAUAAACUCAUAAUAAUUGUCAUCGUAACAUUAAGCGUGUGGACCCUACGGUUCGAGAACAAUGUAGACAUGACCGAGAUACGUCUCCGGUCAAUAACCAAUAGCGGGACCUGGAUGCCCAUAUCGGCUCCUACAUAUUCUACGAAGAUCUUUAUCGGUCAGACCGCAUAACAACAUACAUUGUUCCCUUUGUCAUCGGUAUGUUACUUGCCCGAGAUUCGAUCGUCGGUAUCCAAUACCUAGUUCAAUCUCGUUAUCGGCAAGUCUCUUUACUCGUUCUGUAAUACAUCAUCUCACAACUAACACAUUAGUUGUAAUGCAUGCAAGGCUUAUGUGAUGUGCAUUACCGAGAGGGCCCAAAGAUACCUCUCCGACAUUUGGAGUGACAAAUCCUAAUCUCGAAAUACGCCAACCCAACAAGUACCUUUGGAGACACUUGUAGAGCACCUUUAUGAUCACCCAGUUACGUUGUGACGUUUGGUAGCACACAAAGUGUUCCUCCGGUAAACGGGAGUUGCAUAAUCUCAUAGUCAUAGGAACAUGUAUAAGUCAUGAAGAAAGCAAUAGCAACAUACUAAACGAUCGGGUGCUAAGCUAAUGGAAUGGGUCAUGUCAAUCAGAUCGUUCUACUAAUGAUGUGACCUCAUUAAUCAAAUAACAACUCUUUGUUCAUGGUUAGGAAACAUAACCAUCUUUGAUUAACGAGCUAGUCAACUAGAGGCAUACUAGUGACACUCUGUUUGUUUAUAUAUUCACACAUGUAUUAUGUUCCGGUUAAUACAAUUCUAGCAUGAAUAAUAAACAUUUAUCAUGAUAUAUGAGGAAAUAAAUAAUAACUUUAUUAUUGCCUCUAGGGCAUAUUUCCUUCAGUCUCCCACUUGCACUAGAGUCAAUAAUCUAGAUUACACAGUAAUGAUUCUAACACCCAUGGAGCCUUGGUGCUGAUCAUGUUUUGCUCAUGGAAGAGGCUUAGUCAACGGGUCUGCUACAUUCAGAACCGUAUGUAUCUUGCAAAUCUCUAUGUCUCCCACCUGGACUAGAUCCCAGAUGGAAUUGAAGCAUCUCUUAAUAUGCUUGGUUCUUUUGUGAAAUCUGGAUUCCUUUGCCAAGGCAAUUGCACUAGUAUUGUCACAAAAGAUUUUCAUUGGACCCGAUGCACUAGGUAUGACUCCUAGAUCGGAUAUGAACUCCUUCAUCCAGACUCCUUCGUUUGCUGCUUCCGAAGCAGCUAUGUACUCCGCUUCACAUGUAGAUCCCGCCACGACGCUUUGUUUAGAACUGCACCAACUGACAGCUCCUCCGUUUAAUGUAAACACGUAUCCGGUUUGCGAUUUAGAAUUGUCCGGAUCAGUGUCAAAGCUUGCAUCAACGUAACCGUUUACAAUGAGCUCUUUGUCACCUCCAUAUACGAGAAACAUAUCCUUAGUCCUUUUCAGGUACUUCAGGAUGUUCUUGACCGCUGUCCCGUGAUCCACUCCUGGAUUACUUUGGUACCUUGCUGCUAAACUUAUAGCAAGGCACACAUCAGGUCUGGUACACAUCAUUGCAUACAUGAUAGAGCCUAUGGCUGAAGCAUAGGGAACAUCUUUCAUUUUCUCUCUAUCUUCUGUAGUGGUCGGGCAUUGAGUCUGACUCAACUUCACACCUUGUAACACAGGCAAGAACCCUUUAUUUGCUUGAUCCAUUUUGAACUUCUUCAAAAUCUUGUCAAGGUAUGUGCUUUGUGAAACUCCAAUUAAGCGUCUUGAUCUAUCUCUAUAGAUCUUUAUGCCUAAAAUGUAAGCAGCUUCACCGAGGUCUUUCAUUGAAAAACUCUUAUUCAAAUAUCCCUUUAUGCUAUCCAGAAAUUCUAUAUCAUUUCCAAUCAGUAAUAUGUCAUCCACAUAUAAUAUCAGAAAUGCUACAGAGCUCCCACUCACUUUCUUGUAAAUACAGGCUUCUCCGAAAGUCUGUAUUAAACCAAAUGCUUUGAUCACACUAUCAAAGCGUUUAUUCCAACUCCGAGAGGCUUGCACCAGUCCAUAAAUGGAUCGCGGGAGCUUGCACACUUUGUUAGCUCCCUUUGGAUCGACAAAACCUUCCGGUUGCAUCAUAUACAACUCUUCUUCCAGAAAUCCAUUCAGGAAUGUAGUUUUGACAUCCAUCUACCAAAUUUCAUAAUCAUAAAAUGCGGCAAUUGCUAACAUGAUUCGGAUAGACUUAAGCAUCGCUACGGGUGAGGAGGUCUCAUCGUAGUCAACCCCUUGAACUUGUCGAAAACCUUUUGCGACAAGUCGAGCUUUGUAGACAGUAAUAUUACCGUCAGCGUCAGUCUUCUUCUUGAAGAUCCAUUUAUUCUCAAUUGCUUGCCGAUCAUCGGGCAAGUCAACCAAAAUCCAUACUUUGUUCUCAUACAUGGAUCCCAUCUCAGAUUUCAUGGCUUCAAGCCAUUUUGCAGAAUCUGGGCUCACCAUCGCUUCUUCAUAGUUCGUAGGUUCAUCAUGAUCUAGCAGCAUGAUUUCCAGAAUAGGAUUACCGUACCACUCUGGCGCGGUUCUCACUCUGGUUGAUCUACGAGGUUCAGUAGCAUCUUGUCCUGAAGUUUCAUGAUCAUUAUCAUUAGCUUCCUCACUAAUUGGUGUAGGUGUCACAGAAACAGUUUUCUGUGAUGUACUACUUUCCAAUAAGGGAGCAGGUACAGUUACCUCAUCAAGUUCUACUUUCCUCCCACUCACAUCUUUCGAGAGAAACUCCUUCUCCAGAAAGUUUCCGAAUUUAGCAACAAAAGUCUUGCCUUCGGAUCUGUGAUAGAAGGUGUAUCCAAUAGUUUCCUUUGGAUAUCCUAUGAAGACACAUUUCUCCGAUUUGGGUUCGAGCUUAUCAGGUUGAAGCUUUUUCACAUAAGCAUCGCGGCCCCAAACUUUCAAAAACGACAACUUUGGUUUCUUGCCAAACCAUAGUUCAUAAGGUGUCGUCUCAACGGAUUUCGAUGGUGCCCUAUUCAACAUGAAUGCGGCCGUCUCUAAAGCAUAACCCCAAAACGAUAGCGGUAAAUCAGUAAGAGACAUCAUAGAUCGCACAAUAUCUAGUAAAGUACGAUUACGACGUUCGGACACACCAUUAAGCUGUGGCGUUCCAGGUGGCGUGAGUUGUGAAACUAUUCCGCAUUGCUUCAAAUGUACACCAAACUCGUAACUCAAAUAUUCUCCUCCACGAUCAGAUCGUAGAAACUUUAUUUUCUUGUUACGAUGAUUUUCAACUUCACUCUGAAAUUCUUUGAACUUUUCAAAUGUUUCAGACUUAUGUUUCAUUAAGUAGAUAUACCAAUAUCUGCGUAAGUCAUCUGUGAAGGUGAGAAAAUAACGAUAUCCGCCACGAGCCUCAAUAUUCAUCGGACCACAUACAUCUGUAUGUAUGAUUUCCAACAAAUCUGUUGCUCUCUCCAUAGUACCGGAGAAAGGUGUUUUAGUCAUCUUGCCCAUGAGGCAUGAUUCGCAAGUACCAAGUGAUUCAUAAUCAAGUGGUUCCAAAAGUCCAUCAGUAUGGAGUUUCUUCAUGCGCUUUACACAGAUAUGACCUAAAUGGCAGUGCCACAAAUAAGUUGCACCAUCAUUAUCAACUCUGCAUCUUUUGGUUUCAACAUUAUGAAUAUGUAUAUCACUACUAUCGAGAUUCAAUAAGAAUAGACCACUCUUCAAGGGUGCAUGACCAUAAAAGAUAUUACUCAUAUAAAUAGAACAACCAUUAUUCUCUGAUUUAAAUGAAUAACCGUCUCGCAUUAAAUAAGAUCCAGAUAUAAUGUUCAUGCUCAACACUGGCACCAAAUAACUAUUAUUUAGGUCUAAUACUAAUCCCGAAGGUAGAUGUAGAGGUAGCGCGCCGACUGCGAUCACAUCGACUUUGGAACCGUUUCCCACACGCAUAUUCACCUCGUCCUUAGCCAAUCUUUGCUUAAUCCGUAGUCCCUGUUUCGAGCUGCAAAUAUUAGCAACAGAACCAGUAUCAAAUACCCAGGUGCUACUGCGAGCAUUAGUAAGGUACACAUCAAUAACAUGUAUAUCACAUAUACCUUUGUUCACCUUGCCAUCCUUCUUAUCCGCCAAAUACUUGGGGCAGUUCCGUUUCAAGUGACCAGUCUGCUUGCAGUAGAAGCACUCAGUUUCAGGCUUAGGUCCAGACUUGGGUUUCUUCUCUUGAGCAGCAACUUGCUUGCCGUUCUUCUUGAAGUUCCCCUUCUUCUUCCCUUUGCCCUUUUUCUUGAAACUAGUGGUCUUGUUGACCAUCAACACUUGAUGCUCCUUUUUGAUUUCUACCUCCGCAGCUUUCAGCAUUGUGAAGAGUUCGGGAAUAGUCUUAUUCAUCCCUUGCAUAUUAUAGUUCAUCACGAAACUCUUGUAGCUUGGUGGCAGUGAUUGGAGAAUUCUGUCAAUGACGCAAUCAUCUGGAAGAUUAACUCCCAUCUGAAUCAAGUGAUUAUUAUACCCAGACAUUUUGAGUAUAUGCUCACUGACAGAACUGUUCUCCUCCAUCUUGCAGCUGUAGAACUUAUUGGAGACUUCAUAUCUCUCAGUCCGGGCAUUUGCUUGAAAUAUUAACUUCAACUCCUGGAACAUCUCAUAUGGUCCAUGACGUUCAAAACGUCGUUGAAGUCCCAAUUCUAAGCCGUAAAGCGUGGCACACUGAACUAUCGAGUAGUCAUCAGCUUUGCUCUGCCAGGCGUUCAUAACAUCUGGUGUUGCUCCAGCAGCAUGCCUGGCACCCAGUGGUGCUUCCAGGACAUAAUUCUUCUUUGCAGCAAUGAGGAUAAUCCUCAAGUUACGGACCCAGUCCGUGUAAUUGCUACCAUCAUCUUUCAACUUUGCUUUCUUAAGGAACGCAUUAAAAUUCAACGGAACAACAACACGGGCCAUCUAUCUACAAUCAAACAUACAUAAGAAAGAUACUAUCAGGUACUAAGUUCAUGAUAAAUUUAAGUUCAAUUAAUCAAAUUACUUAAAGAACUCCCACUUAGAUAGACAUCCCUCUAAUCUUCUAAGUGAUCACGUGAUCCAAAUCAACUAAACCAUGUCCGAUCAUCACGUGAGAUGGAGUAGUUUCAUUGUUGAUCAUAUCUACUAUAUGAUUCACGCUUGACCUUUCGGUCUCCGUGUUCCGAGGCCAUAUCUGCAUAUGCUUGGCUCGUCAAGUAUAACCUGAGUAUUCCGCGUGUGCAACUGUUUUGCACCCGUUGUAUUUGAACGUAGAGCUUAUCACACCCGAUCAUCACGUGGUGUCUCAGCACGAAGAACUUUCACAACGGUGCAUACUCAGGGAGAACACUUCUUGAUAAUUUAGUGAGAGAUCAUCUUAUAAUGCUACCGUCAAUCAAAGCAAGAUAAGAUGCAUAAAAGAUAAACAUCACAUGCAAUCAAUAUAAGUGAUAUGAUAUGGCCAUCAUCAUCUUGUGCUUGUGAUCUCCAUCUCCCAAGCACCGUCAUGAUCACCAUUGUCACCGGCGUGACACCUUGAUCUCCAUCACAGCAUCGUUAUCGUCUCACCAAUUUUAUGCUUCCACGACUAUCGCUACCGCUUAGUGAUAAAGUAAAGCAUUACAUCGCAAUUGCAUUGCAUACAAUAAAGCGACAAUCAUAUGGCUCCUGCCAGUUGCCGAUAACUCGGUUACAAAACAUGAUCAUCUCAUACAAUAAAAUUUAGCAUCAUGUCUUGACCAUAUCACAUCACAACAUGCCCUGCAAAAACAAGUUAGACGUCCUCUACUUUGUUUGUUGCAAGUUUUACGUGGCUGCUACGGGCUUAAGCAAGAACCAAUCUUACCUACGCAUCAGAACCACAACGAUAGUUUGUCAAGUUGAUGCUGUUUUAACCUUCGCAAGGACCGGGCGUAGCCACACUCGGUUCAACUAAAGUUGGAGAAACAGUCACCCGCAAGCCACCUAUGUGCAAAGCAUGUCGGGAGAACCGGUCUUGCGUAAGCGUAUGCGUAAUGUCGGUCCAGGCCGCUUCAUCCAACAAUACUGCCGAACCAAAGUAUGACAUGUUGGUAGGCAGUAUGACUUAUAUCGCCCACAACUCACUUGUCUUCUACUCGUGCAUAUAACAUUAAACCAUAAAACCUAGGCUCGGAUGCCACUGUUGGGGAACGUAGUAAUUUCAAAAAAAUUCCUACGCACACGCAAGAUCAUGGUGAUGCAUAGCAACGAGAGGGGAGAGUGUUGUCUAUGUACCCUCGUAGACCGAAGCGGAAGCGUUGACGCAACGUAGAGGAAGUAGUCGUACGUCUUCUUAGUCCAACCAAUCCAAGCACCGUUACUCCGGCACCUCCGAGUUCUUAGCACACGUUCAGCUCGAUGACGCUCCCCGGGCUCCGAUCCAGCAAAGCUUCGGGGAGGAGUUCCGUCAGCACGACGGCGUGGUGACGAUCUUGAUGUUCAACUGUCGCAGGGCUUCGCCUAAGCACCGCUAGAAUAUGAUCGAGGUGUAAUAUCGUGGAGGGGGGCACCGCACACGGCUAAGGAACGAUCACGAAGAUCAACUUGUGUGUUCUAGGGUGCCCCCCUACCCUCGUAUAUAAAGGAGCAAGGGGGAGGCCGGCCGGCCCUUGGUGCACCAAGGAGAGGGGGGGACUCCUCCUCCUAGUGGGAGUAGGACUCCCCUUUCCUAGUCCAACUAGGAAUAGGGAGGGGGAAGGAAAGAGAGGGGGAGGGAGAGGGAAAGGGGGCCGCGCCCCCCUCCUAGUCCUAUUCGGACUCCCCAUGAGGGGGGGGGGCGCCACCUCCUGGGCUGCUGCCCUCUCUUUCCCCUCAGGCCCAAUAAGGCCCAUUACUUCCCCAGGGGGUUCCGGUAACCCCUCCGGCACUCCAGUUUUAUCCGAAAUCACCCGGAACCAUUCCGGUGUCCGAAUAUAGUCGUCCAAUAUAUCGAUCUUUAUGUCUCGACCAUUUCAAGACUCCUCGGCAUGUCCAUGAUCACAUCCGGGACUCCGAACAACUUUCGGUACAUCAAAAUUCAUAAACUCAUAAUAACUGUCAUCGUAACGUUAAGCGUGCGGACCCUACGGUUCGAGAACAAUGUAGACAUGACCAAGAUAUGUCUCCGGUCAAUAACCAAUAGCGGGACCUGGAUGCCCAUAUUGGCUCCUACAUAUUCUACGAAGAUCUUUAUCGGUCAGACCGCAUAACAACAUACGCUGUUCCCUUUGUCAUCGGUAUGUUACUUGCCCGAGAUUCGAUCGUCGGUAUCCAAUACCUAGUUCAAUCUCAUUAUCAGCAAGUCUCUUUACUCGUUCUGUAAUACAUCAUCUCACAACUAACACAUUAGUUGUAAUGCUUGCAAGGCUUAUGUGAUGUGCAUUACCGAGAGGGCCCAGAGAUACCUCUCUAACAUUCAGAGUGACAAAUCCUAAUCUCGAAAUACGCCAACCCAACAAGUACCUUUGGAGACACCUGUAGAGCACCUUUAUGAUCACCCAGUUACGUUGUGACGUUUGGUAGCACACAAAGUGUUCCUCCGGUAAACGGGAGUUGCAUAAUCUCAUAGUCAUAGGAACAUGUAUAAGUCAUGAAGAAAGCAAUAGCAACAUACUAAACGAUCGGGUGCUAAGCUAAUGGAAUGGGUCAUGUCAAUCAGAUCGUUCUACUAAUGAUGUGACCUCAUUAAUCAAAUAACAACUCUUUGUUCAUGGUUAGGAAACAUAACCAUCUUUGAUUAACGAGCUAGUCAAGUAGAGGCAUACUAGUGACACUCUGUUUGUUUAUAUAUUCACACAUGUAUUAUGUUUCGGGUUAAUACAAUUCUAGCAUGAAUAAUAAACAUUUAUCAUGAUAUAUGAGGAAAUAAAUAAUAACUUUAUUAUUGCCUCUAGGGCAUAUUUCCUUCACUUUCGUCAAGGGUGGCCGACACGUGGCAUCCACCGUAACGGAACACCGUUAAGCUAUCGGGUCGGGUUUUGGAUCCGAUAACCCGUUAACAGCCCCGACCAAUGGGGAUUUUCGUGUGUAAAAUCAUCAUUCGCUGGAGGAAACACGUGUCGGCUCAUUGUUGGGCAGAUGUCAUCCACUCAUUGGACAGAAGGCGCCUAUGAUACGUCGACACGUGGCACGGCCCAACAAAGGCCCACUCUUGUGAAAAGGCCAACCCGUUUGACUUGGUAAAAAGGUGGCGGGCUGGCCCAUGUAAAGCCUGUUAACGGCCUGUUCGCAUAUAGCCCAUUUACAGCCCGCUAACCCAAGGCAUGUUACGCCCUAUCCAAAUUAGGCCCACUAGCAUCAUUGGGCCACCCAAUAUGAUUCCAGUCCGUUUUCACUUCUGGCCCAUGUAUGGCCCAUGAUGUCUUUCAGCCCAUAUGAGGCCCUAUGUAACUCUUGGCCUAUUAACGGCCCGUGGUGAAACUGGCCCGUAAUGAAUAGUGUAUCACUUUACACCCAUUAAUGGCCCGUGGUGAAACUGGCCCGUAAUGAACAGUAUAUCACUUUAUACCCAUUAAUGGCCCGUUAUUCUGUUGGGCCAUUUCCAGCCCAUGUUAUCUUUAGGCCUUCUCAGAGCCCAUUUAUUCUUGGGCUCAUUUCCAGCAUUUAUUUACUUACGACCCAUUACUGUCAUUUUCUGCUUGUGGGCCAAAUUCAGCCCGUGGUUACAGUCGGCCCGUUUGUGGUCCUUUAAUACGUUGGGCCGUUUUCAUAGCAUCAUCAAAUACGGCCUAUUAACGAUGGCCCGUUAUGGUCGGCCCAUGAACGGACGAUUCCAACUCUAGCCCGUUUACAGCCAUAAUGCGGCCUGUUAUUGGCCCAUGUUUGGCCAAUCGAUCAGACUGCCCGUAUAAGGCCCAUUGAUGAUACGACCCGUAGAAGGCCCAUUGUUUCUAUGGCCCGUAGAAGGCCCACUGUUUCUACGGCCCGUAGGAGGCCCAAUGUCACUACAGUAAAUAUUAGCCCAUGGUUAUUGUGGCCUAGUUUUAAAAAAUAGGUUAUUGCAGCCACUAGAAAACCGCGGAAAAAGAACUGCAAUGACUACAAGCAAACAAAUAAACAAGACAACAAGGAAAUAAAUAAGAAAGCAACUUACGCUAGGCUAUUACGGCUAUCACACAUAUUACAUCCACUUGGUAUCAAAGUUCGCCACCAGUGCAAAUAAACGCGCUGACAAAAGAAUAUACAAAAUAGAGAGCACUUCAGAAGGCACUAGGCCUGGCCAGGUCGCCCCCCCCCCAAACAGCUGAAGAAGCUGAGUAGACCUCAGUUGUGUCAAUGAUAGAUGCAUCAGCAAUAGAUUUAAGGCAUGAUGGUGCGCACGGCAGCCCUCUGGCAUCUUCAUUGCAUCUUUGACUUCAAGUCGGAGCUGAGUUGAAGCAAGCCUUUCCGCUUUAAGUUGAGACUAAAGAAGUCGAACUGAUUGAGGCAGCAACUACACAGAAGUUUUCUCACACCUGCUGGUGAGUAGCUUCAACUCACUGUCUUCAUCAAGACAGGACCUUGCGGUCAUCUCACUGUCCUCAAGAUGGUUUGGCUCCCUAUCUUCCCUAAAGUUCUGCCUGGCGUAAGAGAUACAAGUCUGAAAGAGAAACAAGGAGACAUGUAAUAGGUUUCACAAUUAUAUAAGCAAAAAAAUGGAUCUGUUCUCCAUAAGGAACAUGUUUUUACAACUACAAUUUGAAACUAGUAGUUGUUGCAAACAUCCAAUCAGAUGUAAAUAGCAAAGCAAAUAGCAGUGGAGGAAAUGAUGCCUAUCCAAAUCUAUACUAGAACAAAGUUUGAAGGCUUGAGAAGGAUGAACUUACAUUACAUGUAAACACGGGCUGGCCAAAGCCCUUCUCCAUGUUGAUGGAAGGAUAAUUCAAUAAAUUCCCCAAAGAAAAUUCUUUAUAAGCUUUGCCAUUAUUCUACAUUUUGCAAAGAGUAAAUAUAGAUCAAAUAAUAUAGGAAGAAACAGAGGAUAAUGAAGCCCAGGUGCAGACUGAUGAUACAUAAUCAAAUAGCAAUUAAUUAAGUCCAGCAUUACAAGGCAAAAGGGAGAGAGGUACUGACAAGAGCAAUGCAGAGCCCAUUAUUGUUUUGAGUUGUAUGAUCCUUUGAGCAAGGAGAUUUAUCUGAAAUUAGUUUUCAUACAAGAGAGAAGGUAAGGCACAAGCAGAAAUUUAGGAGUUCAAAUUUUGAAUUGAUAUCAUAGGCAUUACUUGAUGUUGGACUCCCAUCAGUUCUAGUAGGGGUUUGGCCACUGGAGUAGGGGUAAAGUGUGGUACAGUUGGGCCUGUGUUUUGUGUGGCUACUGAUCUAUCGGAUUUAACAGGUAUCACUACCUUUUCCAAAUACCUAGUUUGUACUCCUUGAGGAUCUGCACUCACCCUCUUCGUUUUGGACAUCUAUUAUGAAAGAACAACAUUUGACUGGAAAAACAUAGUGUGAUGACACAUGGAAUAGGUACAGAAAAUGGAUAGGUAUGGCAUAUACUAAUAUAUGAUGCUUAAACUAAGCAGAUGGUGUAACAAAGUAGAAGUAAUGCAAGAGGUCAGAUGCAAAAUAUGUGCGACCAAUACAACUUUGCAAAGUUAGAGCAAGCACCUUGAUGGGUGAAUAAGAUAGGCCAUCCUCCACCAUGCCAAGUUUGUUAGCCAGUGGAUCAUUCCGCAAUAUUCCUCUCGUGCGCCCAUUCUCAUAUUCAUUUUGAUAAUGUUCAAUAUCUGACAUGCAUGAAAACAUGAAAACAAGUGUGGUUUUCUUUGUAAUGCAGAAGUGAUUCUAAUCCAAUACUGCCUCCCUGUAAACCCCUUUGUGCUAUCUCUGCAAUUCUUUUAAAAGAUGCCAUGCAUGCUGUAAUUUGUUGUGUGCAUUAAUAUAAUGUGGCCUACUACUCAAAAUAUGAGAGCUCCAGAAGUGAUGACACUUCGCAGAUGAUAGCUUCAACAUAUAGUAAAGAAGAACAAGUCGACCUGACCUGGCAGAUUCAAAAUAUACUAAGGGAGAACAACUCGACCUGACUAGUCGACCGCAAGAGAAGAGUAUCAUCUUAAAGAAGAGCAGAAGAGCAAGCAGAUUGAAGAUAUUACAAGUCUUUCAAUACAAUGUCGGUCGGCCACCCAUGUCGGUCUCUCCAUAUGUGGCUCACAUGCAUUUCGAAACUAAAGUAGGAACAUUUAGCUAACCAAUUAAACAUCUCUCAGUUUUACUAAUAUUAGCAAUAAUAUCAGAUAUGAAUUUGUACAACUAAGCUUGUUUAGCUCGAUGGGUGGAGCAGUGCUAUUACGACACGAACCACGUAGGCUGAUUGUGGUCAUCAUAAAAUGGGGAAAACAUAAGCGUGAUGAGUACAAUGUUGACCGUGGCAGUGGGAUGGCAUAUCUGAAGCUACACACCGAGCAAAAGGUAGUUAGCAACCAAUGUUUGCUUUAAAAUAACAACUAAGAUUUGGUAUGGCCAAGAAAGUAUGGUCAACAAGUGACAAAGAAAUGCAAUUAUGCUGUCUCUCUAUAUGUCGCGACAUGGAUUUGGAAACUCAAGUGGGACCUUUAGCUAAGCAAUUAAAUGUGUCGGUUAACUAAUAUCAGUAUCAUAUCACAAUCAUAUUUGAACAACUAAGCUUUCGAAUUCGGAGUGUUGUGUUGUUUAGCUUGAAGGGUGGAGUAAUGCUAGUACAACAGAAAGCACCUACGAAGAUCAUAGUAGAGUACUCCCUCCAUUCGAAAUUACUUGUCGCAUAAAUGGAUGUAUCUAGACGUAUUUUAGUUCUAGAUACAUCCAUUUCCAAGACAAGUAAAUCCGAACAGAGGGAUUAGAUAAAAGGGGAAAACACUUAGCAUCAAGAGAAAAAUCAAGAAAGUGGAACUAGCUCGACUAGUGGGUGGGGCACAUGCUCUUGGAAAUGAAUAUAGGAACAUUAGGUCACCAAUUAAACGUUCUCUGUUUUAGUGGUAUGAGCAAGAUAUCAGAUUUGUAUUUCAACAUGUAAGCUUUGGGUUGAGGUCUUGAGGAGCAAUGCUAGCACGACACGAAGCACCUACGAUAAUGGUAGUGAAUAUAAAGGGGGAAACCAUAAGCUUUACGAGUAUAGUGCCCAUGCCAUGGUGGAUCUGGAGGUGCAAACCGGACAAAGCUACUUCACAACCAAUGUUUGCUUUCAACUAGCCACUACGAUUUGGUACGGACAAGAAAAGUACUGUAAACAAAUUACGAUCUAUUUUUCCAGGUGAGAUCAAUAACUUAAGCACAUAUGGAAGAGUACCACCUCUCUUGCGACGCCGUGUAGGCCUAUGCUGAUACGUUGAGGGUGCUGCGGAUGCGAUCGCUGUCGGCGGCGCGGAAGAAGACUUUAGACGGUAGACAGCCGGGUUGGGGGAUAUAUCCUGUUGCCGUGGACGAGGCGGUCGUAGGAGCGGCAACAACAAGGUGGACGACGACGCCGAUGAAUCGAGAGGAGGCGAUGAAAGGAUCCUGGUCCAGCACCGUGGAUGAGAGACGUCCAUCUCUUGCAGUGGACGACGGGGUAGGGGUAGCGGCUCCGGCAAGGUGGAGGAUGGAGUGGUGGACGGAGAAGGCUGGCCGAAGUGCGGAGGUUGUCAUGCCACCGACGGUAUAUGAAUGGGGAAAUGGAGGGGAGGGGGGAUCUCAAACUUUGGGACACGCUUCUCUGAAAUGGGGGAAAGUUACGAACUUAUCCCCCAUUUAAAAUUUCGGACAUCGCGUCGGUUGGGGAUAGGACGGUAAUCUCGCAUCUCCCAAAUAUUUGCCGGUAACUAUUUCAGGCGAGGAGAGGGUGUUUUACCGCCCACGGUUGACACCCACGGUGUAUGAACGGGGAUGACAGGUAGGGCGGUUGUGUCAUGUCUGAUGGAAGUUACACAUCUGCCCCUAUUUAAAAUAUUAGCCUACAUCGAUUUCGAACGAGGAGAGUUUGUUUUGCCGCCCAUCGUGUAUGAAUGGAGAAAUGGAGGAAGAGACACAUGUCUUUCGGACGAGCUUGAAUCAAAUGUGUUUUCCUGCCCACGUUUUGCGCCCACCGUGUCUGAAUGGGCUCAGAGGUUGUCGUGUCACGUCUGAUUGAAGUUACUAGUCUACCCCUAUCGACAACAGUGUAAAUCCGGUCGAUAAGGAUGUCAAGUGUCAGGGGUAGAUAGUAAUUUCCAUCUCGCAAACACUUGCUUUGGGCAGCCCACAAAUUAUAGUGGCUGUUUAGCCACUUCAUUCAAAACAUGGGAGAAUUAGCAUUCAUGUUUGCCCUGGCACCUGGCAAACUAAAUUCAAAUCCAAUUUGUAUUCAAUUAUGAAUAUCCACAGAUAAUUAUACGUUUUGUUAUUUAUUUCUUCAAAACUACAACAAAGAUUUAUUCCACCUUUAUAUAUGAUUAUGAUUUAGAAAUGUUGUGAUCUUCGAAUUCAGUAGGUUGGUUACACUCUGAGUCAAACAGUUAUUUCAUCCAAUACAAUAUGCUCACACGAAAAACAGUUCACCUUAUGUCAAUCAUACAAGUACUGAGGAUUCCCUCGCCUAGAAAAUUCGGAUCAUUACAACACAUGGACAACAUAGGGGGUCUUGCAACAUAAUCCAUUCAGAGACAUGACACGACAUGCAAGUACAAUAAUCUAAUGACAAUUUCAACUGGUAUCUAAAGAAAAACAUGGAUUACCUUGGGCUUUAGAUAGCAGAAAUAGCAGGACCUCCUCCAUCUUCAAAUGAAACAAUCUUACUUCCUACAAUUCUUUGGUUGCUUGCAUAAUGCGUGCCGCUAAUUCCGUAAUUUCCAGCCUCAAGAUAAAGAUUACCUCAUUCAUGACAGACACACCAUCUCUUUCUGCCUCUAGUAGAGCCUCAAGCACUAUAAUAUCUGUGCUCAGACUGCUCUCCGACGGUGUUGCCUCUGAACUGCUACCAUCUGGUAACAUGGAUGGCGCACUACUUCCACAAAUGGAUUCUGGAGUUGUACUUUGUGUCCUAGUGUGAACGGCAGCCUGAAAGGUUUCCGCUGGAUAUCAGUAAGAGAUAGUUAUCGUAUGAUCCAGGCAAAUAAGCUUACAUGGUAAACAACGGACGAAUUAUUGCCGAGCAUGGCAAACUAUAUUUAAAUGGUUCGAAGCAGCAUCAGCUGAAAAGAAAUUAAAAUGGUAAGAUGAAACUAGGGAUGUAAGUGGCAAAUAAACGACAUCCUCCAGUCCCAUCUAGUUAGUUUUUGCUACCUCCCUAGUUCAUUUUCCUCAAAAAAUAAAAACUAUUUUGAUCUAUCAUACCACUAGUCGACUUUAAUCAGGAUUAAACGGGACCCUGUUGACAUCCCUAGUUGAAAGGGAGUGUACAAGCGCUAUAUUUCAGUUGCCAAGGCAUCUAAGCAGUUGAAAUAAUCUGAGAAAGCACUUAACAGUGUGGUCUCAUAUAAACUACGAAGACAGUCUUGUGAUGAAGUUGAGAGGAAAAGUUAAGGACUCAAAUGAAAUAGGCAUGCAUUUCUAUACGAUAGUACAGCAGGCACUGCUGACAUAUUGGCCAACUCAGGUAUAGCGUAACAACAAAUAAGCAUUCAAAUCAAGCAAUACAGCAAAGCAGACAACUGAACUAUUUGUAAUUCGGUAGGAUUACAUGUUGAGGGCACAAGCCAAGAAAGCAGUCCACUCGCAUUGCAUUUCACAUGUACUAAAACACACUGGCUUAACAUAUGUUGCUGUGAAGCCUAGCUGCUGUUGGAAUGUUCUUUGAGGAUAUCGUCAGCAUCCCGUGGUUGCAAAUCUAGUUUUUGUAGUUUAUUCUGCACCAUAUAUUUAGGUAAAAAUAAUUUUAGUCGCAUGCACUGGUCCGAAUUGAUCACCAAUGGUUCAUCUAAACUAAUGAAAGAAGGGUGUGUGCAUACACAACAAUAUAUCUGCUUCCCUCUAUUUUUAUGGUUGUUCGAGGUGCCAGCCCCAAAAGAACAAAUAUUUUUCUUGAUGGGGUUGGCAGCUCCAUAAUUAAUAGAAGCAUCAAAUUAGUCAUGCAACUUGGGAAGAUCAAGAACACACAAAAAAGUAAUGAACAGAGGCUCGGAGCAGUGAUGUAAUAGCUAGCAUCAUAAAAUGUAGGGUAAAACAAACAAAAAGCAGCGAAACCACAUGCUAGUUUGUUGAUGUGUAAUUAAACAUAGAGAACAUUAAGCAGUCUGAUGGAACCAACAGGUGGCAUCAGAACAAAACUAAAGCAUAUUAACUAUAUGUGCACUGGUAUGUAAUUUAGCACAUGUAACAUGUUCAUUGCCAGAAGUAUGGCCCUACAGGUGCAAGCAGAAUAACGCGUCUCAUGAAAAACUGAAUGAUGCCCUAAAGAAAUUCAAAGGUGCGGUGCUCAUGCUAGGAAAGUGAAUGUAGGCCCCGGCCGUUGGAUAAUAGUACCUGAUUCUCGGCGGCAUAUGGGUAUCGUUGUCAUACUUGAUAGCUAAGGAUCGUCGAUGGUGCUCGUGUUGCGGUUGAGUUUGGACCGGCUGUCGCCGUCGCUGAAGCGGCUCCGGUGCUAUGGUUGCGGCGCCUGUCAACAUACAAGAAAGCUCAUCUGUGGUAAGUGAACAGUUGCAUGAUAAAGAGAAAAACCGAAGGAGUACAAAUCGAAAUAACCUGUUGAGGCUGCGGUGUCAGUAAAGUAGGGCCGGUGGAGUUGAAUAUGGCGUCCGUGGAGCGGGUCUGGUGCAGUGGACGAAGGCUUCGGCAGGCGCGUUGUACAGUGCUUUCGGUGAGGCGGAUCUGUUGCGGCGGACGAGGGCUUGUAUGAAGGGGCAGCGAAGGGGCGGACGAGGGAGUCAGUGAAGGGCCUACACUGUGGUGGACGAGGGCACUGGUUAAGCAGAUCCGGUGCGGUGGACCAUGAUGGCGGUCAAGGAGAUCUGGAGUGCUGGACAAGCCAGUCGCUGAAGCGGCUCCGGUGAAGUGGUGAGUUGGCAGUUGGGGGUUCCAAGGUGCGGAAGGUAUUUCCGACGGGGUGUGAGGUCCACCGUUGCGGCGGAGGACUAGAUUCGGCGGCUUGCCGUGAUUGAGGGGUCGGGGAGGGGAAGGGGAGGGGCUCUUGGGAAGAAUGUUGGGGGCAAAGAGGGGCAAACAAUUGAGUUAUCAAAGCAGCCCUUUUCUGUUCAUGUGGCAGGGGUAAAACAGGAAUAUCGCAGGGCUAAACUUUCGGGCGCGUGAUAUUUCAGUGUGAGCGGGAAGCCUGAAAGCUAUUGGCGCCUAAAAUUAUAAGUAUUCUGCUCUCGUACGGCUGACAAUGAUAUCUUGGCCGACAAUUUAUUUGUUUUGCACGCAAAAAAAUGUGCAAGUUUUGAAAAUCAAUGUCUCCAACUCGAAACUUAGAUUAUCCAUUCAAUUCAAAUAUGGAUCAUUGAGCUACUACAAGCAAAUACCAUCAUACGGUCCAAUUCAAAUGAAAUUCCAAAUGUGUUUAUCCUAAAUAUGAUGAAAAAAGCAAAAAUGUGUAUGUGUAUGAAUAAAGUGGAUGAUUAUAUGUGUAUGAAUAAAGUGGAUGAUUAUAAAGUUUGAACAUGCCCGUAUGUGUAUAUCUCUAGGUUUGAUAUAGGAAUUUGAAAUCACGAAAUCCUGGCUUAAAAAAUGUACCUUCUGUUUAAAUGAAUUACAAAAGCUAAUGAUGGAGUCGAAUUCCAAAAUUCCAAUCUUAGGUUUGUAAUUCUGGUACAUCAAGGUAUAUCACGCAUGUUCAAAAGUAUCGUUAUCUCAUAGUACAAACUGUGAAACAAAUUGAUCAACCAUGAGUGCACAAUAUCUCAAUUACGCUAAAGUCCCUCAAAUAUAGACACCUCACUCUUUAUCUUAAGUCAACCCCCCCCACCACCACACACACACACACAUAGAGAAGUCGUUCUCUCCCCCAAACACCAACACACAAGCACAUUAACACCCCUCUCUCUUGUAAAGUCCGGACCCCAACAUAGGUCUCUAUCACUUUGUCUCUCGGGCAUGCACACAUCUCUUACCUCACUCUCUAGGUCUCCCACUAUCUCUCUUACCCAAGCACACGCACUAUGUAGAGUGUAUAUUUCCCAUACACACAAAACAUUGCCCCCAAACUUCUAUCUCCCUAGUUAUGUGGUUCUCACGCACUCACCUCACACACCACCCCCACUACAAACGAGCACACUUUGUCUCCUUGUGCACCACUCUCCUCUUUCUAUCUCUCCCACAUGCGGACCCGCCCCCAGCUCCUUCCCUGUAUACAUAUAUGUCGUGACUCUCUGCAUAGCUCCCUAAUGUAUAAUCGUUCUCGAUUUCGCACAUUGUUCUCUACACCAUCUAUUCUAGAUCUCUCAUGAAGUCCCUAUCACACACGCGAUAACUCGCUUCCCUUGCGUCUCCGUUCAUAGGCCAAUUUCGGACAACAUCAACAUUGUCUCCCUAUCUAUACGCCAUUUAUUGACACAAACGACCCCUCUCACCCCCUCUCUUCCUCUCUCUCUCUCUCUCUCUCUCUCUCUCUCUCUCUCUCUCUCUCUCUCUCUCUCUCCGCCGCUAGCUCUCUCUUUCUCUCGCUGUCACACCCCUCUCCCACACACACACUCGAUGUCCCUUCCAAAUAGUCUGCUCCCCCGCCCGCACCCGUGCUAUCUCGCUACUACACAUGUCACACCAUUCCCCCUUCCCUUAUACUAGGUUUACAUCAUUAGUGGUCUCUCUACUCCACAUACACUCUCUCCCUCUCACACACAAACGCGUGCACAAACACAAACAGACACGCACAAACACCCAUUUAUCUGGAUCCUCAUCUCUCCUCAUGUCCGCAUGUGUAUCUCACACACUCACUCUCUAAUUAUGUAUAUGUGUCUCCACGUUACACAACACAAAGCCCCAUGUACAUGUCUCUCUCUAUCCACCACACACAUAGACACAAAGAAUCUGUUAUCAUUGCCUCAGUCUCUAACAUAUCACACACGCACACUGUCUCUCUCUCUCUCUCGCAAACACGCUCAACAAGGGUUUCCCCGUGAAUAACUUACUGUCUAUUCAUCAACAGUCGUGGCAGUACGGCGAACACGAGACGUGAAAAAGAAUAAAUCUACACAUUCUUAGACCACCUAGUAUGACUACUAGGACUAGAGCAAGCCAAAAAGGGUGCCGCUGUCACCCCCUCCUUGUCGGCAACGGGAAAAUCUUUGUUUUCCACAGUCGAGAAGUCAUUGUGCUAAGGCCCCACAUGCCGAGGCGUUGAAUAGAAUGUAGAUGCUAGUUUACGGAAGCAAGAAUUGAGAAUACAUUUGUAUAUCCAUACUUAUAUUUCUUCUCUUAUAAAAAACCCAGUUGGUAAUGAUGCUACGUGUGCCAUCUUGCAAUAUAGACCGUCCAUCUCCGCUCAGUCUGACCACCAAGCACCACCACACCCCACUCCUCUUCCCCUUAUCUCAUAUUUCUCGAGAUAUCAUUAGUUUUUAUACAUGGGAUUACUCCCGCAAGGGUCAAUCACAACAAGUGUUUUAUAAAAAAAUGCAUCUUGAUGUUCCGUGCAAUGCAUGGAUCUUGCUACUACUCCUACACAAAACAAAGUUGGUGAUGCUGGUGUGUCUGCCAUCCAUAGUUUUUGACCAUUAGAUCUACAUCUAACGAUUGUGAGGUAAGUUGUUGCCUUUUCUCACCAACAUCCCACUUGUCUACCAAUUUGCAAAAAAACAACUUGUCUACCACUUGUCUACCAAUUUGCAAAAAAAAACCCAUAGAUUUUUAUGACCACACAUGUUAUUGUUAGAGUUGAUAUGAGAACAAUUGGCAUCUAAUGAUUGUUAGAAUACAUAUUAUGAGCAUAACAUCAUGAUUGCUAUAUGUUACUCUCAUUUACAAAAAAUUUAUAACAACGCAUGUUAUUGCUUAGAGUUGAUAUGAGAACAAUAGUAGUAAGUGCUAUGGUAGAAUAUGAGUAGGCGUUGUCAUAGCUGUUUUCCUCUCAUUGUUACAUGAUGUUUGAACCAUGACAUAUUGCUAGAAUAUGAAAGCCAUUGGCUUAUUUUUUUAAGUUGGGGUAUGAUUAUGACCACGGCAUUUCAAUUCUCUGUCUAUGAUAUGUGUCACUAUUAUAAUAUUCUUAAUUCCACACAUACUCUGAACAUGAUUGUUUAUUUUGUCCUUUUGGUAUCCAAUUUGAAUUGUUGCAGUAGACGCAAAUGCGCUGGCCUUCAUGAUUCCAGGACCUGGAAUCAUACCAGCCGAUGGCUGGUGGUUUAUCGCUCGUUCAGCUGACGGCGGUCAUUUGAUGCUCAUUCGCACGUACCAAAUUGACCAAACCAUUACAUCAAACCACAUGCAGUACAAUGCGUGGGGCGUUUGUGACAUUGAUGGCUAUGGCUGCUUCGUGUUCGAGAAAGAUCCCAGCUCCGUUGGGCCAGGCGUAUUCAACUGGAGGCGGGUUUACAGCCUCGGCAACCACUCCUUGUUCCUCGUGCUCAAUUAUCCGAUCAUCUAACCAAUCAUUGAUCAUAUCAUCGGUGAUGAUUACUGUGCUAUGGAACUUCCAUUCACGAGGGGGGCUGUGUUUACACAUCAUACCAUGGGUUUCAUGAAUCACCAUAUCCAGAGAUUCAUCGACACAGCUUGUUGCCAGAUAAUCUUCAGUGUGUGAAAGGCAUCAAGCUUCCAUGCAAUGGAUGGCUUUUGCAAACCCGACAUGCGGCGAUGUGGUUCAUGCCAACAGCAAAUAUGCACAACUUGAUUCAUGCUGAUAUAUAGACUGAGCCAUGUAUUCUGCUGUUGCAGCAUGACCCUCUUUUGUUGGAUAUUAUGUACUGUUGUUAGUUUGAAGCACUCCUUUGGUUUGAAGGAUAGAUACCUUCCUGGGAUCAUGUGCAUCCUAACUCACCUGCGUAGGAUGUACUGAUAAUGAUGAUGGAGAUGUUGUGCAGAAGCCAUAUAUAUAUCAGUUAGGCUUCAAGUGCGUACUUGUUAGUUAAACCUAUGUAUAAAUUGUGACACUAAAUACGACUAAUAAGUACUCUAGUAUAGUAGCAGUACUAGUAUAUGUCGGUCAAAUUAUUCAUCAUGUCCACACAUUGAAUUGACGUGACAACACGCUGCGCGUGAGGUGACACAACAAUCCCGACGGUGUGUUCGGGUAUUUGGACUUCAGAUUUGGAGUACCACUUAUCUGUCGAAAUCUUUCAUCAUUCACUUAAAACAGUCGAUUGAUCAUACAUUGAGUACCAUAUAACUGGAAUUACCGAUGCAAGUCGAAGAAGGAUUGGUCGGUGCUGCCGGCUGGCAUCAAGUUCGAUCCCACGGAUCAGGAGCUGAUCGAGCACCUUGAGGCCAAAGUGAGUGCUGACAGUGCGAGAUUUCAGUCUCUCAUCGAUUUGUUCAUACCAACCAUCGAUAGCGAGCACGGCAUAUGCUACACCCAACCUGAGAAACUUCCAGGUAAGACACCGAUCGGCCGUCCACUUGCACAAACAUAUUCCUUUGUUUAUAGCUCUAUUUUUCUUUUUAGACGCAGACCUGGUGAAGCAAUUACAAUUUGACAGUUAAUAAAAAGUGAAACAAGUGACUGCAACAUGCCAAAGAUGUUAUGAAAAUGCCAACUAGGUACACUAAAACAUGUAUUCCACAAUACUGCAGGUAUCACACUGAGUGGCCUAAGGAAGCAUUUCUUCCAGCACAAUUCCAGGGCAUUCAAAAGGGGCACGUGGACGCGUCGCAAGAUAAAGUCGGAGUGCGGCAUGCACGCGAUGUGGCACAAGACCGGCAAUACCUUGCCGGUGAUGGUCAACGGCCGGCAGACGGGCAACAAAAAAGGUUCUGGUGCUGCACACCAACAAGAACUUCGACCAGCAUAGGACUAACUGGGUGAUGCACCAGUACCACCUCGGGGACCUGGAGCAAGAGAAGGAGCGGGAGCUGGUCCUCUACAAGAUUUUCUACCAGACGAACACUAGGGCCAGGAGUAAAAAGAUUAUAAGUUAGUUUGGUAUUGGUAGUUGUACUACCUUGUCGUCCGCAAGUUGGUAUUGUUGUUAAUGAUCUUUUGGUACGAACUUGCAUUUUCUUCCAACCAUCAUGCCGAGGGUCGACAUGGAUAUAAAGCUGAAUCACUUGUUUCAAAACGAAUUUUCAGGCACCUGAUUUUUAUUUGAUGGGUAGCAUAAGCACCCGCCGUUAGAAUUCCCAGUUCUCCAAUUUUUUUGAAACAAGUGCAUGCACUUAUUAUCACGAUAAAAAACAAUAUCUGUGCUGCAUCCCAGUUAUCAACCUGUACUUGAAGAAUUCUCUCGUUUAUUGAGCACGUAUAUUGUUUUUUCAGGUCGAGCAAGUUUCAACUGGGCUGUAGACUGCCCAGGGUUGGUUUUGUUUUUAACAGGCCCAGCCCAUGACGACAAUGGGGCACAAAGAUCCAGCAGGUAUCUACUGGCCUCUGGCCCGCCAGCCUUAGUUAUAUUUUGUCUGACAACAUCCGCAUGCAGUUUUUUACUGAAUCAAACACACAACCUAGUUCUAUUAUCCUCUUGAAACGCAUGUCCUACAUCUGUUCUCUAAUCUCUACCUAUAGUUUUACUAGUUCAUAUACACGUAUCAUUAUAUUGAAAACACAUAAAAUUACCUUUUCAUAUUUACAUCCUUAUUUUUGUUGUUUUUUCUCACCCAACGCUGAUUUUUUACCACUGGUUUUCCCUUAAACCAACUCAAUUGUCCCACGUCUUAUUUGCUUACAAAAACAAAACGAUUUUUUUGGUAAAUCAAUAAGUUCUUAAAAAAAUGUUUAUCAUUUUGGGAUUACAACAGUUCGGACUCCACUGAAAUAUGCAAAAUAAGGUUGAACUUUUUGACCGUGGUCCUGGGCAGAAAAUGGGCUGUAAUAAAUUACUUAAGAAUUAGCAAAUGGGCUACAAAUUAUAAAAAAUAGCAAAUGGGCUUUAUGUUGUCUGCCACAUAUUUGGAGGCUGACUUGUGGGCCUACUAAGUUCAUGCGUACACAAGGUUUCUCAAAAAAGAAACUUAGUCAACAAUCGACUCUACCAGCGUCAGACCGUUAGAUGUCAAUCUAACGGCAAUCGUGCUUCUUCAGUCUCUAAUCUUCCUGCCCCAGCCGCCCAAACCAGUGCCAUCGGAACCGCCUCCUCCAGCCUCCCGUGGCCGGCAGUGCUGCCAAGCAGGCCUCACGUCCCCAUCAUACUCACAUCCCUGGCCUGUCUAUCCCUCUACUCACCCACACCUCCUAUUAUUUUCUGGCGCCGGCAGCCGAACCAGUCAACCUUCAUACUCUCCACCCUGUGGGCAGCCACUGUCGUGUCUUCCCCGGCUCCGUGUCGUUCCCUUUGUAGGCCUCGCCGUCGUCCACCGCCCUGGUGCUCUUGGCGCGGCGUGGUCAACGAUGUCCAUCCAAUGGCAGUAGUGCUUCUUCGACCUCUGGUCUUCUAGCCCCAGCCACCCAAAGCAGUGUCGGUCAUGCCGCAUGCUCCUGCCUCCCGUGGCCGGCUGUGCUGCCGCGGAGGACUCACCGUCCCCAUACUACUCCCGCCGCUGGCCAGGCCAUCCCUCCAUUCACCCACUCCCCCUGUUAUUCUGCAGCGACGGCAGCCUCACACCACAGCCAAACCAGUGAACCCUCGUACUCCUCUCCGCGUGGGCAUCCACUGCCGCGUCUUCCCCGGCUCCAUGUCUUCCCCUUCCUAGGCCUCGCCGUCGUCCACCGCCGUGGUGCUCUCGGUGCGGCGUGGUCAAUGUGGUCAACGACCGACUUCCAUCGGAAGAGUACUGUACGUGGAGAGGCUGACAGCUGGGUCCACGACAGCCGCAAGGAAGUGCCUCCUCCACCUGACAAUAGGGACCCACCGGACGGGCCACCAGUAUUUCACAGAAAAACAUUUCCCCCCUGACUGCUGGGACCCACCGGACGGGCCACCAUACUUCGCGAAAAAAACAUUUGCCCCUGACUGCUGGGACCCACCGGACGGACCAUCUAUUUCGCGAAAAAAACGUUCCCCCCGCUGCAGCUCGGACCCACCGGAAGUGCCUCCUUAUUACGCAUAGAAAAAUGAAUACUCCCCCUGCUAGCUGGGACCCACCAUGUGGGAGGCUGACUUGUGGGCCUACUAAGUUGACGGGGACGGAGGGCUUUGUCAACUUAGUCAAUAUGAACGAUUCUAGCUCCAGUGACCAUACGAUGUGCAUUGAACUACCGUCGUGCUUCUUCAAUCUCUGCUCUUCCUGCUCGAGCCGCUCAAACAAGCGCCGGCGGGACUGCCUGCUCCCUCCUCCCCGCGGCCGGGUUUGCUGCCGCGCAGGCCUCACCGCCCCACCGUACUCCCAUCGCUGGCCUAGCCAUCCCUCUACUCACCCACACCUAUUGUUAUUCUCUGGUGAUGGCAGACGAACCAGUAAUCCCUCGUACAGUCGUACUCCCCUCUAUGUGGGAAACAACUACUGAGUCUUCCCUGCCUCCGUGUCAUUCCCUUCCUAGGCCUCGCCACCGUCCACCACCCUGGUGCUCUCGGCGCGGCCUGGUCAAUGUGGUCAACGACCAACAUGCAUCUGAAGUGGACUAUAUGUGGAGAGGCCGACAGCUGGGUCCACGGCCGCAUGCAAGGAAAUGCCUCAUUACGCGCAAAUAAUGAUUCCUCCACCUGACAUCAGGGACUCACCGAAAGGGCCUCUGUAUUUCGUGAAAAAAACGUUACCACCGCUGACAGCUCGGACCCACUAGCUAUAUCUUUGCACGCAAGGAAGUGCCUCCUUAUUACGCACGAAAAAAAUGAAUACUCCCCCUGUUAGCUGGGACCCAGUAUAGUGGCAGGCUGACUUGUGGGCCUACUAAGUUGACGGGGACGGAGGACUUUGUCAACUUAGUCAAUAUGCACGAUUCUAGCUCCAGUAACCGUAAGAUGUCCAUCCAAUGGCCGUAGUGCUUCUUCAACCUCUGGUCUUCUUGCUCCAGCCGCCCAAACCAGCGCCGGUCGUGCCUCGUGCUCCUGCCUCCCGUGGCCGGCUACAAUGCGGUGGAGGCCUCACCACCCCCCUACUACUCCCACCGCUGGCCAGACCAUCCCUCUACUCACCCACACCCCCUAUUAUUCUGCGGCGACGGCACCCUCACACCGCAGCAAACCAGUGAACCCUUGUACUCCUCUACGCGUGGGCAUACACUGCCGCGUCUUCCCUGGCUCCACGCCGUCCCCUUCCUAGGCCUCGCCGUCGUCCACCGCCCUGGUGCUCUCCCCGCGGCGUGGUCAACGUGGUCAAGGAACGACUUCCAUCGGACGUGGAAUGUACGUGGAGAGGCUAACAGCUGGGUCCACGGCCGCAGCAAGGAUGUGCCUCCUUAUUACGUGCAAGAAUAUUAUUCCUCCACCUGACAGCGGGGACCCACUGGACGGGCCACCAUAUUUUGCGAAAAAACGUUUGCCCCUGACUGCUGGGACCCACCAGCUACAUCUUCGCACGCAAGGAAGUGCGUCCCGGCAAUAAAACGACUCGCCCCUGACUACUGGGACCCACUAGCUACAUCUUCGCAGGCAAGGAAUUGCCUGACAGUCGGGACCCACCUGGUCGAAGUGUACGUAGCGUUUUCAUUUUGGUCGCGAACGUGUACGUACAUAUAUACUGGUGGAUGUAGAGGCGCGCACGUGUCGUAGUAGAGGCGCGUACGUGUCAUAGUAGAGGCACACACGUAGCAUGUACACGUACGUACAUCGGCCAGGAUGCAAGAAAGAAAAUACGGCCAUGUAUAUGUACAUAUGGGCGGGGUCUCGAAUGCCUACUCGCGCAUACGUACGGCCAUGGCUCAUGUACAUGGCUGGGUCGGAACGGAGAAACAGCGUCGUCGUCGUGCUCAUGGGGAGGUGUGGCGUCGUCGUGUUCAUGGGGAGGCAAUGGAAUGCGUCGUGUUCACGGGGAAGCAACGGAAUGUGUCGUGUUCAUCGGGAGGCAACAGAACACGAGGGAGCCAACCGGCUGGGUCGGAACGUAAUGUCGUGUUCAUCGGGAGGGCUUGGACGGAACAAGCGAUGGAAACGAGGCCUGGCGUACCGCACAACUGAGGAAACGGACCUCCUACGUUCGAAACGGGGUCCUGUUGAUCGGGAGGGGUCUGGCGUACCGCAAAACGGAGGAAACCGGCCACCUACGGUCGAAACGGGGGUCAUGUUGAUCGGGAGGGGUGUGGCGUACCGCAAAACGGACGAAACGGCCUUGUGUUGGAGCGCUACGGUCGAAAGGGGGGUCCUGUUCAUCGGGAGGGGUGUGGUGUACCGCAAAAUGGGACUCCACAGGAUACUAUUCAUCUCCACCGUCGACCUCCUCCAGCCUCCAGGGGCUACCGUCGACCUCCUCUAGCCUCCACGGGCUCCUGUUCAUCCAACCUCCACCACGCGCUACUCCACUGGCUACUAUUCAACGACCCCUCCACGGGCACCCCUCCAGCAUCUACUGUUCAUCCAGCCCUCCACACCACGGNNNNNNNNNNNNNNNNNNNNNNNNNNNNNNNNNNNNNNNNNNNNNNNNNNNNNNNNNNNNNNNNNNNNNNNNNNNNNNNNNNNNNNNNNNNNNNNNNNNNNNNNNNNNNNNNNNNNNNNNNNNNNNNNNNNNNNNNNNNNNNNNNNNNNNNNNNNNNNNNNNNNNNNNNNNNNNNNNNNNNNNNNNNNNNNNNNNNNNNNNNNNNNNNNNNNNNNNNNNNNNNNNNNNNNNNNNNNNNNNNNNNNNNNNNNNNNNNNNNNNNNNNNNNNNNNNNNNNNNNNNNNNNNNNNNNNNNNNNNNNNNNNNNNNNNNGGCUUCAGUUAGCAGCAGUAGCGAAGGAAUCGCUCGAUCGGAUUCAGUUAACAUCCAUCGAUCGAUCACUUGGGUUCAGUAACGCAUAGCCUGCAGUGCAAUCGCUCGGGUUCAGUAAGAGAGCAACGCCUCGCUCGGGUUCAGUUAGAGCCAACGCCUCGCACACACGCGUGUACGUGUACGAGAGAAACGCGCAUCGCUCGGCCCCCGACCUCCCACCGUAACCGGGAACUCCCCGAAAUUUUCCUCCCCCUCGCUUCUACCACGGUUUUUUCCGUCAUGGACGGCCCAAAGAAUGUCAUGCAGCUGAGUCUCCGGCCCGCCCAGGACGAAAAGCCCAUUUUCUGUCAUGAUUUUUUAUCAUAGAAGUAGGAGCCCACCACAUCUAUGAUGAUACCGGGUUUUGUCACAAUUAUCGUCAUAGAAGUGUCAUAUGUAUGACAAAUUUUUUUGUUCGUUCGGCCCAAAAUGUCACGGAUGUGUCUUUUUUUUGUAGUGCAUGCCGUGGUAAUUUUUUUGUCCCAUUUGGGGCAGGUUAGGAUAUAUGCUUCUCACGAACCAGAGCUUCUCACAACAAGCCGGAUUGUUUCGGUAGGGAACGUCCCACCUUUGGGGCCGAAAUGAUAUCCUUUGCCUCUUAUUGCUUUCAAAAAUUUUCUCGUGUCAACAUAGAACAACAGGAGUGUGAUGUCAAUUUUUGGGAUUUUUUGGGGUUUGUUUGGACAUUUUUAUGCAUUAAUUGAGUUUUCAAUGCAUUUAUGUGCAUAAUUCAAAUUUGAACUACAUGCACAUGCUCUAAUGCAUAUAAAUUGGUUGAAAAUUCAAAUAUGUGUCCUUGGGUGCAUGCUUAGGUCCCAUGCAAGAAAUUGGAAUGAAUUUCUAACACUAGGGCACCAUUGAUUGCCGGCAAAAUGUUGAGAUACUUUGUUUUUAAAUUCUAGUAAAUCUAAAACUUGUUUGAAAUUCAUGAAACUUGGCAUGCUUUCAUGGAAUGGCACCCGAUAUGCUGUGGUAUUUUUCUUGUACAUUUUGAGAGAAGGCGCACUCGAAUAACAGCCAACAAAGGCAUUUUGAUAAAAUAGCCACCACUUUAAUAUCUCAAAUGGUUGUAUUAUUCAAAUCGCAUGCGUUCUAUUAACCAUUCACGUGACGCCAUGUGUCUUUGUUUUAAUGCCUAUAGGAGGUGCCGUGCAGACAGCUGCUUGAUCUUGACUGAAUGGGAGGCGUGCGAGCGGAGUCUGGUGCGUAGGCUGACCGAGAAGCGUGCAAGCUGUCCUCCAAUGCGCAGGUUCACCGGGAAGCGUGUGAGUUGUACGCUGCGCAGACUCACUGGGAAGCGAGCCCUUUGACUUCCAUGGCCGCCCGCCUUCCUCUCCACUAAUCGCGCCCAAGCCGCUAUUUAAUACGAGCGGCCUUACUAUUCGCCUCCCAUUCCCCUCCCUAUCGUAGACCUCCACCAACGCCAUGGCGCAGAAUGAUCAUCUGCCACUAGUCUUCAAGUUUGGAGAAGUUAACUCCGAGCUAGAGAAGAUAGAAAAUAAGGAGGAAUGGCGCCUCAUGGGUAUGUGGCCCAGAACGAGCUAACCGCGGCGGUUGCGCCCCCACUCCCAUCCCCGUGCCCGCGCCAGCGACCACCCCCGUAGCAUUGACGGGCUAGUCGCCGAGCACUACCGCAUAGCUGGAAGCCGCAGGCGUCAGAGAGGUGUCCGCGGACCAGCGCGAGCUCGUGUACAUGCCAGCCCUAGUGCUCGUGCGCACCCAUCCACCCACCGUGGCGCUGGCCCCCGUGCGUUUGGCUGCACCCGCCGCACCCGUGCCCCUAUCCGUGUGCGCCCCUCCACCCACCGCGGUGCCAUUCCCCGUGCAUUUUGCUACACCCAUCACGCCCGUGGCUGUGCCCCCCCCCUCAGCGGCAUGGGACGCAGCUGUCGACAGCUACCUCUCAGCGGCGCCAGUUGCCGUCCUCCCGCACCCCGCCCAUCGCUCGCGCGACGACAUGAUGUUUGAUUUACAAGUGAAGAACAUGUUGCGCUACCUUGAAGACUUCAACAACGGCGUCCCGGAGGACGACAACGACAACGACGGCGCGGCACGCCGCCGUAAUCGGAAAUAGUUCUUUUGGGGGUUUAAUACUGUAUCUUGAAUUCUCGAUCAUAUGAAUAUAAAUUCGGAGUGUGACUGAAUGAAAGAUAUGUUUUGAACGAACUUGCCUUUUUCUCUCUUAAUAUACAGACUUAUCAAACAAUUUUCUUUUGAAAAAAACGUCAAUGGUUUUUAAAUAUGAAACACUCAUCGCAAACGUUUUAGUUAGAACACCCGUACGCAAACCGACAGCUUCCCCAGGAAUCCAAGGGAAAAUGUGCCGAGUAGGAUUUCUGCAUCCCUUCAAUGCAAAUGGUUGUUUUGCAUGACUCGUGUGCAACCACGUAGAAACAAUUGGGUAAGAUUUGCAUCUAUCAUUUUGGGUAUGUUGCCAUUUGUCAAACUGGAAAGAUUGACAUUUGUUUACCUAGUAACAUUGUCAUUUGUUAACCUUGUAACACUGCAAUUCGUCAAAAUAUGCAGCUAUAAAUCACUAGCACUAUCUAAUUUUUGCAACUAAAAUCACUAGCACUGUUCAUAUGGACACCACUAGCCGGCGUGAUUUGAUGGAUGCAUAUGCAAAUGUACCACUGAUUACAUACAGCAAGUCAUCAACUGAGAAUGACAACGAGGAUACACGUUGGAUUAUAUAUCAUUUCCAACAAAACAUUCUAGUAAAGUUUUUCUCACACAAAAAAUAACAAAGAGAUGAAAUGAACUCCAGCUCAACCACUUGUUGUCGUUGGAAACACUUGCUUUGAACCAGAAGUGAUUCUCUGGGGAGGGCCAGCUACUGUCAAUCUCGAGACCAACGCAGGACUGAUCAUCCAGCCUAAAGCAAGCUAUGUUAGGACCCAUAGUGCGAUGGUAGGGAAGCAUAGCAAUUACCGAGGUAUAGAUGCAGUUGCUUCUCAUAAAUGGUAGUUACGUUCUGUCCACAGCAGCUGGAUCGCCUUUCACCAUCAUUGGAUUGCUUUGUCCAAGGAAGAGUGAGUUUCCUCCAAGACUUUCAAUACUGAACCAGGGAGAAGGUGUUGGCGCUAGUACACUAGUAUCCAUCCCGAAUACCCUACAACAGAUGUUGGAAUAAGUCCGGAGAGUGCGACCAUGCAAGACAACACCUGCUUCCUUAGUAACAUCAGUAGUGCCCUGUAUACAGACAAGAAGAGGUGAUCUAUCGGAAUAAGUUGCCAGGCGCCACUAAAUAUAUGCGUCCUGCUCCUCCGCAUUCUCGUGAUCAUCAGCAUCGUCAUCUCCCCCUUGGUUAUAAAUUUUUUCAAAUAUAGCUGGUGGAAUGUUCACAGGACCUUGGAAACACAAGAAGGUUAAUUAAUUAGUAAAGGGAAACUAGCUAACCCGCAUGCAUGUGGAUGAAACAAUUAUAAUUAUGGUGAAAGACAAAUGUACCGAAAGCAUGAUGAUUCUAUGCAAAAACAGUGCCACAAGUAGUGUAAGCAAUAUCUAUCGAGGCGUGGAUGUAAGGAAGGAAACAAGCCUGUCGAAGAUAGCAACAACUUCGUAGUUCGUGUAACCCCAAGAGCGGUUGGGAACUUGACAAAUUGCUAUCCUCCGUAGACGACAGUUACCAUGAUCGUAUUUGAACUCACGUAGAUCAUCUGUGUGCUCAUCCUCUGGGCAGUCUGAGAUUUUGGGAAGUGGAACCCGGUGACGAGUGUACACAUUCACAAGUUCCCACUCACAGUUGUAUCUAAUAUAAAAAACCCAAUCUUCAUUUUGCGCCUACCCAAGCCUUGCCCUCAAGCGAUGGCAUCUUAACAUCACACAUAUCAUUAUCAAGCGGCAUCAACUUGCACAAGAUGAGGCUUCUGUCAUCCCUGCGCCAGUCAGCAGGGCCACGGGAAACAAGAUAGGGGAGAUCAAACCACUCCUAGACCCUUGUAAUGAUGUUAUUAGUUGAGUCGAGAAUGGUCUUGAACGAACCUGCCAUGCUAGCCGAGGUGAUGACGUCGCACCGAUCAAUGAAUUCCUCCACCACGUCAUCUUUCCGAUCGAGGCAAGAAUAAUGGGGUCGUUUCCCUCCUGUUCCCUCCAUGGAGAAGAUGAUUGAACAAUGGCAGAAGAAAGGGUGAAGGCAAAUGAAGGGAGGUAGAGCAUGAGACAACAGUUCCAAAUCGAGAGGGAAAGGCGAAGAGGCGGUGGACGGUUGCCACGGUACUAGAAGAGGCUAGUGGGGAGCGAACGGUUGCCACAAAGGUCAUACAUUAACGACAAGGCCGAGUGAACCGCAUUCCAUAUAUCGCACACACCUUGAUUUGGCCGACCUUUUCUUUUGUGUUGCCUAAUCACAAACAGUUUAUUCGAGUGAACCGUAUGCUCUACAUCGCACACACCUUAAUGUGGAUGACCGUUUCUGUUCUCUUGUCUCAAUUCAAAUAGUUCAUUUGAGUGAACCGCAUGUCGUACAUUGCACACACGUUGAUCUGGCUUAUCGUUUCUUUUGUGUUGCCUAAUCACAAACAGUUCAUCCGAGUGAACCGUAUGCUAUAUAUCGCACACACCUCCAUCUGCCUGCCCAUUUCUUUUGUGUUGCCUCAUCGCAAAAAGUUAAUUGAACUAAACCAUAUGCCCUUCAUCGCACACGCAACUAAAAUCUGAACCGUGUUUGAUGCAUCCGUCGUCGCAAAUGUUUUGCAACUUUUUUGAUGGUUUUUUACACCGCCGUUUGCGAUUAUUGCAUUGCACACAGUUUCGUCGAGGGGUCUCUGAUCGUAGUGUCGCUUUAGUAACAUCCUGCAGUAGUGAAAGGGCUCCCCUGCAGCCCAUCUCCCAAAUGCAACGGGCUAUGGAUGCCCAAGAUUUGAUGUAUGACUGACUUUUUUGUGUCGACUGAGUUCUUUUGUGUUGUUAUUACAGUCAUCGGUGGAGAUUUAAAAAAACAUUGUGGAUUGGUAAGACUAAGUUCGGAUUAUCAUAUUUAAUGGGUCAUAAUUUUUUAUUCCAAAAGAAGAUGUUACACAAAAAAUACAUGAUUGAUUUUGAUAAAUUUAGAUGUUACCAAAGGUCAUGCAUGUCGCUGCUGCAUGAAUUCUACCGAUAUUUCUUUCUUUGAACUGACGUAUAAUGAAUGUAACUGAUUUGGCCCCCUCAGAUCUACCCUUGUUUCAGUUUAUUUUUUCUGAAAAUUGGUGGUAUUUCCGAUUACUCACCAUUUUCAGUUUGGAUGAUAUGAUAAAAGCCCCUAUUUCUGUUUACUUUUUUUCUGCAAAAUUAUUGUUACUAGCCAAUGAUUGAACCAACAAAUUUCAAGUUGUCGACUUCAUAUACCUGAACAUGGUGGCUUCAACUUGGUUACAGUAAUUCUUGGGCAUGAUGCUGGAGUAAUUCUUGAAGUUUCAUAUAUUCUGCUAUUUCUUCAGUUAUCAAUUAGCUUAAUUGCAUACAUAUGAAUAGAUAUGCUUGCUGCACCUAGCAAAAUAGGAUUAGGAGGUGUGUUCAGUGGAGUGGAUUUAAUUGGUUUUGAAAUCUUUGUAAUAUACCAUAUCCAUCGACUUUGCAUUCAUCGUCUCCGUCGACUUCGUCACGAGGCCAUCUGCGAUCACCUGCGCCGACUUGGGAGGAAGACCAUCAAGUAUUGCCUAGAUCUAAUUUGCCACAGGUACUUUUGGAGCAUCGGAUGGGUCUUGUCUAUUUGUCAAUUCGUCAGUUUACUGUAGCCAAUAUAGCUAUUGCCGACAGUAGACUACAUUUGACUGACAAGUAACACAUGCCCUCCUACAUAUAUGGAUUCCGUUUGUACUUGACAGCAAAAGACAAGCAACACAUGCCCUCCUACCCCAUUGUAUGAAUAUGUCUGUUUAAAAACAAGCUAGCAUGUGUGUUCAUUCCUAUAUUUUCUGUUAGGUAUAUUAGUUGAUUUUAUUUACAACAAUUUACAAAAAGAGUUUACUGAUGCUGCUGCUGGAGGUAAUUAGCCAGUCCUGAAUGCUUCUUCUGUUGAUGUUUCUUCUUUAGGUAAAGACCUAGCCAAACGGGGAUAUGCAAUUUUGAUAUGGGGAUCCUCAAUUUGUUUUUUGCAAUAACCUGAAAUUGUUUAGCAAUUAUUUAUUGGCAGCCAAGAAACUUCCUCUGAUAAAUAAUCUACAAUCAGAAAAUUAAGAGUAUGUUAUUCCUCUAAUACAUGUCUUGUUAUCCACGUAGCAGAUCCGUCAUGUUUCUACAAUGUCACAUCCAUGCUCAAGCUAGAAUGCAGAUAGAGGAUUGGACUUUCAGUAUACCACAUAAGUAGAGAUGUGUCAUGCUAUUCAAUCAUGGUUUGGAGAGGUUAAACUUCAUAGUUAGGUUUUUCGGUAUGCUCAGAGAUAAUAAAACUUGAUGAGGCCUCUUACAACACACUGCUGAUAUGACAGAUCGAGGGAAAGAAUUAAAGAAGAUAUUGCUAAAAUGAAAACCAUUUUAAUUGCUAUUUCCUUUACGAAAUCCACUCUUGAGCUUUGUGCCAAUCAAUUUCUUCCUUUGUAUAUGACUUAACCUUCAUUUCCUACUGAGGCAGAUGUAAUUUUGCUUCAGGGUUGGGCAUAGCAGUUCUUCGGAGCCACUAGGCAUCUAUUGAUAGGGAAGAAAGUGUUUCUAUUAGCCCCUUUGAUUUUCUUAUGCUUGGGAAGUUCCUACAUGUAUUAGUAGCUAAUGCUUUUGUCCCGGGCUUUAGGACUCACCUUGCUGCAGAUAGGUGUUCACAUGCUUCAUGCUUUUAAGUAUCUAUUUUCACGGGAUAAUUCAGUCCCUUUGUUUCUUGAGAGGAUAGGACUAACUGAAAAAUAAUAUAUGGCUCACAACAUGAAGAAGCAUGCAACAAUUUAUAAGUUUUGCUGUUUGCUAAACUCCGGUUCUGAUUCAAAACAUACGUACAUUAUUUUUUGAGUUCGCCUUACUUGGUCAGAUUAUAAACUGGUGCAUUUCUAAGAUACAUGUUCAAGCUGAAGAGUUAAAUGUAUUAAGUUUAAUAAAUGAGUAAAUUGUAUUAUAUUUCACCUCGGCUUGAACUCACGGGGUUGUUAAAACAUAGGCUUUAUGGUUUUUACUCUACGUAUGAAACUAGAGCCAUCUUCACUUGCUUUUGCUAUGCUAUUCUUGACAGCACACUAAGAUGGUUAGUUUGCAAAGUUCUUGGAUAAAUUAGGAAGAUAUUGGUAAUCUUUUUGCACAUGUUGGAUUGUCUUAUGCUGCUAACGGAGCCCUGUCGAUGUUGUUCUUAACUUGGUGUACAUAUAAAUUAUUGUCUGAGACUGACUGAGCAGUCUUCAUUAUCAUAAAUGGUGUUCAUAUGGUCUGUAUAUACAAUUGCUUGAUGUUGUUUGCAAAAUUUAAGUAAGUAAAGUUCUGACGGUGGUUUCAUGGUAUGUAUAUUAUCAAUCUGUGUGAUGUAUGUAUAAUUAGAUCACUCCAUCACCAUCUGUAUGAAAGUUCCCAAGUUAGUGUCAUCUACUAGUCAUGGAUGGUCAGUGUUUGUGUGCGACCCGAGGUGCAGAUGAAGAUCUCAUUUGAGUAUUUGACCCGCUACUCCCCAACACCGACUCACAUAAGGAGGACUAAGUGUUUGCUCCUCGGUGAACCCGUUCCAACACACGGGCACAUUUACUAGUAAAAGAAAAAAGGUAAAUCACACAUGCACUUUGGUGUGGCGCUAUCUCUGAGAAUUAGAGACUUCUUGUCCAAGUCUAUGCUAUAGAUGUCUUAGUAGGAAAGUCCUACCCAAGGAUCCUACCUAGUCUCACAUGGCGUCUACGGCGUGGCGGCGAUCGUUGGCCGCAGGGUCGUGGGCAUUGGUGUCCAGCACAGUGGGCUGCAUGGUGCAGUCACCCAUGGCGGCGACGGUUCUGGUGCGCCCAGAUCAGGGCGCCGUUGGCUGCGGGUUGUCGAGGCGCCACCGACGGGGCUUCCUUGCUUCUCCUAGGAUCUUUGCCACUUCAGAUGAUGGUGCUUCAUCUAGGUGACCUGUGUUUGCCUCGCCUUGACCUAGUGUCUCACCGCCUUCGAGUUUGCUACAAGCCAGAUCCAUGGCCCAACGGACUUCUUUGGCCUGAUGCCUGCCUAGAUCUGUGGUGGUGGCCACCGAGGCGGAUGGUUGGUUGUGUCUAGGAGUCCAUGGCCGCCGUCCACUCAAAGGUGGUGUUUCCGUCAUCGGUUGGUCCUCCCUGGUUUUGGCGUCUUGGCUGAAGGACAGGGGGAGGGGGGGCAAACAGGGGUUGUAGUGUGUCGUCUUUGUCAGAUGUAUCCAUGUCGGGCGGCGGUGUGAGUGGUGUGUGCUAGGUGGUGGGUUCUUUUUUAUGUCAAGGCGACGACCUCUGUUGGCAGUCCGCCAAUUCGGCUUUCAGUAGGCGUCUCGCUUUUCUGGUCAUGUCGGCGGUAGAGGAUGUGGCAUUGGGUCGCCCCGGUUUCAGCGGUGCCUUGGCAGCAACGAUUCCAGAUCGUGCUUUGGAAGUUUUGUUUGCUGGCGACAUGUCUUCCUUCUUGUUGGGUAGGUGAUAGAGAGUCCUCGUUUUGGCGAGGUUGAGAGGCUCCAGGCUAAAGAUUUAAUUUAUGCUUUGGCACCAGCGAUGGCUAUGCCUGCGGGUGUCGCGUACCUCUAGGGGGUGUUGUUGAGGUCCGUCUCGUUGAGUCAGGGCUCCGGGUAAAAACCCUAGACCGGUUCCUCAGUCUCGACGACAUUGACAUGUUGUGUCGUCUCCCUAUUAAGGGUGUCAUUGUGGAUCACAUAUUACCUCUGAUGCACCGCACCGUCAUUGGCGGGCAUUUUCAGAUCCCGACUUAGAGCUCCUUUGGCUCUGGCGUGGGCAGAUUCACUAUCCUCCUAUUCUUUUAUGCGGGUCCUCGUUGUGCCACUUGCGGUCCUUGUUUUCCGCAGGAAGUCUCGGGCUUCACAAUCCGAAGUGGGAGGACAGGAGGUCCUCUCCGGCGGGAACUUGGUGUGUGCGGCGAAACAUAGUCUGGUGGUUUCCCUUGGCGGCGAGUCUUCAUCCUUGUUGGUAGUCUAGGUUGCUUUGUGGUAUGGUGUGGACUCUCAUGUAUUCAUGUAUUCUCCUUUGAUCUACUUUAUAAGUGGAUCUCCUCAUCACAAUGUAUCAGUUCGGCUGUGUUGCCUUAUAUAUAAAGUAGGGUGGAAGCCUUUUUGGUAAUCGUCAAUCCCAAUCCAAUGAAAGUCCAAGAUUAAGCUAAAGAAGAACGAGCUGAAAAGAACCUUAAGGGGGCUAGCUGCUAGUCGAAACACUUCACUUGUAGGGAAAAUGAUAUUCUUGAGGCUAGGCCUACUUGCUAGUCAAGCCACUUCUACCGUAGUGAUCCCAAAACCGGGUUAAGUCACACUUCAACGAGGUGAUUAAACCUAUUAAUAAUACAAACUUUUGUGAUGGUCGUAUCAUUUUUCAAAAAAUAUCAAAAUUUCACCAAUUCAUUUAAAAGAUAAGUCAUAUGAUAGAAAACUGGUAAUGUAUAAUGGAAAGAGCAGACAUUGCACGCAUCACAGAAAUCCAAGUAGACUGGUUCAAUCUAACUACACUGGAUUUGUGGCUGAAAUCGUAAAACUAACUAAAUAUGCCACUUGUCUAUCUCUUCCCCUUCCCCAUCCGUCUCCUCACUUUGAGCAAACUAGGUUGUACUUGGAGCCUUGCAACAGCUAGGAAUGGAAAUUACUAAGGCGAAAAACUGGUUGAGCUCGGGCGUAAAUGAACUCAUUAACUUUGGAUAUAAGAGAACACAUGAAAGUUGUUGGUUUCACAACACCAAUUUCUUCUAAUAUCCUUGACCCCUUCACUUACCACAAGUCGUAAAUAUUUACCUAAUAAUAAAUCGACUAUUGCCUCUGGCGGUACGUCAUGAAAAUUACCCCGAAAUUGCCAUAAAUUACCCAUAAUGCCAUCAAUGAGUGAAGAAAACAAUUCAAUUUUUUUUCAAAGUCGUCGUCGUCGGAUUCGUCUCUUAUAUGAUGAUACCCUUACAUAUAUCAGAAGGAAACGCGUACCGCAAUGGCUAGAGCCGCUGUCUUUCACCCCAGAGACCCGGGUUUGAUCCCAGGUACUACCCUUUUCCCUUCUACUUUUCUCUCUUAACAGCGAGCGGGCUUCCUCCACCCCGCACGCAUUCAUGGGCUGGGCCAUCUUGCUCUUUUUUCUUUUCCUCUUUCUGUUUUUCCUUCUUCAAAUUAAUUUCGGAUUUCCAAAAGUUGUUAGUUUUGAAUUUUAUUUGAGAAAUCGUAAAUGUUCAUUAAUUGAUAAAAUGUUCAGGAAAUCAUGAAAUGUCCAGUAUAUUAAAAAACUGUUCGCAUAAUUUUUGCGAGAUCAUAAAAUUAUCAUGAAUACAAAAAAUGUUUGGAAAAACAUGGAAAAUGCAUUUAUUAAAAAAUCAUGAUUUCGAAAAAAAUCACAAAAAAUACUCAUGACAUGGCCCUUUUUUUCUUUUCCGGUUUUUGUUUUUCCUUCUUCAAAUUAAUUCAGGAUUUCCAAAAGUUGUCAGUUUUGGAUUUUAUUGGAGAAAUCAUAAAAUGUUCAUGAAUACAUAAAAUGUUUUGGAGUCACAAAAUGUCCAGUAUUUUAAAAAACUAUUCACAUUGUUUUUGCAAAAUCAUAAAAUUUUCAUGAACUCAAAAAAAGUUUGUAAAAUUAUAAAAUGUCUAGUAUUUUGAAUAAACGUUUGCACUAAUAAAACGAAAUCAUGAUUUCGAAAAAAUGUUCGCAAAAAAUAGUCAUGAUUUUAGAAAAUAUGAUCAUGUAUUUCGGGAAUUUGAAAAAAUGUUCGAAAAAAAAUUAAGCAGAUAUGUAAAUAACGAACAUAACUAACCUGCUUAUAUAGAGGUUUUUUUUAAUAUGUAGAGGUUGUUUUAUGAUUUUAUUUAGUACAAGCGAGUUGUGUAAAAAAGGUUUCCAUAUUCUGCACAACGUUGAGCCCAAAAAAAUUGACAAAACUUUCUACGGAUUAGCUUUUGUAAGCUGUAUGAAAAUGAUUAAAUAUCUAAUUUGCCUCCAUACUAUUCUGGUACUAUAUAGUUUUACUAGGCAGGGUAAACACCGUGACCCUAGGUGAUGACGGAGACACAUCAUUUUCAUUAGUCUAGCUUAGGUGGAGUCCAUCAAUACAGUUUUCUCUGCCAGAAAAUAUUUUGUUGUGGUGCCUUAGGAAAUCAAGUCAUGAUGAGACCAUCACAUUUUUAGCCUUUGAAAUGACUUUUUAGAAGUUCCUUAUCUCAUCAUGACAUGAUUAAGACGCAGUUUAUGAAAUCGUAAUUUAAAGGUCCCAAUCUCAUCCUGGCAUAUGUUUCAGAAUUUUUAUCUCCACCACAUAUGCAUAAUCUGAUUGUUUUUCUCCCGUUGCAACGUACGAGCAUAUUUUCUAGUAGGACCAUAAAAUGAUACAUGAACAAACAUAAUUUAGACAAUUUGAGAAGAAGGCUUUAUUAGUUUCACAAACGUUCUCAUACAAAGUGCUUAACAUAAACUUUUCGGAGCACAGCUUCACGAAUUACAGAUCUGAAUGGAAUGCUAUUGUGAGGCCAGGUACAUGGAAUGUAAAAGCCAAUACUUCUCCUCCCACAGCUAAACUAGAGUCACUACUCCAGAGGAGGGAAUGUGUAACCUGCAAGACCAUUCAAUUUGACCCAACAUAUGAUUAUAAUAGCACAAGAAGCAUAUAAAAAUGCAUAACUAAAAUCAAAACCGUGUGAAUCUGAAGAAUAACAAGUAUCAAAAUUGCAUGUAUGCAAUGCCGAUCAUCAUAAUUCCCUUAAUAUAUUUCACUUACUUCC